UUUUUUUUUAGUAGAAGUCCUAUUUGCAAAACUACUAGUGAGCUUAACAUAACAGAUACACACUUUUGCAUUAGCACAUCGACCGGAUGGGGUUUUCGCAGGUAUCAAUCUGAUGGCACAUACCUUUGGGGACUGGGAAGACUUGAGUGGCCCGAACAGCAUGGGGUUUUUACUGCCAACAGCCACCAAAUCAGAAGAACGAACUGAAUCAGGAAUAAACUCAAUCGAAACGCAGAUUCCUCGAGCAUCAGAGCAUACUCACUCAUAGAUGGUCUUCUUAAACGUCCUGAACCCAGCCCUCAACCUCUCCGCGGAGCCCAACCCCUGCAGAGCACGCAGCAGCAGCCGUCAGCCGUCGCGCCACAAGGGGAAAGGGAAACAGCACAAUGCCGGCGCGCGACAAGAGAAUCGCAUCGCUCGGGGACUGGCCUCGCUGUAGGUGACCAUCUGGGCCGGGUGGUGGUGGCCGGCAGCGCUCGAUCCGCCCCCGAUGAGCGGCUCGCGGGCCGGGCUCAACGGGUUCUCCCGAGGCGGCUUGUGGGCGAGGAAGCAGCAGCAGCAUCCCCCCAUCGCCGAUCGCCCCCGCGAGCCGCUCGAGGAGGGAGAGAUCGGUGGAGAGGUGGGCGCCCGUAGCUCGUUGCCUCGGUCCUGACUCCUGAUUUUGCCCGCGGGCCGCAGGGGAAGGGGAAGAGGGUUUUGCAGUUUCGCUCGGGAUGAAACCGAACUUCGGCAGGCUUGGACUCUCGGGUGUUAUCCUGCUCGCCUCAAUUUGGAAAUCAUUAGCCCGAGAGGAUUGAUUUAGGUUCCGUUGGAUUUGAACUGCGAAAGCACAGAAUGGUGAAAGAGAUUCAGAGUUCAGCUCAGGAUCAUCGCGUGGGCCCCGCCGCUGCUUUAAAUCGGGGCAACGAGACGGCCAGAUUUUAGGUUGGCCGUUGUCUCGUGGCUCGUGGUUGGCUCGGGUUCACCGGUUCACCACCAUGUGAGGAGCUAAUGACAGUUGAGAAGGAUUUCCUUUAAAGUUCAAAACCGAUAAAGUAAAAAAAUUAAAUUCAUCCUAUUUCUAGUUUAUUUUAAUCUAACUUUACAAAACGAUUUCACACUUAGUAUCUCGAUUUGCGCAAAACAGAUGAAGUCGAAACUAAAAUAAACCUCCAAAAGAUAUCUUCCCUUUUCCAUUAUUAUUUCUCAGGUUUGGAUAGACCCUGUAAACUAUAAUCAAUACUCUUUCCGCUUCAAAUUAUAGAUCGUUUUGGUUUUUCUAGAUAUAUAAUUUUCCUUAUGUAUCUGAACAUAGCAUAUAUCUAGAUGCACAUAAAUAUCAAAUAUCAUAUAUCUAGAAAAGUCAAAACAAUCUAUCACUUUUUAGAGUUGCUCUAAGUCAAACUAUUUUAAAUUUAAUCAAUUUUAUAUAGAAAACAACUUGAUGAUAAUCUAUGAACCAAAUAAUACACUACGAAAUAUAUAUUUAAGGGGCAUUUUGUAAUAGACUAAUAAUACUAAUUUGGUGUUAUAAAUAGUAGUGCUCUUUUGCGUAAGUUUGAUCAGGCUUGAAAUAGUUUGACUUAAGAGAACUCUAUAAAUUGAUUUAUUCUUUAUGGAGGGAGUACUUCUUUUCAACUAUAAAUAAGAGGAGAAAACCAGGCAAUGCUGCAGCUCAUCACUGGCCAAGCCAACAAGUGCAGAGUGUGCCCUAACCUGCGUGUUGACUUUCUAGCGGGACUUAAAACCAUCUUCUUCGUUGGCAGAAAGCCUUUCAUUCAGCAACACACAUUUACACAGUCACAGGUUUGCAGGGAUAAUAUACACAAGAAUGCUAGGUAGUUGGCCUUAAUCAAUUUUUUUUCAUAAUAAUAACUUGUAGGAAUAGUUGACAACUCAGGGGGCAAACAGGCUUUGCCUUUCACUUUCGUUUUUAACUUUUUUCCAGAUUUUCUAUAUAUGUUUGAUGUUGUUUAAUUUUCAGUGUUCUUCAAACGAAUAAACCAACAGUAAGAUACUUCUAUAGGGCAAAUGACAUUCAAUACAGCAGGAUUGCAAUGUGGGCAGCUAGCACAUCCAGAGGAAACAGGCGACAUAACUACUACUAAGCCCAAGAACACGUCAUGACAGAAAAAAAACCCAAUUAUGCUCUUAACUUCAUGCGGCCCACUUUCAAUGUUUUGUCUUAAUUAUGAAAAAAUAACACGCCAUGACACGUCUUUUCCUUCAGAGGACGAGUUAUAUACGCCAUGACACAUCAUGGAGAGCAGCAAAAGGUAGCAUAAGAAGGUAAACUCUUUCUCUCUUCAUGAUAAUAUGAAUGAAAAGAUCAUUACAGCUGAUGUGUUUUGACCACACGUCGAUCAAACUAUGCAUCAUACAUACAUUAAAAAAGAAGAAGAAAGAACUCCGCGACAGAAAAUUGUAUUGCUUAUUACAGUUCACAAAGAGCAAUCCGGUAUGUGUGUAUAGGGGCAAAUUAGUAGUACUGCUCCACGCAGUCAGAUGUAUCGAUCGGGAGCAUAUAUGUUGUAGCCGUACAUGAUUAACAGCUAGCCUGGUUGGCCGCUCAUGGAUCCCAUGUCUCGAACUUGCCGGAGACGAAGUCGUAGUGGCCGCCGACCAGCUUGAGUGUCCCCUUCUCCAGCCCUUCCUUGACGAACGGGUAGGUCUUGAGGUUCUCGAGGGACACGUUCACGGCCUCCUGCAAGGUAAAGUGUUCAGAGGUCCAACAACAGCCACGCACUCCAUGAGCAAAUCGUUUUCCCGUUGGAGCUCGUCUCCAAGAUGAUGAUCCAGACAGAGGUCUUUUAAUUUCAGAGCAUACCUUUUCCAAGGCGGAGCAUUGGUCUUCGAAGGGGGCCGAGGCGUGGUCGGCCUGCACCUUCGUCUUCGCGGGGCCGCCGAUCCUGACCCAUUCCUCGACGAAGUGGCUGGACAGGGGAUCAAACAGUAAGUAGUGAUGCAAGAUACAGCAAACCAGUUUCAAGUUCUCAACACCGUCGUCAGUUGUCUGAGUCUUCCACACGGAUGCUUACAACUUGUCGGGCUCGCCGUCCUUGAGCGAGAGGAGCGCCUUGAUCCCGCCGCAGCGGCUGUGGCCGAUGACCACGAUGACCUCCACCUUGAGGGCGCAGACGGCGUACUCGAUAGCGGACCCGACGCCGGCGUACCGGGUCUGCAAGCAGAACGUGCGUGAGCGGUCGAGCCGACGACGAUGCCUGCCAGCGGCGGCGACAUGCUGCGAGAACUACCAGGCGCGCGUACCUUGUCGUAGGGUGGGACCAUGCUGGCGAUGUUGCGGACGGAGAAGGCCUCGCCGGGCUGCAGGCCCAGGGUCACCGACGGGCACACGCGGGAGUCGGAGCAGGCGAACACCAGGUACUGCACACAACCAUGAAUGGCAGCGAACAGUCAGCAGCCGGGUUACCGAUCCUCUGACCCUGACGGCCAUUGCUCUCCCUAGCUGGCUAGUAGCUCCUACUUCCUAUCAAGGGUUAAGCCCAAGACGGGGGAUAGGAACAGUAACAUGAGGCUCCUUUCAGAAAUAAAAAGUAACAUGAGGCCGGCCUACUUUAUUUGCGAGUGACGACAAGGUGGACCGUGGCUAGAAAAAUGUAUGGAAUCUUUAGUUCGAGGCUUCGGGCAACUAGCAGGAUUCGACAUUUCCGACUACAUAUACUUUAGAGUCCCCAUCAAACUCUGUUUUUUGAAGAGUCCCAUCGAACUCUGUUUCUUUGAAGAGUCCCAUCAAACUAUGUUGUUAUUUUACAUAAAGAUUGGGAUUAGUUUAGGCCAAAAUUUUCAUACUUUGACCCUUAAUCUUCCUUAAAAAAACUAUAUAAAUCAACUAUGUAAAACUGAUGUUACUAAGUCCACCAUGAAAAAUAUUUCAAUAAAUGUAACUCUUCAAAUAAUAUAUCUCCAUGGAUAUAGCUUGCCAAAGUAAGGUAAUGAAAGAUCGUGUGUCAAAACCAGGCGAGCCACAGAUAUGCAGAUUUCUAAUAAAGAGUUACGUGUGGACCAUAUCAUAUUUAAUUUCUUUCUAAUAUCUUUUUUUUCUGGAUGAUGGUCUAUCUUCUAAUAUCUAUAGAUGAUGUAUAUCUGCCGUUCUUAGCUUCUUGUAGCUGCUGAUAGCCAUUUCUGAACAUCUUUUUUAUUCUGGCGCACGUAUUACUCAUUUGGUCAACUUCUACCGCUUCUUUUUUUUCCCUCAUUUGGUCAACUUUGACCUCGAUCAAAUGCUGCGUGCACACAUUCGCAGGCGGCGUUGGACGCGGAUAGGGGGGGCCGCUAGAUCAACGGCAGGGUUGGUGGCAAAUGGGGACCCGUGAUUCCCGAUGUGCUAUCUAGUACGGGAAAACGGUUGUGUUGCCGGCCGGAUCCCCUCAGGAUAUUCCGAAUUUACUAUGAACGCAGAAACUGGCCGCUACGAGCUUCGAAAAUUUUGGUGGUGAACAAGAAUGCAAGAUAUAUUUCUUUACUCCAUUCUACAGUGCAUACCUUGGGGGACUGGUGGGCCUUGAGCGGCUCGAACGUCUCCGGCUUCUUGCUGCCGAUCGACAGGGAGACGGGUCGUCAAAGAGUCAAUUCACUUCACAUCGAGCAGGAGGCUUGGGAGAAUAGAGAGUAGCUUGGAUCACUUACUCGUAGACAUCGGCCUUGAACUGCUCGAACCCGGUCUUCAAGCGCUCGACGGCGUCCGCCAUGGCCUCCUGCAAGAGCCACAGAUCAUGUCGUCAACACAGCUGUGCCGUCCGUCCACAACAAGAUCACCAGAUGCGUCAUGCAGAUUUCUCGGGGUGGGGGGGGGGGGGGGAGUCAUGCGAAUUGCGAGCGACGAGUCUAGAAAGGGAAAGAAGAUGGGUUGAAGCAUGGAGGAUGGAGGAGGAGGGGGCUGACCUUUGGGCUGCAGAGGAGAGCAGGUGGUGAACUGUGGAAGGAUUGACGAAGACUGUGGAAGGCUUUGCUUCGCUGUAGAGCUGCCCCGUCCAUGCCUCCCCGGGGGACCUUUUUUAUAGGAGGGGGGAGGCACGGGAAGCAGCGGCUCGCCUUCUUUUCCUGCCCCCCCGGUCGUGCAGCUGGACGGAUGGACGCGGGGAACGGCGAACCGGUCCAGCACGAGACGUGUCAUCGUGCGGGACGGGGUACACCACUAACCCACCGAGCUUCCAAAGGUCCAUCCUGCAGGCCGCCUUCGCCUUGACCUCCGGCUGGCCGCGGCCGGGCAGGCGUGGCGCCGGGCUUGGGGUGCCGUCCUUCCCCGGGGAAACGAGGAGGACGAUGGAGAGGCUGGAGCCGGAUGGGCUGAACGCCGCGGUGGACACGGCUCACGACGCGUGGCGCCCUGCCGGUUUAGCGGAGCCGGAGAAAACGAGGGGGCGCGGUGUGAAGACCCAAGAGGUAAAUACUUAAUUUUAUUUAUUAACUAAUCCACUAAUUAGUAAUUUUGAAGAACAUAAGUAUUAAAAAUCCAUGAGAGAAAUUGGAUCUCGUAACUGAUCAUCAAAUUACCUCACCCCCUUCUCAUUUCUCAAAUAUUCUAGCACAUAUAUAUAGAUAUAUAUUUAUCUUUAUCCAUUAUAGAAUUUAGUUAGAAAUUAAUCUAUGCACUCUUCAUCGUCGUUGAUAGUUUUCUUUUUGCAUGGCAUCUGCAUCUGGGUUUGACAUUUUUCUAACUAAAUUCUUAGUUUGGGCUAUGUGUUUAACAUGGAAAUUGGUGCUAUCAUAGCUUCCUGCAUAUACAGGGGUGGAUCCGACCCACUUGGUGCUGUUACUUGAUAGCAAUGGAUUUUUAAAAUCCAAGGCUAAAGUUAUCUUGAUAUUAGAGAAAAUCAUAUCGUAAAUUUGACACUAGUGACAUCAAUGGUUCUCUAUUCUAGAUUACCGCCUAUGUAGAUAUGUAUACAUGGUCUAAACCGUAAGUUAGUAUCUUUAUAACAGAAAUAAAUAAUUUAGAAUUUUUUAUUGGUGUGCACUGGGAUACUUUUUUAUAAUGAUAGAUGCAGUUAAUCAAGAAGCCAAUUUAGGGAUUAUUUUCAAUUGUUUUUAGUAAUAGCACAUAUGGAUAAUUUAUAUAUAUAGAUUUAGGAUGUUACUUUAUUAGAUGAUUUUUAUACUAAAAUGGCAGCGACGGGCUACUUUUUAUGCAUGUCCAUGAAGCAUACAACCAAGAAAAUGUUGUAAUGAAACUGAGAUCUUAGUAAACCUUGUGCUUUUCACGAGCAUACAACCUUGCAAUUUCUCAUAUUAAUACUAAGGUACAUAUCUGUCUGGUGUAUACGAGAGGGGGGAAAAAAAGAAUGUGCAACCAAAGCAGAGACAAAAAGAACAUGAGCAACCAUUUAGAGAUCUACUGGAAGGAACAGAGAGCAAGCAACCAAACUUUACUUCUGGUUUAAAGCGUGUGAUCAAUGUGGAUUAUUACUGUUGAUUUUUCUAGCUUAUUAGCAUGCACUGUAGCACGCAAAAGCACAUAGGCAUAAAGACCCCCCCCCCCCUCUGUUGAGUGCAAGAUUUUCAGAAAGUUUAGGGGUCAACUUUCUUAAUCUUUUUUUGUGAAGACAGCUUUGUAGUACAAAAUCAUUCAUGUCUCACAUAAAAAUGGUAGCACCAGCAUUUCAGGGAGAGAGAGAGAGAGAGAAGGGGCAUCAAGAUGUAGUAGAAAGGUAAAGUAUGCAUGAUAGUAUUAUGAAAAAGGCUUAUACAGCUGAUGUCUCUUGACCACAAAAGCGGUCUAAUUACGCACCAUAUAUAUUACAUAUAAGCUCCACCUUAGAAAUUAAAGCAGUAGAAGCUGCUAUUGCUUAUUACAUUCACAGAUAGGACGAUCCGGUUUGUAGCUGUCGAAAUAGGAGGUAAGUCCUCCACGCGUUGACAUCGACCGGGUGCAUAUACGUCGGUAUGUAUGUAUCUGAUGUAGUAGGAGUUUGCGGCCUAUUUCUCCCAUGUGUCGAAGAUUCCGUUCACGAAGUCGUAGCGGGCACCGACCAGCUUGAGGGUCCCGUUGGCCACGCCUUCCUUGACCCAGGGGUAGGUCAAGAGGUUCAAAAGGGACACGUUCACGGCCUCCUGCAGAAACAUUCAGAAAUGCAGGAUCCUCUCAUGAGCAAACCAAUUCGAUCUUUAUGAAAUCACGCGCGUAUGGGCAGCGGGUAACCAAAGAUCGCCAUGGCAACCAGGUCGUAGCCCGUGCGUACCUUCUCCAAGAUGGAGCACUGGUCAUCAAACGGAACCGUGGGGUGCUGGCUCAGCACCUUCUUCUUGGCCAGGAAGCCGAUCCUGACCCAGUCCUCGACGAAGUGGCUGGGCGCGUCGCCAAACAAACAAAGAACAUCCUCGAGUCAGAGACAUGAUGCUGCAGGGGUAGCAGGCUCCUCCCAUCUAAAACUUUGUUCCACCGUGACUUACAAGGUGUCGGGUGCGCCGUCCUGGAGGGAGAGGAGCGCCUUGAUGCCACCACAGCGGCUGUGGCCAAUCACGGUGAGGACCUCCACCUUGAGGGCGCAGACGGCGUACUCGAUGGCGGACCCAAUACCGGUGUACUUGUUCUGCAGUUCACGAAGCAAAAGCAACCGAGUCAGCGGUCAACACCCCACCAGCAAAGAAAGAUCACCGGCCAUGCGCCAGGCCAGCCGGUACGCGUACCUUGUCAUAGGGCGGGACCAUCGCGGCGAUGUUGCGGACGGUGAAGGCCUCGCCGGGCUGCAGGCCCAGGGUCACCGACGGGCAGCAGCGGGAGUCGGAGCAGGCGAACACCAUGUACUGCAGCACAUAGCAUGAGCGAAAAAAGGGGGAAAUCAGAAUCAUCAACAAAAAUGGGGAAAAAUCUGUGUCAGGUCAGCGAUAAGAGCACGCGAGCAUUUCGCGCCCCCACCACACGGCUCUUAUCGAUAAGCAGGUAGGCAGAUCGGCGCUGAUCGGUGGAGUGCAGGAUUCGGGUGGCCCUUGUGGAUGUGCGUGCAAGCGAGUACCCCCGCCGCUCGAAAAAGGCUGCCACUUUUGACCCGCCUCUGCCCGUCUCUGUUCCGAUCCACUUUCUACCACCGGAGCCGCCGCUCCGUUGGCGAGGAAGCCAAGCUGCAGGAAGGUUCCCCGCUGGGAGCGGCAAGGAUACUCUGCGCGGGCUUUGCUGUGGCCCCAUGGGUGGCGACCAACGGGCAACAAACACUAGCGUUGCCAUUACCGGCAGGCAAGGACGUAAUAUUUCUGGACGCAAAGGCGAGACCCGUAUGCACGAACCCAGAAGGAUUCUGAGGGAAAAGCCGAGAGCCAAACUGCCAAAUCCGGCAUCCGCACUGCCGAUUAAGCUUGGUGACAAGAGCAGCAGGAGGAGGCUAGCUAAUGGGCUACUAUAGUGCGCGAGGAUCAUGGAUCACUUUGUUCCCAUUACGACAGCAAUCGGCAUGGACGGCCGGCCGGACACCAGGGUAUGUAGGAAAGGGAACCUUGUUCCGGCUUGCAUAAGCUCACGCUGGAGGCCAGGACUUGGAAAAGGGGCUCGAGGCUAAAAGGCGAUUACGACGCGUAGCGUGAUGCAAUCACCUUCAGCGACGGCAUACACUACGUUGAUAGUAUGAGCAUAUCUCCAGGAUCAGCAUGCAUGGCCAGGGAGAUAAGGAUGCGAGUAGACAAUGUUCUGAACGCUAAAGCAACAGGCCCCGUCCAACACUUAUGUGGCUAACUUUUGCACGGGCCUGGCUGGGAGGAGAGGACAGAGGACACGUCCAAACCAACUACCACCCCUAGCUAGCUACGCUGAUUGUGCCGGUGAAGGAAGAAUUCCGUGAGGGACCAUUGUUCAACAGGACCGGUUGAUGCAUGGUAGGGCCUUGUGCCCAGUCAUGGCUGGACCACACGUCCAGCCGUGGAAUGAUGGCAUGCUGGUUGGUGAUACACGCCUCGCUACCCCUUUUGGUGUAUAUGGUAUGUAUGUGCAGCGUUCAAAUGUAAUGAUGAUGGACCGGACCAUGGAGAGAUGCAGGAAAUUCUUUGGGAUUCAACACGGCUUAGGUGGUGGUAACUCUUUGUUUUCCACGGACCGAUUAAGCAGCCAAGCUAGACCACCCUUUUCUUUUCAAGGAAAAUCAGCAGACUACUUGCUUGUGCCUGGAACCAGCCAACUACAGCACGCUGCAUGGAGUGAAUCGGCGCAUGGGAUCGAUGCCAGCCUGGAACCCCCCAGAAAGAAAACAAUAAAACUCUGUACUUGCGAGAUUCUGCCACCAGGUAAAUACCUAGGAACGGGAAGGAAGUAGGAUUAUAUAUCUCUAUACACACACACACACACACACACACACACAAUAUCCACCACCCCAGCUAGCCAGAAAAGUGAGCGUAUAUAGGGACGGCGACAUCUCAACAGUUCACACGCAGGCCAAAACGCCCCAACCGCCAACAUGGCUCGCACAUGGGAAUGCACUCGCGCCGCGCAUGUUCGUGGCCGGGGGGAGCUCGUAUCCACUAGCGAUUUCUCUGCACAGUUUCGGCUUCAGAUUUCCCCAGCUGACUGAUCACGGGCCAACUGGCCGCUAAUGGCGACAAGCUGUCCCCAUCAGUCUUAAGCCACGCAAUCAAGGACAAGCUGCGUGCUCCCCUUUGUCUACCACGACCUCUUUGACCUCGGCCCCGGCGCAAAUGCCUGCACCCAGGGAUGCCAAAUGAAACAGUAACGGAAUGGCAGGGGCAGCACAGCAGCAGGUGCCAACGGGAAUGCAGGGAUCCUGGUGAUGAACACGACGAGCUAGCUGGUACCAGCAGCGACACUGUUCUGGCUUGGCUUCUACUACCUGGACGGAUGGGGAACCGCCGGCAAGUACCACCAAAUCUGUGGACCAGCAACGUCAGGCGUUGCCCGGACCCCCACGGAAACCCCGAGCUCCUGAACGCGGUUUGCCUAAAUUAAGCUUCCCAGCAUUUGUGCCGAGGAGCCGGGCGGGCGGACGGCCGGAGUGGAUGCAGACAAAAAUCUUAGCAGUCUAGUACAAGGGUGAUGGGACGGGAUUGGAUAGGAGGAGAACAUACCUUGGGGGCCUGGCCGGCCUUGAGCGGCUCGAACAGCUCCGGCUUCUUGCUGCAGAGAGGGAAUUCACACGGGCACAGGGUUAGUUGGAGCUCCCGAGAAAAAAAAAAUCCCCAAAGAAAUCAAGCGCCAUGGAAGCUGGAAUCGAGCGCCGGCGGGUGCUGCAUCGAGUGGAGCGGACGACUUACUCAUAGACCUCGGUCUUGAACUUCUCGAACCCGCUCUUCAAGCGCUCGACGGGGUCCAUGCCCUGCAACAGCGAGAAAGACCAACCACAAACCGUCAGCUCGCCGUCCCCAGAAAGGACCAAAUUGUGUGCUCUUGAUGCAGCAUGAGAGACAGAGUGGGCAGGGGACAAGAGCUUGCCGCAAGAAAGCAUGCACAAAGGUGAUCUGAAGGGGAUGCAGGGAUCUGCUUUGCUACUGAGCGAUGGGGGCAGGGGACGAAAGGAAGACGGACGGACGGACGGACGGGUGGACGGAGAUUACUGUGGGAGGAAGAAGGAAGGAGGGAGGGAGGGAGGGAGGGAGGGGGGGAACGGACCUUGGAGGGAGGAUGUGGAGAGUGGGUGGGCUUCUUGUUCUGGAGGACCGCGGAGGAGACGGCCUCCUUCUUUUUAUAGCAGGGGAGGCAAAGGCACCCGCUCAUCUUCGAACGCGCGGCUUGGAUGCUACUAGAGUAGGAGUACUUCGCUUCUCUCUCGUCUGACUUUUGAGCUUCUCGUUCGGCGGUUUACUAGCAACAUGACACGUGGAAUAAUGGCGUGAGAGAGAGAAGGAGAAAAUCAAUACACGUAGUAGUAAUGGGUGAGUGCGGUUUCUGUGGACGGGAUAACACCCCAGUAGUUGCUAAAAUUUUCGUCAUCCAUUUUUCAGGCACCCGUGAGAUGUAGUAUUGGCCGAGAACGUGUGCGGUUAGCUCUGCUAUUUUGAGUUCAGCCGGUUAAACCCGGUGCUCUUUUUAUUUGAAUGGUAAACCAGGUGCUCUUGAAGGAGAAGAAAAAAAGAAGUCCAUUGGUACACGGAAAAGUUCAGACAGCCCGAAGCGUAGCUCAGAAGAUGAGGCCAGAAGUAAACGGGUCGGCGUAAGCUGCUGAGGCGAAGGCUGGAAGGACCAACUUACCGUGACCAUGACACUAUUACUGACGAUGCGCGAGGCACCGCCGGGUACGGACAGCGAGAGCACAAGUGGCCGGCCCGGCCAUCUGCCGCCGGCCAGGUUGCUUGCGCCUUUCCUUUUUGCUGCUCCCUGCCUCCCGAGUCCCCACCCCCCCGAUCGAGAAACGUUUCCCCAGGGGGUUAUUCCCAGAUCCAAGGAAUCUCGAUGCCCACUCGUCCAGAUCUGGUCUGCCCACAGGGCUGCUGUUCUCUACUUCCCCAAUCCCCAUGGGUUCUAAACUUCUACCAGAGGUCGUCCUUCUAGCUCGUGGCAAUGGGAACCCACCGCCGGACGACGGGGGCGGCCACCAAUGGCACGGCCGGCCUCGCGAUCCAACCUUCCUUAUCGGCGCGCCUAAACUACUCCCUUCGCAACCGCCGGGGCCACAGACCCGGCCAGCGCCUCACCUCCUAAAUUAUUGGAGGCUCCUGCGGUCGAGCUCAGCUCAUCGAGAGCUUGUCCCCCUGAUGCCCCCUCCUAACCAUCCAACCCAAGCGACCUCUCCUCUUAUUGGGGGCUCCUUUUACUGUUUGUACUUCCCGCAAAUCUAGUGCGUAUCUAAUGGCAGCUACAGGUUUCUGCACCGCACCACCGGCCAGAGCCAGAGAGUCAUGGUGCGUGCGAUCGAUGUCAACGCUGUCCGCAUCGCAUCGCAUCGCAUCAGCGUGGUGACGUGGUAGCAACGAAAAUCUAGCUAGACUCCUCGUACUGCUAGCCAGCGCUGACAAGUCUGGCUACCAGUUCACCACAGAGCGAGAACCACAACUUUUUUCCCCUGGUUCCAUAUGUACUUAUUAAAGUUGUUUUUUUUUGGAAGUUGCAAGUAGCUAGUAAUCUCGUGCUAGUUCGUUCGUUGCUCUGGCCAAAAAAAAAAAAAACUCAACGGUGAGCAAAAGCAAAAGGCGGGAAUUCAUCGGCGUUAAAGGGAAAAGGCUGACGUUGAUGGGGGCUUAACCGACUGAUGGUCGGUUAUUGGAUUACUGGAUGCGUUAUGGACCAAACGGAACUGAAAAGCCAGGAGACGGAUGCGGGGCUAGCUAGCUCUUGACACCUUCUAAUCUGUGCGGUAGCUAUCAUGCAAGGAGAGUCCAUGGCGACCCUACUCCACCUUAUCGCUUGUUUUAUAAUUAGGUGGAAAAAGGCCGAGCCACGCUCGACGUCGCUAAGCAAGUGUACUUGGAACUUUUGGGGAAUUCUAAUCUAUCCUAUCGAUCGAAAGCAUCUGCUAGUUGCUGCCUUUAAACUGGCACUAUCAUUGGCCACCUCUUUGGAAGCCCCUCCCUCCACGAAUAUUCUAUGGCAGGUGGUUGACAUGCAUGUUGCUAGUACUAAUAACAGAUGGAAGAAUGGUUAUUAAAUUACUAGUAGUAUAUACUAUGCAAUGAUUGGUCAUGGUCCAAAAGAAGUGGAGAAGAAGAUGAGGCUAUGGUCUGCCGCAUUUGCGGACUCGGCCUUGGCAUUAGCUCUUGGAGCAGAUUAAGGAACAGUGCGGCGCCUCCAUGUUCUCAGGGGACGCGUAGUUUUUUUUUAAAAAAAAAAUCUAAUGCAUUUGUGGCAAGGUGGUGCAUCAUUAGUUGACCCGACCGUGUUGCGUUGUACCCUUGCGUGGCACUUGGAUUUUGUUUCUUUUUCAGAAACCCCUGGUCAGUACCAGCAGCUACCUCCUAGAUUAUGGGAAGGAAGUUUUUUCUUUUUCUUUUUUUUUUGCUUUUGCGGUGGUGCAUUCCGUUCGUCUUGCCGGAGCCGGAAAUAGCAAGGGCAAGCACAUGUGCCAACUUGUUAGUUACCGAAAAGAGAUGCAUGGAAGCAGUGUGGGUAUCGACAUGCAUGCAUGCAGAGGUAAUAGUACACAAUGUGCUCGGUGCGGUGUGCCAUGCAUGCGUGCGUGCGCACGUACCACGAUGGCGGAGGGGGCGGCGAAGACGGGCGCGCUCAUGAUGAGCCUGGGGCGGGCGGAGGCGGGGAUGCCGGACUUGGACGGCGCGGGGGUGCCGAGGCCGGCGACGAUGCUCGAUGCGGCGGUGGAGGCGCGCACGGCCAAGGUAAGCAUAUGUGGGGGUGCUCCCUUGGUUGGUGCCGCCUCCCUGCGCGCGCCCCCAAGAAAUAGCUGCGCCGCGACCGCGUGCCGACAACAAACCGCCGGACGCGAGCGGCGCCGGCGUGCGGCCCGGCUGGGCCGGUGGAUCCGGGCCACUCGGCGCCUCAUCCGCCAGCAGCGCGCCACCCGGCCUCCCCACCACCCCCUGCCGGGGAUGGAGGGAUAGGACUCGGGUCGGGAUAACGCGCCGCGGCACCGUGUGGCGGACGGGCGCGCGCCCCCGGAUGGCUUGGCACGCCCGCGCCCUGGGCCACACGAGCGCGGCCGGGGGGACGGACGCGAAAACGAAGGGCCCUUCGUUCCGAUGCGCGGCGUCGAGAAACGCCAGCUGCUGCGCGGUCGUGGUGGAUGGGGAUGUGAUUGGAUGCUGCUGCGAGCGGCGAUGGGGGGCGUUGGGCCGGUGUGGGCUGCUGCUGGCGGGGCGCCACGCGUGUGACGGGGGUUCUCUUGGCGCCGGUGACAUAUCCAUCGGAAUUAUGGUGUGGCUGCCCUUCAUUAAUCACCGGGCCGAAAUGGAUGGUUCGGUGGUUAUUAGGUGAUGUCAGGUCAGGGGACUGAGCGCGUGAUCUUGGUUGGAGUGGCAGGCAGCACGUGAUGGGGGUUGAGACACGUCGGCGAAACGUUAGUUGUCUGGUGGAGAACUCAUAAGUUUUUCUUUUAAAAGAAAAGAAGAAGAAGAAGAACAACAACAACAUGUGCACAUCAUUGCUCACCGAGCGAUACUAGCUCUUGGCUUCAGAGACUUGUGUUGAGCUCAGGGCCUGCUGGAGGAUAAUAGUGGCAUAGCUUUCGGCCCAUCGAGCUGGUUGUGCGCGGCAUGAAGCCUGCCACGGCCCAUCCUUGUUCAGUUUGUUUUCCGGCAGCCUGGCCCGAGCUGGAUUUGGGCCCAGGCUCCCAUGCGCCCUGCUGUUCCUGUACAGCAGCAAGAAGGAAAGCAUAUGCCUCCUGGUUAGAUAACUUCGCAGAAUUGCAUGCCUCCUGGUUAGAGAGAGAUCAGCAGCAGUAGGAAAAUGACUGACUUCGGGUUGUCUAAGAGUCACUAAGAAUGUUCAGGAAAUGAUCGGAUGUUCUUAUACUGUGAUUGUGUGCUCGGUAGGCGUGCUUGGACUCUUGGACCUGGCCGUCAUGUUUGGCUUGGUUCUCCUCCGGUAUUCUUGGAUGUAAGCGUUUUCCAACCUUCCGCUCGAGAAAACAGUGGCAAAUUACCUGCCUUUAGAGUUGAGAAGUCUCUUCCUCUGAACAACAUCUGUGGGAGUUUCAAGUCCAGUUCAACUUUGUGGAAAUUUGAACCGGUGAUCUUCGCGUCUGCAUCCAUAGUCCGCAUUCAAUGAUCAGGGCUGCAGCAAGACGGGGUGCAGACGCAUAUGCUGCUGCGCGCUGCGAAAUUUUUUACAGGAAUGCAUACAACAGUGCCACUCUCUUGCUACAGCUACGACUACUGGAGAGAGAGAGAGAGAGAGAGAGAGAGAGAGAGAGAGAGAGAGAGAGAGAGAGAGAGAGAGAGAAGUGAACAGCAUACUAGAAUGAAUCGAAGAGUUGUAAAUUUACCUUUCUCCAUGGCCGCCGUAUCCUCUAUUCCCCCGUCAAAUUCUUGGACUCCGGCCGAGCCAAGCUUCGCGGAUGCGUGGCUAGCUGCUCCAUGCACACGCGGUCGAUCCGAUUACGGUGGCCGCGUGCAGCUAGCCACGAGCCAUGCCGAUGCCGAGUUGAGCACGGAUCGAGCUGAAGCUCCAUCCUGCACCGAGAGCUAGCGCACGGGCCAUUACUUAUGCUGCCUCUGCUGGCGCACGGAGGCGAACCGGCGGCGUGCAAGUACGUGGAAGGGUUGACACUACUAGCUUGGGCCGGCCUGUUCGCAAGCUAAAAGGAUGUGCUCACUUUGGCGACACAAUAGACACCCGGUAGCUUGGUGUGCAGGUCCAGACAGCGCAGGACGAGGACAACAAGACCCGGGAAAAGGGAAACGCUACAAAAUUGGUGUUGUCAUGCGCCUGUAGCUAGCGGUCGAGCAGCAUCAGCUUUGAGUUGGCGCCCAGAUAUCGAAUUAUGAUCUGCUCGUUUCGAAUUCCACUUGUCCAUUUCUUCAUGUACACACGCGCUGUAAAGAUGCCUCGCGGUAUCGUGUUGAUUGAACAGCGUGUCUGCUCGCUAGCAUAAUAGUGUAGGGCUCAAUACUAGUCAUUGGGCCCGUGAUAGACCACCUUGCAGACGUUUCCUUUUGUUCGGGAAAGGAUUCCCGCCUGCUCACUCCACCUUCGCGAAGGGGUUUCUUGUGUCCAUACUCCGGUGAAAAGAUUCCAAGCGCACCGGCGGUCUGACGAUGGAUUGGGACAGGCUUAGCGAGUACAGAAAAAUCGAAUUGUGAAAUUAGUGAAGGGUCCUUAAACGCUUCGGAAGAUAAAUGUCUUCGCUCAUCUCUCAUCUCAUAAAACUCUCGUUCCUCUCCCCUCGUAAUCACCCUGCUAUGUCAAUAAAUUUGGUGAUGUGGCAUAAGAUUUAUUGCCCACAAAACUUCACUGGUCUAGCUGGGACCAAGGUAAGCUGUGGUAGGUCUGAGCGGAAGCGAAGGCUGGCCAGAGCUUCCAUAAAAACUGGGCGAUUUUGGCAAAAAAAAUCAUGGUUUAAUUAACCAGAUUAUAUGCCAUGUUCGGUUGGGUACUAGUCUUUUAUUUCAAACAGACGGAAGAGGAAUCUGGUUCUGUUUAUCCGGCUUGUCCAAAUAACAUAACUAUGCUGGUGAUUUCCCUUUCUUGAAUCUUUUUAUUCUCCUCCCCUUUCCAUUUUUAGAAAGUAUUAAGUAAAAAUUUAUUCACACGGAUUUAGUGGAUAAAUUAUCAUGAUAACUUUUGGAUGAAUAGUUUAGCAGUGUUUCUCAAAAAGAAACUUAUCUGGGAUAACUUUUCAUGUAGAUUUCUUCAAAGCAAAGCUCCGUGGAAAGCUUGCUCAUGCACGUUUGUCAAAAAAAAAUCUUCAGACAAGUUUGCCGAAAAAAAAGCUUCCCUGGAUAAGUUUUGCCGAAAGAAAAGCUUCCCUGGAUAAGUUCUUUAAAAACCUUCUCAAAUUACAAUUUCUAACAACAAAGCUUUCUAGAGGUUUUUGAAAAGUUUUGAGGUGAAGGUCUUCUAAACACUUCAUCUAGAAAAUUUACAGUUGAAGGAAAGGGUGGACAGAAGCAAGAAUAGGCAUAAACUGCGAAAAGGACACUGUCACGCUGAUGUGCAUCAGUCUACAGAAUUUCCACUAAUGUUUCACUUUUGUUUCUCGUGAGUAUAGCCAACGCAGUGAAGGCCUAUAGAAGCCCAAUAUAGUUAAGUUCAACCCCAAGGCGGCCCAAACCAGAUUGAUAAUUGUAGCUUCGGUUUAUAUAAACAGGGCCUGCUCGCGUGCUUCCAGUUUGAAAUGUUCAUGUGACCUAACGUCAACUGCGCAAACAACCGAAACAACGAACGUAAGCAAGAAAUUAAGAAUCCACCGCUGUCACUUCCUGUCCGGCAGUCCUCCACCAACAACCAGCGCUCAGAUUUCAGACUUCAGAGUAGCCUGGGGCGUACGUCUGCUGCGUUAGGUUACGCAGCUCGGGACAAGCAACAAGUUGAAGCAUGUCGUGGAGUGCUCCAUCGCCAAGGAACACAGGAAUGCAGUAGGAGGUAGGCGAAAGCGCACAUGCUCUUUCCCCAGCAGGACAUGGAUAGCAUAGCUAGCUCAAUCGAUUAGAAAGGUCAAGAUGUGGAGAGUCGGAUGCACGAAUUAACUCGCAAAAAUCAAUUGCUGACUUGUGUAUUUUACCCUCAAAGUGGUCCCGUCAGCUAACCACACCAAACACUGAACUUCUGUUAGGUGAGUCCGAAUGGCACCGAGUACGUACGCACGGCACGCACAUGCUGCUCGAGUGAGUUACUGCACCAGAAGGGAACUGGCACGACGACGAGGGAGGGAGGGAUCAUCUCUGAGCUCCGACGCGGCGACGCGGUUGCUGCGUGGUCGGUCCCGGUGUAGAAGCGGGAGACGACGACGUGUUCCGGUAUUCCCCGUCCGCGGCGCUGUCUGUGCGAACGCGUGGAGCACAGGUCCCCGCCGUUGAACGGAUCCGUUUCCGCGAGAUCAACCUGACGCGCGCGAGAGAGGCACUGAACCACUGGAGCUUCUGUCAUCCCCGAUCUCUAGCGAUCCGCCCGUUCACUCUCUGUUGACAAGUUCCGGUAAAUCUGGUGCAGCUAGCGCGCGCCCUUUCCGUCAUUCUGGAGUUCCUACCGGCUAAAGGGGCACGACGAAACCUAACCUGUAUCCGACAGUACCAAACACAAACCCGGGGACCGGCUCUGCAGAGUACUCUGUUAGCAAGUGGGGCUGCGCCGGCAACGCAUUGACGCCCUUGCAGACGGUCGCCCGCCCCCCUCUGCUCCGGGCAAGCUGCGGUCCGCGCGCGGGGGGUCAAGGGAAGAGGGAUGACGACGCUCGCGAUCGGUGAGCCGCGGAUCGUGGGGCGUGUUCUAGAAUCGAUCGAGCGUGGCCGGAUCGCUCUCUCCGGUCUCGCUGGCGCUGCUGCGCUCGGCUCGUCGUUGCGAGAUUGCAGUCGCGUCUGGGGUGUCUGUCGGGAGCACGGAACGAUGCCGGAUCCAGAGUUCCACAGCUCCUGCUACUGAGCUGAAUGCCUGUGCUGCUCUGCUGCGGAUUCGUUGUGACAGCUACCCAGCGUGUGAGUGAUUGGUUCCAUCGACAUGGAGAUGGCUCUGUUUCUCCGUAUUCAUGAUUGGAGGUAUAGUUUCUUUUUUUUUUAUUUUCACGUUGCAUAUAUGUCCCUUUUGAGGUAAUAAAUUUUUGGAAAACGUACUAGUGGUACUGGUACCUAUCGGGCUGGUUAAUGCGAGACGAAAGGUUGUUUUUGCGUCGAGACUCCAGAUUCGGGGAGGAGUGCAAAGAUCUCUCGGAACAUCGGCACCCUCCCUCCCUCCCUCUCUCUCUUGAGGUGCCUGUGGAGAGGCUGUAACAUCUGGGGCUGCCGUGGCAGCAGCGGCGGAAUACGGUUGACCAAGCCUGCAGAAGCCGGCACCCGCAGCCUCUCCGUGCUCCCGUGCGUACGGCAGAACAAAAUUGUACAACGAAAAGGCUGCAAUUUCGCCGCCACCGGUCGACACAUGUAUGGAGUGCGGUGCGUGACUGCGUGCUGCGUAACAAGCUGAGCUUACCUGGAAACCAGCAGCACAAGCACAUCCGCGGUUUGAUUGUUUCAAGGAUGCUGUACGCCGCUCCGCUGCAUGCCUGCAUCUUCUGAUAUUCACGCACGCAGCAUGGCUCGAGGUGACGGAAAUGAUCUCCAAGACAAUUCUCUGUUCAAGCGUGUGAAAGUUUCAGUACAAGGAAUCAGCGCCUCAAGUUCAUACUGCUGCCUGAAAAUUGGUGAAGCUUCAGACAUUUUCGCUUACAGUUGGAUCACUCCUUUUCUUUUGUUUUUUUUUCUUUUUUGAAAAGGGCAUCUGGAUCACGCAUUGGGAUUUGUAGCUCAAUGAUGCGUCUCACCAGUGGGCAGUGGCUAGAAAAUUAGAUGCCACCGAAAGACACAGAAAAUAUAAAAAAUAAUGGUAGAUUGCAAACAAGGAAAGGUGAUUUCCCCGUGAAAUAUACCCACCUACUUCUCUACUACUAUACAUCAUACAUCGUAUGUACAAAGUCACCUAUACAAACAACCGCAUGUAUCCUUUUUUUCUUUCAAUUUCUCCGUAGCAGUAGUACUGGCCUACCACCUUCACAAACCUCAAUCCGAAAGGGAAGGCCCGCAUUUCCCCUGCUUUGUCUGACUUCACGCCCCGUUCUUUUGACUUCGCUUUAAACCCCACACCGCCGCACGUAGCACUAUGCCGGUUUGCAGGGGAUCCUCCAGGUCAAAUGGUCUUAAAUUUCAAUUCCCGAAUUCAGACUUGAAAAUCUCCCUGUUUGGAACGGGUCGCCCACGGCGGUGACGGGUCGGCGCGUCGGUGGGGGCUCAGAACGGGUGCGGGCUCCGGCUGAGCCCGUGCGCGUUGGCGAACAGCCCCAUGAGGUCCUGCCGGUACGGCAGGAACGUGCGCCGCCCGCCGGGGGUCGCCUUGGCGCCGCCGUACGACAUCCGGCGCCCCGCGGCGACCGUGUCGAGCUCGGUGGCGCCGGCGGCCUUGCUUCCUUUGGGCGGCGGUGGCUUCGGCUUGGAGCCGGCGGGGGAGUGCUCCCUGUCCCUGGCCGGGGACGACGGCGCGGAGAGGAAGAGGAACUUGUGCUUGCCGUCGCUGUGGCUGCGGCCGACGACGAGGUCCCCGAUGCGGCGCCACCGCGCGACGGAGCCCGUGGACCCGCUCUUCCGCGGCGGACGCGAGGGCGAGGACGCCGGCGACGACCCGGGCGUCCAGAGGCAGUAGCUGUCGGGCGGCGCGCCGUCGAGAUCCGCGCUACCGUCCGCCGUCGACGCCGAGGACGACGACGAGGUGGAGGAUGUGGACGCGACGGAGGAGGUCCGCGCCUGCUCCAGCUGGAACAGGCGGCCCAGCGGCGCCCUCGGCGCGGCCGGUGCGGCGGCGGCCUCGUCGUCCAGGACCCGGCCGAACACCGGGUAGAACGCGCGGAUGCGGCCGCCCGCGAAGAGCUCGUCCGCCGCCGCCGCGGCGCCCCCGCCCGCCGCCGGCUCCCGGCUCACGGAGGGGAACUCGAACUCGCCGUCGGAGUCCUCGUCGUCGGACGCCAAUGACCCGCCGUGCUCCCUGGGAACUGGAAGCUCCGCGGCCGCGGGCUCGUGGCGGCGGCCACCCGGCGGUCUGCGGUCCUCCAUGCCUCUCAUGUUCCUAUUUCCGCUGCUCGAUCUCUUCGCGACUGAUGGCGGGGUGCGCGCAAAGGGUGGGAAGCAACUGCUAGUUGGUUGGGGAGGUGGCACCGGCGUAUAUAUAGGGGGGAAGCCGGCAGCGGGAGGCGACCUUCUGGAAGGGAAGGCGAUUCGGCUCGGCCCCACGCUACACGUCACUCGUGAUGCACGCGGGGUUCGUUUCUUGCUUGGGGGUGGGGGGGGGGGGGGGGGUUGCCGUUGGUUGCGUUCCGUGUGCGUGUGCUAUGGGUUUACACAUGAUUUUGGGAAAUUCUCGAAGGGGCCCUGGGUCCGGGGGAUUUGCUUGCCGAGGGAGAUCGCGCUUGCUUGCGGGACAAGCAGCUGCUGAUCCGGCCGGCUGAAGAUACGCUAGCGCCGCGGAGCCGGCUGGGUCGAAGAAAGCCCGUGCACACGUGGGCGCUCUGUAAGCUGACGACGGAGCUGUGAUCCAGCUGCGAUGUCAGUAGCGUCCAGUGUGAACAGAAGCAGCGGGGAAAUCUCAUCCACGCACAAAUUCUUCUCGGAUUGAACUGCCUACUAGCCCGCAUGGCCGGUUGUACUUGCGCAUGGCGACACGCGCGGUCCCUUCUGCAAUCACGAACGACGGGGGAGCAAGCACAUGGAAAUUGUGAGACCGCGCCUCUGGUGUAUUCGACACGGGAGACGCCAUGUACUUGAAAUUUUUUGCCACGAGACAGCGUUUUGAGUUCGGCCAUGUGCCACCUGUGAGUGAUGCAGCACGAGCCAGACCAAUCGCCGAGACUACCGCUCGCCAUUGGCAGGGACGGCCCGGGAGGAACCGGCAACUAACCCUGCGCAGGUGUCGUCGCCUCGCGCCGCCGCGGCCAACGGUUCCUUACUUUAUUCACGCGUGUAGCGGCGCGGCGGCGGGUGCCAGGCCACGCCCCCGACGAGGUUCCGUGCGCGCAUCGCAUUGCAGGAGGCAUGAGGCGCGAGCGCGCGCGCCGCGGCCGGUGUGCCCGCCGUUCCGGCAGUCCUGGGUGGGUUCCCGCCUUCUUGGAAUCGAGGGUGGUACCCGUGCCGUGCGCCAAGUGCCCCCAACGCCGAACGUUCCCGUGCCGUGCAUGCGCGACGCGUCGGGGGGUCAUCUGAAGCUGGCCCUAGCUCCUUUCCCAGACGCCGUGAAACGUUUGGGCUCUCUCGGGCGGUCCGCCGCUGUCGCACGGUGAACUCCGACGACAAAGACGAGGAUCCCCUUGCCACGUGCUACUGGAUCACCAUCUCAUUAUCUCUGCUCCGUAGUCCGUACUGGCGGCAUGUAUCGUGCACGUGCAGCUCCUGCAACUAGCCAGUAACUCUGAGACUACGAGCGGCGAGUUUAAUUCCCUUUUCCUCUCGUUCUUUGUUUGGGAGGAUAAUCAAGGGCGAGAACCUGAUGAGUUCGCUUGUCCGGACUGUCAGUUCGCGUAAGCAUAACGAUUCCCGGUGACAGGCUUCGUUUUCCUAGUAGCGUUAGCUCCGAGCUCAACGAGUUGCAUUAAUCCGUCCCCGCGUUAGGGGAGGAGCUGUCCUCCUGCGCGUGCUUAAUAAUUGGCCUCUGUCGCCGUUACGAAGCAACCUGAUUUGUUCUCUCUCAUGAGGCUAUUAUUUCACCGACGAACUCUACUACUAAACGAGCGAAUCAUGAUAGUCGCUCAGUCGAUCUCCUGAGAGCUCAGUUCAGAAUUGACGGCGUUAAAUAAGCUUCUGAACGAAGCGAGCGCGUUCGGCGUGCUGGCAUGCUUCGGGCAUUUUGUUUCUGUUUUUUUUUUCUUAGAGCAAAUCGCCCCGUACUGUCCGGCUGCAUCGGUCGAAGUCAGAGAGGCUAGUAUAGCUGCCUUUGAGCACAAAACAAAUUCACAAUUUAAAAAGGUACUUGACAAAUCUGAGAGGAACUAGACGAAAAUGAUCAGAUGCCAAAUUUCAUGUCGUAGCAUUAUUCACCCGCUGUCUAUCUGGUUAUUAAUAGAGAGAGUAUUCGGCGUGAAGCCAUUUCGUGGCAGCAGACACGCCGCGCGCACGACACAUGUGCCAACAAAGCACUGUACGUAUCUCAUAUCAGUCGAUCCGUCAUUGACCACGCACAUACGUGCGUUACUUGGUCAGUGGUCACUUUGAUCGUGCGUCUACCGGAGGAGGAACUUGGCGGGUAAUUUCGAACCUCAUCUGCGGAUGCGAUCUGUGAUUAAUGGCGCCCGACUCUGUGGCGGAGGAGCAAGCUGGCACGGGUGGACCUUCGGGUGCCCAACUCGCAACGGAACCAGCCGCAGCCCAACAGAAACAAUUGUCCGGGCUAUCUGCGAGGAUAAACGGGGGUCACCUUUGGAUGACGAGUGAUUGACAACCGUGGCGUAUAAUGCAUGUCUUGGCUUCUGAAGUGGACGGAUCUGAGUUCCGGUUUCGAAGCCGGAAGUUACAGAUUUAGUUCCGGUUUUACUCUGACAAGUGUUGAUUUUUCAUUCCGACCUGUCGCGCUUACCUCUAUUUUGUCUCUAAAAUUUUCUAGUAUUGUUUCUAGAUCCAAUAGCAUCCCAAAUAGCUUAAAUAGCUAUGUGGGCUGGACAAUUUUAGAAAAGAGAUUUGUUAGAUGAAUUUAGGAUACAGAUCUUGUUCUAAUCGGAGAUUUUUUAUAGGCUCUCAUUCACCUCCUCUAGUCGUCCGUUGCGGUACGCGGUACUACAAUUUGCCUUGCUCUUGGAGUUCUCGAUCUUGUUAUCACGUCAGGUUCGCUGCUACUAUUCCGUACUAUUCCUGACCCUCGUCUUGCGCGCCCGUAGCGUAGGGGUACGUCACGCCGGACAAGAGGAAGCUGCGGCAACCAGCAUGCGCGCUCCAGCCACCACCGAGUAGGCACGCCUUCGCCGAUCCGUCGACGUGGUGGGUCGAAUGCUGAUGCUUCAUCUCCGGCGGCCCCGUCUGAUCUCGUCGUCGUCGGUUCCCUAGCUCGUUCCAACAUUUCCACUUUUUUCCAGCAGUCACCUAUCAAAGCUCGACGGCUUUUUUAGGCCCUUCCUCCGCUCCGCCCGUCAUGAACGCCGAGAAUAUUUGACCCUGGUUCUGGUUAGCAGACAUGGAAUGUUCUGUUCCAGGUCCAGUCCCACUACAAUUCAGUGCAUCUGCUGCUGCAGGCUGACCACUCUCUCAGAGGAAACAAUCCAAUGGUAGAAGCGGUGCUCAUUCCUCUGGUGGAAAAGAACACAUCCGUGAUAACGACAGGCACGGAUGAAAGCAGCGGGGGGAAAGGGAAGGCAUUGGCCGUAGUGCCGUGGUCGCGGUUUCUAGAACACGACUUUGUUAUCGCCUGGACUCUGCCUGCAUUCCGUGAAAGUGCUACUAGCCAUGCCCGUAUGAGUACAUGACCGAUUGGACAGUACGUUUGUUGCACAUGGACAGGCAUGGUCGUAACUCGUAGCCAUCGCGCAGUCGGAAAGGAAAAAAAAAUGGGACCGGAAUGGCUGAACACCUGAAGCCGAAUCGUCUGAAGCUGGCGGAUGAAACCUGCCAAUCUGAAGCUGGCGGACGAGACCUGAAGCUUUUUUCUGUUCUGCUGUGUUUCAGUUUUAAAACUCGCAGACUCGUUUGUUGGUUUCGAUUCCUUUGUACUGUCACUGCUUUCAGGGGGAUCAAGAGGGGGGCAGCUGUAGGCUUUUUCCCUGCUCGCAUCCUGUCUGUAAUGGGCUACACUGUGCUAAAACGUUCUUGCCUUGUUAAUGCAAUGGCGCGGGAGGGCGGGACGAGCUUCGCCUAUCUGUUCUAAAAAAGAAAAGAAAAAAAAGAACUUCCGGAUUGCCGCCAGUCUUGCACCGGAUGGCUGUGCGUGCAAGUGGCAUAUACCUACCGAUCCAGCUAAACAGGCAAGACGUACAGCCUCUUGCUCCUAUCUACUAAUCCUGACAAGGUUCCGAGUUGACCUGCAGCUGGAGGAAAAACUCUUGCAAACCAGACAAUACCCUCAUCAAGCGGGUCAACGGAGUGGAUAAGCAGGCAGGCCUUGACUAAGCGCGGGCCCCACGACGAGCCUGCCCUGGGUAGAAGAGACGUGGAGUCACACAGCCUUUCUGCUCUUGAUGAUCCUCAAUCAGCAGCUAGCUGGUGGACUGCUACUCCAAGCAACGCCCGGGCUUCCUUCUAGACGAAGACCGGACCGGCUUGGGGACCAAGCAGCAGGCAGGAAGCUUCUGACUUCUGAGGGCUGCCGGCCUCGCGUUCCUUCGCGUCGCGGCUUCUGUUUGCGGGAGCCAGCUAGGUUUGAUCGGUAGAGGAGCAAAUGUAAUACGGUUUUGCCAAAUGAACAAAGGGGACUCCAGUUUAAAGAGAGGUUUUCGUUUCUCAACAUCUAGAAUCCAACCUAUGGCAAAAAGUCGAUUACAAAACCUCCAACCAUGGCCGGCAAAGAAGUGCAUCAUUAUAGCCUCCAAACUUUAGCAGAACUAUUUUAUUUGGUGUCCUCAAAAAAUUUGCAUCAGGGAUCAAAACCGGGUUCAGUUAAAUAAACUGCAAAGGAGAAUUAAUUGGAGCUUUGUCAAAAACCAUAUCAUUACCGUCUGCUCCCUCCAUCCAAAAAUAAGUCAUCCUAAAAAUUCUAGUCAAGAAGGUAGAAUGACCAUAUUUGCCUCUAUUUAUUACCUAUAUUUAGCACUAAUUUGAUUCUUGCAUUCUUGCAUGCACAUGCACUUUCUAAUAGGGUAAGAUGACUCGUUUUUUGAUAAAUUUCGAAUCCUAGAAUUACUUAUUUUUUAGACGGAGCGAGUAGACAUUUCUUUCCGUUAAAUCCUUAGAGAUAAGAACUGCCGCAUUCCUUUAGAAUUUUCUUGAAAAAACAGGUUUGGACCAGAGCCCUGACUUUCACCCCGAAGAGUUUGAAACUUCGAUGUGCAGUCCUCACGUCCCAGACCCUCCAAGUUCACUAGUUCAGAGACCCACAGUGGUCUUACGCUUGACAAAUUUGGUAAUGGGAUAUUACAGGGUGCUGGGACGUUGAUCUGCUACUUCUAGUGAUGUGAUGGUGUCUUAAUGACGUUUUGACGUGAGAGAGAGAGAGAGAGAGAGAGAGAGAGAUUCUUUUUUUAAUAAAAAAAGGAGGGGCAACAUUCUAGACUGAUUGGCACCGUUGAAGCAAACAGGCAAAACACAUUAAUAAAAAAAAAGAGAGAACACAUGGUAUAGGAUGCUAUUAUUCUAACUGAUCCAAAGUACGACUACAACAUGUAUUAAUUAACAUACUGGAAAUUCGUGUGAUGGCAUGUUCCUUCCAUGGAAAUUUGAAAAAUAUUGAAAGCUGCAUGAGGAAUCGUUGGCAUGAGUAUCUCUAGGGUAUCUACAAGCUAAUAUGAAUAUGAUUUACCGUGCAUAUAGUGUCCUUUCUUAAAAUUCAUAAUACACCAAUUGUUCCACCAGUGACUGCGCGUACAUAAGAUCAGCGUGUGAACAUUCCAAAAUAUAUUUAGAGGGGUUCUAAAUGUAAUUUAGCAUGUGCUCUGUUCGAAAUAGGAUUACACAACUCAUGAAAAUGUCAUGGGCCAUCAUGACUGCGGCAGCCCAACUUAGCACGUACUCAGAUACUGGGUGGCCCAGGUGAUUUUCAUCUGGUUGGGCCGGGCCAGAUGCCCACAGGUCCAAACGCAUAUAGCUUGUGUAUAGUUCCUACUUCCGCUAACAUUCUGAAGUUUACGCUACCUGUAUUUUCCCUCAUUCGCCAUACAUAUGAUAACCUCAGUUUCCCACAUCUUCUGCGCCUCCUGCAUGAUCCUAAAUGUAACAUGUAUAACCUUACUCCUGACAGAGAGGUGAAGCGUUGUUUGAGCUCAGAACAGCCAAGCGGGAAGCUAGCUGACACUGACAGGUCCAACGUCUUCUCGUACGGGAUCGUGCGCCUGGAGCUCAUCACCGGCCGGAAGCCGCCCGUGGACGCGUCUCAAUUCUCAACCCCUGGGAGAAGAGAGCCUAGUAGAAUGGGCACGUCUAUCUCUACUCCAGUGCUCUCAUCUGUUAUCUUUUUCUUGAAGCUGGUAUCACGUCGCCGCAUUCUUGCGUGAGUCCGGCUUGCAGGCUCGGGUCCUUGGUACGGACGCCCUGUAGACGGACAGCUUCAGAGAGAUCGCUCGCUGACCCUGCGACUCCGAUGGAGUGCAGAUUCUCCAAGACCGAGAUGCGGAGGAUGGUGGAGGCCGGCCGCCGCCGCUCGAGCGCGCCACUCCGCCGCCAAACAGGAUACCGGAUCAACUUGGACGUGAUUCUCCGAGCAGUAUACUCUUUAAUUCGCAGGAUGCUUGAUCAACUUGGACGCAUAUUCUUCGUCUCCUAACGACGGAACGCUUCUUGCCAUCUCUGGGAUGGGGAAUUAAGGUGCGGCGGUCGCUGGACGUGGACGAGAGCUCGUCGGACCUGACCGACGCCGUGAAGCUCGCGCAGAGCACGGCGUACGACUCGGGCCGGUGCUCGGCGGACGUCGAGCUAUCUGGUUCCCGGCCGCACAAGCAGACAACAACAUCUACUUGCGUGAACCACGUGGUACAUGUCCGUCCGCGUCGGCGUACGUGUGCCCGCAGGAGGACGGGACAGCGCGGAGAAUCGCUGCGGAGGAGGAGGUGUCGCGAGGCAGGCGCAGCUUCGUUGAGAUAGCUAGCACAGUGUCGACGGUGUACGUUGCUGUUCGUGCCGGUACAUUUUUGUGCGUGGAGCCGUGCAUUCUCGUCGCUCGUAAGAAGAGAGAACCGCUUGGCCGGCAUACGGUAACCUUUGGUAUAGAUGUCCUGUGGUCUGCACGAGUGGGUGCAGGCCCGUCUUGUUGCGACGGAUGCUGCGAGCCUAUCCUGAUGACUAAUGAGCAGCAUCUGCAGCCGGUGGUUCAGCUCAUCUUCAGGUGCGAGCCGGCCGAACGCGGCGUGGCCGGACGCAGACCGAAUCGAGGGCUGUUAUGUUUUCAGGUCGAAUAGUACGCAUGGCGCAAUAUAGGACCGGGUCAAACCGAUUUGACUAUAACUAACGCUUUCCGGCUCUGAUCUGUAGUGAACUCCGAGCUGAAUACACAGCCGUGCCAUGGAUUCGUGUAGUGUCUGUUGUAAAAAAAAAUGUGGAGCACUGCACGGGAAUAGCGUGUCAGUGUCGACACAUCUCACAUGUAGCAAGCGGCAAUAAUUAUGGUGACGUGGUCUAGGCAGGGGUACAACCUUGCAUACAGUGCAGAGUGCUGGUCCAUACGCUUUGGAGCCCUACCAGAGAACAGCCCGAUCCGUGGAUCUGUGGUGUAAAAAAAAAACAUGGUGUCUUCAACAUUAUCUCUGCAGGAGUGUGUUGGAUGGUUUGGCUAACUCGGAAUGACAUGAUCUUUCGUAACCGGUGCUGGGUGGACAUCAAGAUAAUUCUGAGGAGGAUGAACAGAUGCCUUGCAUCGUGGAAGCCAAUGUUAACGGCGACCCAGGAAGAUGGUGUUAACCAAUGGUGCAAUUACUUGGAGGAGACUAUCAGGGCGCCGCUGGGAAUCGGACCCUCCUGAAGAAGUUCAAGCUGAGCACCGCGAGGAAGGAGUUCUGAAGCUGCGCUUUGCGCUCCUUGAGGCUCUUGUUAUUGUUUUUUUUUCUUUCUGAAACACUGUUUUAGCCUCUGCCUGUAAGGUGUUAAACUGUUGGUCUAGCUCUCUUCUGGCAGACCCUUGGCUUUGUUUCCCAGACCUGUAAACGCUGAAACUGUUGUUGCUUUGUUUCUAAUGGAAAUGGAGCAGGGCGUUCGGCGCCUUUUGAUUAAAAAAAAAGAGAGAGAACAGCCCGAUCCAAGUCCAGCACCGAUAGAAAUUAUGUGGCGGAGAAACAAGAGGCCGCGAAAUUGAAGGCGAGCUAGCUGGCUGGCUGCACUCGCGUCAUACUGCUCUGGUGGCGCAACCAAAAAUUUCCACAGGCUCGGCACCAUUUAAUCCGAAGAAAACGAGCGGUUAAGUGUCUCUUUGGAUUUGGAUUCGGUGACUAAAUUUUAAACUUUAGUCCCAUCACAUCAAAUGUUUGGUAUUAAUUAAAAGUAUUAAAUAUAGGCUAAUUAUAAAAAUAAUUAUAUAAGUGGAGAUUAAUUCACAAGAUAAAUCUAUUAAACCUAAUUAAUCUAUUAUUAGCACAUGUUUACUGUAGCACAACAUUGCCAAAUCAUGAUCUAAUUAGAUUUAAUGAAUUCGUCUCACGAAUUAGUCUCUAUUUAUACAAUUAGUUAAGCCUAUAUUUAAUAUUUCUAAUUAGUGUCCAAAUAUUUGAUGUGAUAGCAAUAAAAUUUAGUAUAGCGUAUCCAAACUUUCCCUAACUUUAGUCUCCUCCGCCGAAGCCCAACUAUACAUACGCAUCAUUUUAUUUGAUGGAACAGGAGGCUCUCUUUUUCUUUGCGAGGAUAACUUCAUUUGAAUACACUGCAACGAAUUCACGUUCUAUAUGCCACUUGAUCCAUACAAUCUGUCCGGGGGAGUAUCCACAGUCUUAGGUCACGGUCCUAAAAUCCGGCUAGCACAGCUUAUUUUUUUAUUUCCCUUGACACCUCAUCUGAAAGGUACAUUUGGUCGCAGGCAGAAUACAAUACUGUUGGUACAUACAGAUAGGGGUACCUCCUGCUAGGGUGUCCAGGCCCCUGGCGUCUCGUAAUCCAUAACCCCCUCCUCUCCCGCUGGGUGAUGUGGCAUGCGACCCGGACCUGACAGCUGGGGCCACGGUCUCCGGACCCUCCCCGAGCCCUGGGAAGCCCGGGGCCCCUGUGCACCAAGGAGGGCAGGACGGCUUUCGGGUUGCCCCCGUGGCCCCGGACCCCCCAGGGGGUCCGAGGCCGCUACGUGUGAUAACCGGACCAUCACGGGCCAGGCUCCCUCAACUGGACUCGAAGGGCCCGGACUCCCCUUCCCCCGGGGAGGGGUCCGGUGCCGCCACGUGCCGCUUGACAGAGGGAGCGGGACUGGCUCUACCGCGUACCUGCGGCUGGAGGCCCUUCGCGAGUCACCAGCCCACCUACCAGCAUUAAAUGCGGUAGCUGAGCCGGGCGCGCCCAAGUCAAAAGGUGCGGCCUGUCACUGACACACGGGGCAGGUAAGCUGACACCACGGUAAGCCCGCCUGAUCUGAAGGCGGCGCGUCGUAUCACCGUGCACAGUGCGCGGACUGUGUACAGUCCUGUCACGGCGCUGCACGCGUGAUGAUGGUCUGCAAUAGGCAAAGCCAAGGCGUGCGCUGUAACAGUGCACACGCACCGGGUCAGCGCUGCUUCACCGCCUGACGGGAGGUCCCGUCCUAACAGUGACAGCACGGCUUCACUGUUAUGCAACGCUGACGCCGGAUACUGUGCAAGAUAAGGCUGUACAGGGCCGUAUCCAAGUUAUGGAUACGCACAUCAACUUCCCGAUUGAGAGGACUACGGAGAGGAGCUGGAGAUGAAGAUCUCCAUAUCUCUCUUAGAACAAGUUUCUGCUGGCCGGACCCACAUGUCGGGGUCCAGCUCGGUGUAAGCUCCCCCCUUGGACUAUAAAAGGGAGGGUGUACACGUUAGAAAGGGCGGGGUUCCAACAUCCAAGGUUAGACACAAGCACAAGACCAGACUAAGUUCUACCCAAGGCUCUCACAGUCAAUACAAUACCAUAGUGGACGUAGGGUAUUACGCUCCGGCGGCCCGAACCACUCUAAAAUCCUCGUGUCCUUCCUGUGUUCAUCCGCACACCGAUCGAGCGCUCCUAAGUCUCCUCCAAACCCAUCCUUAACUAGGGUUAGACGGGUGCUUUCCGCCACCCGGCUGGAGAAUUCCUCCGACAUUUGGCGCGCCAGGUAGGGGAGCCUAGGUUUGGUUCGCGUUUGAUCAAAGUGCAAGGCCGCGAUGGCGCAGGAAAACGGUCACCAUGACCUCCUGAUUGGGGAAGAGGUGGCGUCCACGGCGCCACACGCCUCUCGCCGUCUCGCCUCCGGAGCGGCUCCGCGUGUUGCCCCACCAUGUGCGGCGGAGCGGGUCUCAGUGGCCUAAUCGGUGCCCGCACCGAGCGGGCCCCUCAUGGCAGCCAGGGAGUUGCUCCGCAACCCCCCUGGAGAGGCGGCUUCGCCAGACGCGCACACGCAAUGGCGUGACGACGUCGACCGUCUCCUCAACCUGGCACAGGCUUCCCCAGGCUCUGCGGGGGGUCUGUUUCCAGGCAGCGCCGUCGCCAGGGCGGCGCAUCCGGUUUGGUGCACUCACCGUCCGUAAGGAGUGCACGGACCGAAGACCUCCGGGCGGAUCUCAACCGCAGGCAUGCGGGAGAGGACGCCAGGGUCUCUAUCGAGCGAGCGCGCAACCGACGGCUCAAUAUUGAGGGUCGGGACCUUUCGCCCGAGCUCGAUGCGGCUGCGGCCAGGCCGCAAGGACUCCCUCAGGCACCGGUGUCGGGCGUGGUCUGCGCAGCGCUCGCAGACCACCUUCGCGCGGUCGCCUAGCCGUCCAAGUUUCGGCCCCACCUGCCGGAAAAAUAUGACGGCUCCACCAACCCGUCAGAGUUCCUGCAGGUCUACAUCACCGCCAUCACGGCGGCCGGAGGUAACGAAGCCGUCAUGGCCAGUUACUUUCAUGUAGUCUUGACCGGGCCAGCCCGGACCUGGCUCAUGAAUCUUACCCCGGGAACCAUCCAGUCCUGGGGUGAGCUCUGCGCACAGUUCACGACGAAUUUCGCCAGUGCGUACCAACAGCAUGGCGUGGAGGCCCACCUUCACGCCGUGAGGCAACAACCCGGGGAAACCCUCCGGGCCUUCAUCUCUCGCUUCACCAAGGUACGUGGAACUAUCCCACGUAUCUCCGAUGUAUCUAUCAUCACGGCCUUCCGACAGGGAGUCCGGGACGAGAAGAUGCUAGAGAAGCUGGCGACCCACCAAGUGGAAGCCGUCACCACCCUGUUCGCUCUGGCGGACAAGUGCGCCCGGGCUGCAGAAGGCCGUGCAUGGCACUCUGAAAACCCAGGCAGGCCCCGCUCAGACGAGUGGACCCAGUGGCGCUGCCCCCGGCAGCGGCAAGAAGAAGAACAAGAAGAACCGUGGCUUCGACAAGUCACGGAUUGGGGGUCCGGCCGUUGCAGCUGCGACGACCGGGGGCCAGAACUCCCGUGGCAAGCGCCCGCGACAGCAGCGCACCGACCCCGGGUCGUGCCCUGUUCAUCCGGGGGCUCGCCACAGCGCCACCGAGUGCCGCGAGAUCCAGAAGCUCGCGGAGCGCCUCAGCAAGAGGCGAGACCAAGCCUCCAAGGAAGGCUCCUCCCCUCCACGCCGGUCCGGAAAGGAGAAAGCCUCUGAUGCCGACGCGGCUGCGACUGAGAGGGAGUUGGGGUAUCAAACCCCCAACAAAGACCUCAAGGGACUUUUCCAGCAGUCCGAUUCCGAGUCCGGCGGGGACGAGCGCCGCAAGAAGCUGUACGUUAUGUACGGCGGCAGUUCGGAGCUCGUCUCCCGGCGGAACGUCAAGACCCUUCGCCGCGAGGUCCUCUCGGUGAAGCCAGGGGUGCCGAGAGCGGCGCCCCAUCAGCGGUGGAAUGGCACUACCAUCUUCUUUUGGCCAUCUGAUUGCCCAGAGAACAUGGCGGGCGCCGGAGUGCUGCCGCUCAUUACAGCACCCACCAUCGCCAAUGUUCGCCUUCACCAUGUGCUGAUCGACGGAGGCGCCGGCCUCAGCGUCAUCAGCUAUGCAGCGUUCAAGCACCUGCAGAUCCCGGAGUCCAAGCUGGCUCCAUCACGCCCAUUCUCAGAAGUGGGCCCGGAUCCCGUGUACCCGGUGGGAACCGUCACCCUACCGGUUACAUUCGGGACAGAGGACAACUUCCGUACCGAGAACGUGCAGUUCGAGGUUGCGGAAGUUAACCUCCGCUUCAACGCCAUCAUCGGCAGACCGGCUCUGUACCGGUUCAUGGUCGUUGCCCACUACGGGUACCUGGUCCUGAAGAUGCCUUCUCCGGCAGGCGUCCUCACCGUCCAGAGCGAUCGUGCCGCUGCUGUUCUGGCGGUCGAAAAGCUCCAUGCGCUGGCUACAGGGCUUGCCCCUGUAGUUGGCACCCAGGGGUCCGACCUCUCAACCUUACGUGCCAAGGUUCCGGCCAAGACACCGAGGGUCUGUCCGUCUGACACGGACAACUUUCCCGUGAAGACCAUCCAGGUCGGAGUGGAGACCUCCCAGACCACCCGCAUUGAUGUGUUCGCCUGGGAACCAUCACAAAUGCCCGGGAUUCCCAGGGAGGUAAUUGAGCAUCAUCUGAAGAUCCACCCCGACGCCAGGCCGGUCCGGCAGAAGCCACGCAAGCAGUCCAUUGAGCGGCAAAACUUCAUCCGUGAAGAGGUCCGCAAGCUGCUGCAGGCUGGCUUUAUCCAGGAGGUCUACCAUCCUGUAUGGUUGGCCAACCCAGUUGUGGUCCCAAAGGCCAACGGAAAGCUUCGGAUGUGCAUCAACUACACCAAUCUUAAUAAGACAUGUCCAAAAGACACUUAUCCACUCCCGCGUAUAGAUCAGAUUGUAGACUCCACCUCCGGAUGUGAUUUGCUGUCCUUCAUAGAUGCCUAUUCUGGUUUCCAUCAAAUCAAAAUGGCUAGAGAUGAUAGGAAGCAUACAGUUUUUGUAACAGUGGAUGGUCUUUAUUGUUAUAUAGUGAUGCCUUAUGGAUUGCUCAAUGCUCUACCCACCUUUGCUCGCGCAAUGAAUAUCACUCUAGGUGAUUUGGUUAGAGAUAUAGUAGAGGUGUAUGUCGAUGACAUCGUAGUCAAGACUAGAGAGUCGUGUUCUCUAUUAGAAAAUUUAGCUCGAGUUUUUGACAAGUUACGGGCGACCUCCACCAAGUUUAACCCCGAGAAGUGCGUCUUUGGCGUAUCGGCGGGGAAGCUCCUUGGUUUCCUGGUCUCCUACCGGGGAAUCGAAGCCAACCCGGAUAAGGUCCGGGCAAUCGAGGCAAUGAGACCCCCCGCGCGCCUCAAGGAUGUACAGAGGUUGACGGGGUCCCUGGCAGCUCUCAGCCGCUUCAUUUCGAGGCUGGUGGAGAUGGCACUUCCCUUCUUCAAGUUGAUGAGGGGGUCCGGCCCAUUCACAUGGACCGAAGAGGCAGAGCGUGCUUUCCAAGAGAUGAAGCAGUACCUUACCUCCUUGCCGGUCCUGGUCGCGCCGGACCCAGGUGAGACACUGUUUCUUUAUCUUGCAGCAACGACCGAAGUGAUCAGCAUGGUGCUGGUCACCGAGAGGUCCGAGCCUCUCUCGCAGGGGCCCCCGCGGACCCCCCUACAGGAGAAGGAGGACCGGCCCCCACCACUCCAGUAACCGGCCCUACUUCGGAGGGUCCGGCCGGGUCCCGACCCGGACAAGCGCUCAGCAGCCUGGGGGCCGACGGGUGCCCAGCUGAAGCCGAAGGGUCUAACCCACCUGGCAGAGUCAGGACCAUCCAGAAGCCGGUCUACUAUGUCAGUGAGGUCCUUCACGAGGCAAAGGCCAGGUAUCCUGAGACGCAUAAGCUUCUUUAUGCCAUACUCGUUGCGUCCAGAAAACUCCGCCAUUAUUUUCAGGCCCACAAGAUUGUGGUGGUAACCUCCUACCUUUUGAGGGCCAUCCUCCACAACUCCAACGCCACAGGCAAUAUCGCCAAGUGGGCAGCUGAGCUCGCUGGAUUCCAACUUGACUUCCAGCCGCGCCACGCCGUCAAGAGUCAGGUCCUAGCUGACUUCGUGGCGGAAUGGACACCUGCGCCAAGCGCCUCUGGGGGUCCGGACCAUGGGACGGACCCCCCACGUCCGGAAGCCAGCGCCCCGGUGUUCACCGGACCCCACUGGACCCUCUUCUUUGACGGGUCCGCCCGCAGCAAGAGGGCCGGGGCUGGCGUGGUCCUCAUCGACCCACAAGGCGAGCAAUUAAAGUAUAUGGUGCACCUCGAUUUUGAGGCCACCAACAACAUGGCGGAGUAUGAGGACUUAAUCUUUGGGCUCACGGCGGCACUGUCCCUGGGGGUCCGGGAGAUCCUGGUCAAAGGGGACUCCCAACUCAUCAUCAGGCAAGUUCGGGGGGAGUGUUGCUGCAACAACCCCAGCUCGCAGCCUACCUCAUUUAUGUGAAGAGGCUGGAGAAGAAUUUCGAUGUGCUGGAACUGCAACAUGUUCCACGCGAAGGCAACACAGCAGCUGAUGCACUCUCCGCGAGCAUCGACUCAGGCACCCGUGCCUGAGGGCGUCUUCCAGAGGCGUCUGUUGAAGCCUUCCGCCCAGCCUGCCGACCUGGGCGAUGGGGGUCGGAAUAGCACCUCGAAGCUAGCGGUCCCGGCGGCGCUCCAUCCGUGGUGCCCACCAAGGGUCGUGUGCUCCCUUGAGGGUCCCGAAGACCUCAGGGAGCCACGCCCGGUUUCUCAGGAAGGUCCUGAUGCAUGGAUCUCCAGGGUCCGGGACUACCUGAAAGAUAAUUUCCUUCCUGAAGAUCAUGCAACUGCUGAGCGCAUUGUCCGGAUGGCUAAGCGAUACACAGUGGUAGAGGGGGAUCUCUACCGCCGUGGCGCCAACAGCAUCCUCAUGCGGUGCAUCACCCAGAAAGAGGGCCGCGACUUGCUCGCGGAGAUCCAUGGAGGCGAGUGCGGAAGCCACUCUUCAUCCCGCACGCUGGUUGGUAAAGCCUUUCGGCAUGGUUUUUACUGGCCGACAGCGCUCCAAGAUGCAGCUGACUUGGUAAGGUCCUGCAAAGCGUGUCAGUUCCACGCAAAGCAGAUACACACUCCAGCUCAGGCACUGCAGAUGAUUCCUCUCUCUUGGCCCUUCGCUGUAUGGGGGUUGGAUAUCUUGGGACCUUUCCCUAGGGCCGUCGGCGGGUACCGGUACCUUUAUGUCACGAUUGACAAGUUCACCAAAUGGCCGGAGGCAACCCCUGUGGUCAACAUAACCAAGGCGUCGGCAACUGCUUUCCUCAGGUCGAUUGUGUGCCGGUUCGGGGUCCCGAACCGGGUCAUUACUGACAAUGGGACUCAGUUCACAAGCCAAUACUUCCAAGAGUACUGUGAGGAUAUUGGCAUCCAGCUCUGUUUUGCCUCAGUGGCGCAUCCCAGGAGCAAUGGUCAAGUAGAGCGGGCCAACGCUGAGAUCCUCAGAGGACUCAAGAUCCGGACCUACUAUGAUCUUGAGAAGCGUGGCGCAAGGUGGAUCGAAGAGCCUUCGAGUGUAUUAUGGGGGAACCGGACCACACCCAGCCGCGCGAUAGGGGAAACCCCUUUCUUCUUGGUCUAUGGGGCCGAAGCGUGCCUUCCCCCAGAGAUCACCAUGGGCUCUCUUCGAGUCCGGUCUUUUGAUGAAGAUUUGCAGGAACUGCAGCGUCGCUAAGACGUGGACCUCGUCGACGAGUGCAGAUGGCGAGCAGCAGUCCGAAAUGCACGGUACAACCAAGCGCUCCGGCGCUACCACCAACGGUUCGUGCGAAGUAGGGAGCUCCGGGUCGGAGACCUAGUCCUAAGGCGAAUCCUGAAUCGGGAAGGCAUGCACAAGCUCUCCCCCAGCUGGGAGGGGCCCUACAAAGUGACCAAGGUGUGCCGACCCGGAUCUGUUCGCCUGGCUGCGGAGGAUGGAAUGCAACUACCCAAUCCAUGGAACAUUGAGCACCUCCGUAAGUUCUAUCCCUAUGACCUGGUUGAGAGGAAAUUUUUCCUUUGUAAUUGGUAGCAUUGCCGUGCGGAUCAGGGCGGUAGAGGUCCGCCCUCGUAAACCCGACCCCUGGCGUACAUCGCACAACUCUUCUGUACCAAUUCAUUUAAGGGGAAAUUUUUUCUCAAAUGCGUCCUUGAACUCUAUGCGAUUCUAAGUUUUUUCGCUUCUUGUUACGCUAACCCCCCACGUGGUUUUUCGCGUCUGUGCCGUUCGAAGGCCCUACCAAAACUGCUACACUAUGUCUCUGCCUGGGAUCCCUGUCUCGUGGAAGAAAAGGAACCGGACACCCGGGAACUGGCUUCAGGGAGACGUGCUCGUUCUUUGCUGGGGUCCAGGGCUGUGUAGCCGCUUAGCCUGGUUCCGUACCCUAAGCCUACACGCCCUGCCCCCCUAGGACGGGUACCGUUGUACCUUGAACAAUGGACCCGGGGGCCGGGACCCCUUAGAUUCCCGAACUGUGGCUCCGGUGCUCUGACUCGUUACGCAACGCAGUAGGCCUUCGCUGGCCGGACCGGGACCUCGUGGGGACGUCUACUAAGCGUCGAUCUGAGUCACGUGCAGGACCUCGCUUUUAUGGCAGCUAGUCCCGAUUUAUCGCGACUACCUCCCAGGGGGCCACGGGACCUCGGUGUGUCCAACAGCACUUUGCAGAUCGACAGUCAGGGAAACAGCUAAGUUUUUCGCGAAAAGUAGACACAUCAAAUACUUAAACGCAUUACUAAUAAUGUGCACAACAUUUUAAAGUUAUCUUACAAUAACAAAAGUUAUGUUACAAAAGAAAUAACAAAAAAGAUACUAGCACUACUGCUCUGGUGGUCCAGAGACACUCCCGCUCUCUGCAGGUUCGGGACGACGCCGGAGGCGCGUCGCGACCAUGUCCGCCGCCUCUUGGACCCCUUCUCGCGCGGCGGCUGCGGUCGCCCGGAGGGGUCCGACCAUGACAGGAGUCAGCUGGAUUGAGGGGUCAUGGCUCCGGAAGCUGGUGAGGAUGUACUCGGCCAUCCCCCUAGCAACUAUUCGCCCCUCUGUCUCCAGGAGAUCCUGCAUCCCGGCCCCCGCAUCGUGUAGCCGCCUGGCGGUGGUGUCCAGCAGUUGAAGCGCGGCGCUAAAUGGCGAAGGAGCCUCCGGUACCCAGAUGGGGUUGGCUCCGAGUGCCUCUAGCAGAGGGUUCACCGUGCCAACCCAUCUUGUUAACCGGCCGGAGCCGGCGCGCUGCUCCACCAGGAGCUCCUCCACCUUGGCCUCCCUCUCCUGGAGCACAGCCUCGCAUUCCUGGAGCCUUCGGUUCCCGACUGCCAGCUCCUCCUCCACGGCCUCUUCCCGUUUUUGGAGCUCCUGGAGCCGGGCCACCUCCUCUGCUUCACGGGCGGCCAGCCAUUCUUCUUUCUUUGCUGCCGCCGCCGCCAAAUCUGCGAGGGCGGCCUUUUCCGCCUCGACCGCUGCUGACGCCUUCCUGGCCUGAGCCGCCAGCUCCUGGGCGACCCGCUCCCUGUCUGCUAACGCCACCUUCAUCUCCUCCACGGCGAUCAGCCCCUCAAGGGCUUCCGUUUCCCGCCGCCUGGCCGCCUUCUCCCACUGGAGCGCCGCCGCCUCUCGGACGCGAGCUUGCUCCAGCUCCUCCUGCAGAAGCUCGCGCCCAUGCACGAGCUUGGCACGCUCCUCGGCGUAGCGGGCAGAGACGGAGUUGAUGCGGUCACCCAGGCGGACCUCCCAGUCGGAGAGUCGGUGGUGUUCUGCCUCCAGCUUCUCCCACUCCCGGCGCAUGCCAGCCUCUAGCUCCUGCUGAGCUUGGUGGCAUUUGGCUAUGAGCCGGGGGAGAGGGACCUCCGCUGUGCUUGGGAGGAGGCGCCUCCCUAGCACCACCUCCGGUUCCUCCUCCUCAACCGGUGGGGAGACGCUGCUGCCAACUUCGGCGACCCCUGGUGCCGCCUCCUUCGCCUCUUCCGCUACCUCCGGUGCCGCCACCUCUGCUGCCUCCGGCGCUGCAGCCUCCGCCGUGGCAGCGGCCCCCUUAGCCACCGGCUCGGCUGGUGAGGGCCCGGCCUCGUCACCUGAAGCUGCGGCCGCUGCCUCCAUAGCAGCAGCGGCCUUGGUGGCCUCCUCCUGGGGGGCAGCUUCGGGUUGUGGCGGGGUGGAGGCAUCCGGCUCCGGGCCCAUGGGUCCGGUAGCUUCUGGAGCUGCUUCGGGCGGGGGACCUGCUGGGGACGGCGCCGAAGGUCCCGACGCUGGCUGGGGCCCGGUCCCCCCAGUUGGUACGUCUGAAGAUUGCGGCCUGCCGUAUCACCUAUAUGGUUAAGGACCAGAAGCCAAGAAAGGAAAUGAAAAAUCUUUACAAAUUUACUUACGGGAAGUCGCACCACUCCCAUCUGCCCCGGGCGGCUGGGGGAACCUUCCUCCCUGCCGAGGACCCCCCGGACCUUUGGGGAGCGUCCCCGGCCUUUGAGCCCCCUGGCGGCGGCGAUGGGGACUGUGGCCUGACCUCGGACGGUAGUGGUGGUGUCGCGGGCCGCCGUUCUGGUGGUGGUGGCGGUGGAGUCUGUCGUCUUGGGGGAGGCCGGUGUUGCGGUGGAGGAGGUGCAGCCCCGCUCUGCUCCUCCGCCCCCGCGGUCUUCUGGCGCUUGGGCGCCGGCUCCCCGACCAAGGAGCCAUCGCCUCGCUGGAGCCUCCGGAAUUUGCUCCCUUCGGGUUGGCUGCUCCGCGCUGGUGCUAGCCCCUGGGCCUCACCGCGUCCUUCUGUCGGGGGAGCACCAGCGUUGCCCUUCUGCCGGUGCUCUGGCACCGGCGCCUUCUCCUUCCCUUUCCCGCUGGGGGCCGGACCUCUGGGUCCCGGCCCCCCGGGACCGUCGUUGGUGCAUUGCUGGCGGUCCGGCGUGGCGCCAGUGAUCUGGAGCCCGCGGUUGGGGUCGUCCCCCAGUUGCCGGACCGCCAGGCCGCCCUCGUCCAGGGUCGGCAUCGACGCCAGGACCGAAGACCGCAGUGCCUGGUCCUCGCACAGGGCCUUCACCCCGCUCGGGAGGACCAGGGACUCGGGAAUGAACGCCUCGCCGGUCACCGCCCGGACCGCCGCCUCCAGUUCCGCCCUGGUGAAGUCACCGCCGGGCCCGCGCGCGAUCCUGCAGCAGUCGUUAAGCCCCGUGUACACGUAGGCCAUCCGGGACCGCUGCUGCAGGGGGGCGAUUCGCCGCUUCAAGAAGUCGCCCAGCACCAUCAUAGAAGUCAGGCCGCCCCUUGCCAGCUUCUUGAUCCGGUACAGCACCGGGUCGAGCUCCGAAGGUAUUGUCGGCCUGGCCUUCCAAGUGCUCCAGUCACUCUGGGGGCCCCCCGUCGGCAGUUCCAGGCGGUCGUGGGGGUCGGUUACCGCAAUGACCCAGCCUUCACGCCAGUCCUCCCACUUGGAGCUGGAGAAGGCGGCGAUGUAAGAGCCCGCCAUCCCGUGCCAGAGCUGGAAGUAAUAAGCGCCAAUCUCGCCGCGCUUCUUCCCGGUCCCGACCAGGGAAUAGAAAUGUUUGAAGAUGGUGGUGCAGGGUCGCACCCCCACGAAUAUCUCCAUAAGGUGGGCGAAGACCGCCUCGAGGAGGACGGAAUGGGGGGUGAGAUGAUGAAGUUGGAGGCCGAACUCCUCCAGGAGCAGGAGCAAGAAGGAGGAGAUCGGAGGAACCAACCCGCACAAAAUGUACGAAUUGAAAAGGACGAACUCCCCCGCAGCAAGCUUGCGGAGGGGGAUCUUGCCGGCCCUGACCUUCCCGGCGUUCGCCGGAGCGGUCCACCCCAUGAGGCGCCGCACCGCGUCCAACUGAUCCUGGCUCUGGAAGCGACGCGGGAAAGGAAGUGUAGUCAUGGUGUUUGUUGGGUAUGGAUUGCAAAGGAGAAGGGAAGAGAAGGGAGCCGAGCGCAAGGAUGCCAAUCACGAGAAGAGAUGCGGAGACGAAGGGGCGCUACGGCGUCUGUUGUUGGCGAGAGCGAAAAGGUAGCCGCUCCCUUCGGCGCAUACCUUUUAUGCAAAAGGCCACUGCCUUCUCGCGCCCACGGCGACCGAGGAGAAGCCGAACGGUUGGCUGCACCAGGCCCGCUCCUCUCAUACCCUUUGACCGGUGGGCCCGGGCCCACCAGUCAGAGGCGUGACCGCUGGGGGUAUGGGGGAAAGGCGGAAUCCGAACCACCCAGGCCGCUGGACGGGCUCGAAUAAGACAAGAAUCUGAACCGCCUGACGCGUGCGCCGCGGGCGCGGGACGGGCCCCUCGGGGAUCCCACUUUGGGCGAAAGGACAUCCAUGCCCUUACCCGGCGGGAACGAGCUGUCCACCCGGCGCGAAGCUGGGAUUUGGCCACACCUGCGGGUUCAUCCCUCACCCAAGGUGGGCCCGGGGGCCUCUGUCGGUACAUACAGACAGGGGUAGCUCCUGCUAGGGUGUCCAGGCCCCUGGCGUCUCGUAAUUCAUAACCCCCUCCUCUCCCGCUGGGUGACGUGGCAUACGACCCGGGCCUGACAGCUGGGGCCACGGUCUCCGGACCCUCCCCGAGCUCUGGGAAGCCCGGGGCCCCUGUGCACCAAGGAGGGCAGGACGGCUUUCGGGUUGCCCCCGCGGCCCCGGACCCCCAGGGGGUCCGAGGCCGCUACGUGUGAUAACCGGACCAUUACAAGCCAGGCUCCCUCAACUGGACUCGAAGGGCCCGGACUCCCCUUCCCCCGGGGAGGGGUCCGGUGCCGCCACGUGCCGCUUGACAGAGGGAGCGGGACUGGCUCUGCCGCGUACGUGCGGCUGGAGGCCCUUCGCGAGUCACCAGCCCACCUACCAGCAUUAAAUGCGGUAGCUGAGCCGGGCGCGCCCAAGUCAAAAGGUGCGGCCUGCCACUGACACACGGGGCAGGUAAGCUGACACCACGGUAAGCCUGCCUGAUCUGAAAGCGGCGCGUCAUAUCACCGUGCACAGUGCGCGGACUGUGUACAGUCCUGUCACGGCGCUGCACGCGUGAUGAUGGUCUGUAAUAGGCAAAGCCAAGGCGUGCGCUGUAACAGUGCACACGCACCGGGUCAGCGCUGCUUCACCGCCUGACGGGAGGUCCCGUCCUAACAGUGACAGCACGGCUUCACUGUUAUGCAACGCUGACGCCGGAUACUGUGCAAGACAAGGCUGUACAGGGCCGUAUCCAAGUUAUGGAUACGCACAUCAACUUCCCGAUUGAGAGGACUACGGAGAGGAGCUGGAGAUGAAGAUCUCCAUAUCUCUCUUAGAACAAGCUUCUGCUGGCCGGACCCACAUGUCGGGGUCCAGCUCGGUGUAAGCUCCCCCCUUGGACUAUAAAAGGGAGGGUGUACACGUUAGAAAGGGCGGGGUUCCAACAUCCAAGGUUAGACACAAGCACAAGACCAGACUAAGUUCUACCCAAAGCUCUCACAGUCAAUACAAUACUAUAGUGGACGUAGGGUAUUACGCUCCGGCGGCCCGAACCACUCUAAAAUCCUCGUGUCCUUUCUGUGUUCAUCCGCACACCGAUCGAGCGCUCCUAAGUCUCCUCCAAACCCAUCCUUAACUAGGGUUAGGCGGGUGCUUUCCGCCACCCGGCUGGAGAAUUCUUCCGACAAAUACUCUCUCUAUUUUCAUUUACAUGUCGUACUAAGUUUAUCCUAACUCAAAUUUAGCUAACUUUGACCAAAUUUAAGAAAAAAAUAAUAAUAUUUAUAAUAUCAAAUUUAUUUUAUUGAAUCGACCAUUAAGUAUACGUUAACAGUGUAUACGUUGGAUAAUAUAGUUAUUGCUAUAUUUUUUAUAUAUUUGAUCAAAAUUAGCUUACUUUAAUCAGAGAGAGUAUGUACGAGCCGACAUGGUUUGUCUAUACGGGUCAGAGAGGCUCGAGGAUCGGAAGUGAGCUAUUGAUUUGUCCGAGUCCACGUCCGCCUCGGCCAUCGCCUGCCCGCGCUGCCGCGCGCGCCACCAGUGUACCACGCCGUGGUCGGGGACCGUCCACAUCGGCAGCGCCAUCCCGGCCAUCCGGAAUGCCGCCCUGCAUCCAAAUGACCAAAUUUUAGCAGGGGCCUGCAGCAUGGAACGGUUGAGCCUCGCCUUACUGAUUCCAGGAACCGCUUCUGUGCAAGCCUCGCGCCCUCGCCAGUGUGUGUGCGCACCGACACUGGGGGAACUUCCCCGUCUCUCGCCCAAAUGAUGCCACUGCUCUCUGCUCCACCGGCACCGGCAGUGCUCACUGCUCUCUGGUCCUCUGUGAGACCGCGCGCCAGUGGCAGCUUGGCACACGGACAACCCAACUAACCCUCCCUAGGUAGGUAGUACGAGUGCCUUGUUUCUUUGGUUAUUACCUUUUCUUUGUAGCCGCACGCGUACGGUGGUCUCACAAUUGAGAGGCUGUCACUUGUCAAGCAUUUCGUGUAGCCUCUGCUCUGUAUCCUCUGCAGGCUUUGCCCACCAUCAGAACGGGUGCUCUACGAAUCGAGAGAGACCUGUGGCAUCAAAAGCGCCCCACCUCACAGGCUCACAGUCACACCCACCAGUUAGCUCCAUGGCUCCGUGGCCGCCCAGUUUAACUCGAACAUCUUACCAUCCUAUUGGCUUUCGUCCCAUUCAUCGGAGAGCCGAGCGGAAGAAGUGCGCAUAAGACUAUAAGAGUAUACAUAACCGUUGAGGUAACUCGUAUCAAGAUGUCUGUAACAUGUUCGCAAUAUAUAUAUAUAUAUAUAUAUAUAUAUAUAUAUAUAUAUAUAUAUAUAUAUAUAUAUAUAUAUAUAUAUAAGCAGCUUAAAACACGACCCGUACAUCCGGUGGCGGAGCUAGGAUUUUUGUACGGGGCAUGUCAAAUCAAAAUGUUCAUAUGCAAACCGGUAAAAUCUAUUUAGCAAUUCGGUAAAGUUUUAUAAAAUUACCCAACAAUUUGGUACACAACUACUAAAUGGCAUAAUAAGUCUUAAAUUACAAUCCAGAUAGUCUAAAACACCACACUAAUAGCUUGGAAUAUAAAGCACACAAGUUUAAAUAGCAAAUAGGAUUACAACACUAUUAUUUAGGUCAACGCUUUCUAAUGGCCAUGAAAGUCUUAACUACAUCAUCUUUAUUCACAUCUUCCAAAAUAUCUCUAUCAAUAAAGGUGACAAGGUAAACAUCCAGGAGACUAUCACUCAUCUUAUUUCUCUGCUUGGUUUUGAUAAAAUCCAUAUUAGAAAAUACCCUCUCAACACUUGGGAUUUGGGGGAAUAUAAAAAAAAUGCAGGGGAGAGCAGAGGGGAUCGAGUUCUCACCGGCUGGGGGCUAGGGCACGGCCGCAAGGGCACCGGUGCAACCUGGCUAGGGACACUGGGCCGGCUGGAGGUAGAUUCCUAGGGUGGGGCUGCCCAUUUGGGGCCGGCUGCCGGGGGACGAGGCGCAGGGGUGGAGCCGGGGCACGCCGACUGCCGCCGAGGAAAAGGGAGGGAGCCGCGCGCCGCCGCCUGGAGAUGGAGCGGAGGGCAAGCUGGCGGGGGAGUUGGCGCAGUAUCGGGCAGACGAGCAUCGACGCUCGCAAGUCGCACGUCGAUCGCGCGAGGGCCGAGCAGCCACGGGAUGGAAGGGAAAUUGGGGUUUUUUUACAGACUAUAUGCUUAUUGGACUGGACUUAGGGUAUGCCGCACCAUACCCGUGUAGCCCACUGGAUCCACCAGUGUGUACAUCUAUUGUUUGUUAUCAUUAUCAUGCAAGACAUUUUGUCUUGCUUCACGUGCUACCUAUUCUAUUCCUCAAUAAUACUGUCUCUUGCUCAAUAAAUAAUAAUGUUUAGAACAAGCUAAAAAAUAUUGUAUAUUUGAAAAUAGAAAGAGCACCCUCUAUUAUUUCUUUGUAAAAACUCCUCAAUGUACUUGUUUAGAAAUUGUAGAUGCAAGCUUGGUCGUGGCCAAAAUUCUCAACAUAGAUAUGUGCUCACAGGGAAAAACCAUUUCAUAAGUUCUCAAACGUGUAAGUUAUUGAGAAUUUCUAAAUGGCCAGGUUAACACAUGAUGGAUCCAGCAGAAGCAAAGCAUCCGGCCUGCACACAUCAUCUUCCUCCUCUGAUUCAAUCCACCAUGUUAUGUCAUCAUUCUCCUUCUUGCAUCGCCACCAAAGCCGCACGACACACGUCCUGCGACGCAGGCUUGAUCCCAAACCUCUAUGGCUCUAUGUCCAACAAGGAACAAAGCAAUUCACCACCAGAAAAUCCUCAAACACCCCUAGCCUGAAACCCACUGCUGUCGUUGGCGCUUAUGAUAGAGGUGGUAAUGGACCAUGACCCUAAUACUCUCUUCACAAUCCAACUUGAUCCGUAAUAUUUUUAGCUUAAAAUUAUAUAAGAUUAGAAUUCGAUCCUUUUAGAGUCCGGCCCUUAGAUUAUCUAGGCUUAAAAUUAAGACCCUUUACCACCCCUACGCCUAUCACGUGGAAGCUAUUAGACAUGCUUUACUAUUAAGAUGGUACCAUUAGCCCAGUAUGACAACCCAUUUCAUGGAUAUCAUAAUUUGACGAGAAAUUGGCAACUAUAACAUUUCGGAAAGCGACGGUGCUACCGCUAAGGGGAUCAAAUACUUUACAAAUGACAUGUCAGCGAUUUGGUCACAAUAGGUGGCGUACAAGCUAGAAACUUUCUGAUUAGGAUCAGUCCACUCGGCAGAAAUAAUAGCCAUUUUGAGCUACCAAAUUCUACACCCCUCAUCAAUUUUCUCAAAGCCGCAUCCAUCUAAAAGUCCGUCGUCGUACGGGCGCUUAUUCACUCCAUGUCACGUGGGGCUUUCGAUCAGCAUCCGGACAGUUAGAGUUAGAGGAGAGUCCCGUUCUGAGGCACUGGUGGAUCGUGCAGAGCUUCUUCGUAAUCGGAGUAGCAGGACCAUCAAAAAUUAAAUCAUUGGCUUGCGCCGCAUCGCAUGGCGUGGCCACUUCCGCUACCACUUGCUGGAAAACUGAUACCCGUAUCUACGUGGCCUUCGCUGUCCAAGGCUUCAUGAGUUCAUGGCAUUCGGUUUCUGGGCUCGCUGCUUGCAUCAGUCUCUCCAGCACAACAGUACAAUCUGGCACCAAGUAGAAGAAGAAAUCGGGAUCCAAUCUGCAGCCCUUAUCAUCCGAAGUGGAAUAAACAAAUGAAUGCUGAACCGUCGGACAGGAACGGCCGAGCAAUCCCCGCCACCCAGCGCAACUACCCCCCGCGUUCCGUGAGCCCCGGCCGGGCCCUCCUCCGCUCUCGUUCACCACCAGCCUGAGUGCCUGGCCGCCUGAGAAAACACAGCAAGCCUCGGCCGUGCCGGGCCGAGCGGAAGAGCAGAGGCGAGCGAGCAGUCCACGGUUCAGCGGCUGACCACGCGGGCCGCGGCCGGCCGCAGCGCACACAAGCCUACCUACCCAAAUCCUUCCCCCCGCGCGCGACAAGAGCUCAGCGAGAGCGAGUGCCCUCAUCCAUCGCCCUAUUUAUCCACCACGCCCCCCCACCCUGCGCUGCGCGCACCCACCCCACCUGCGAAAACGCUCGCGAACCACUCCACCAACGCCAAGGCAGGGUCCGAGGCGGAUCGGCAGGCCCCGCGGAUACGCGCGCGCGCGAGCAUGGGCGUCCUGCGGAGCACGCAGGGCCUGCAGGCGGAGGUGGACGCGCUGCGCGCCGCGCUCCUGGCCGGCGGCGGGCACGGCGCCGCGGCCGGGUGGCGCCGCUCGGCGGGCGCCAAGCGCGCCCCGGGCGCCGCCGGCGGGGCGGAGGCGCGCGCCGUGUGCGUCACGGGCGGCAUCUCCUUCGUCGGCUUCGCCGUGGUCGACCGCCUCCUCCGCCACGGCUACACCGUCCGCCUCGCGCUCGAGACGCAAGGUCAGCACUUCGCCUCCCUCGCCCCGCCACCUACCUACCCCCGGCCGCCGUUUUCCUUCCCCUUCGUCGCGCGCUCGGCCUGCCUUCGGCCGGGCCGCUGCCGCGCGGGUCCCGCCCCCGGCCACUGGUCGUGGGUUGCUCGCUCGCGCACCUCGGCGUUUGAAAAAUCGGGGGGAAUGCCCGUCGCUUUCGCCGCCCUGAAAGCGAUCGCGCGCGAGAAAGAGCCUCGAGCGCCCGUCCAUUGGUGGAUGCGAUGGAUCCACGCGCGCGCGAUUGACAGGAUUAGCAGCAGUGUCAUUUACCCCGCGGUCAAUAGGUACGGUAAACGCGAUGCGGGGAUGUAGGAUGUUCCUUCACUUCACGCGGCGGCGCCGGGAUCCAAACAUCACGUGCUUCGCCGUGCCAGGGGCAGGUGAAUUAUUCUCCGUUUCCUAUUAUCCCGCGUUUGAUAAAGACCUCGCCGCCACGAUUUGUGGCAGGCGGACAGGGACAGCGGCUUCUUGCGACGGCCUCUUCCGCCUCUUUUUUCCUUCUUCUUUCUGCACGAUGCUUGGCCACCAACUGCCGCGAGCGGGUUGUUCACUUUGAUGUGGCUCAUGAUACCCCCAGCACUAGCCUAUAUCGAAGCCUAAAUGGAGUUACUGUUCACUGGCUCCCGCUACUCUUGCUCAGUAUCUACUGUCUAGAUAGAACAGACGUGCCUUUUCCUUCCUUCCUUAUCUGUUUAGUAAAAACACUGAUGGUUGUUAUGAUGGCCACUUCCAGGCAUAGUACGGCUCUGUGGCGCAUGGUCUUCGCAGUAGUUGUUCCCAUUGGUCACCUCAACUGGACGAUCUGAUCAACUCGCCUACUGGAACGACCGAAAGAAACACGACGAAUGACGAUCGAGGAGCAGUUCAGCAUCGAUCUGACUUGCCCCCUAAUUCAAAAUGGACACGGCCUCCAGCCACGCUAGAAUCUAGUAUAGGAUAUUGCAACUUGAACCGUUGCACGGCAAGCACGGAGCCUUGGACUUUGACCCCUUAGAAACGGUCGGCGAUACUACAGCAUAAUAGGCCCAAUUUAUGCAGAGUUCUUCGCAGGUUAGUUAAUCUGCACGUUUUUGAGAUCGUCUCGCCAUCGUUGGAAGCCAGCAUGUAGCUACCGUCCGCAGUGUCGUGUGUGGCUGAUGCCGUUCCAUAGACCGUUUAUUUCCCCGCGCCUUGCCUUUCUGGCCAAUCAGCUGCUUUGGAAUCGAUGGACGCGGGUCGUCUGAAUCUCCUGUGAUUCUUGCGGUUGGUGCCCGUGGCUGAGUAACUGCUCGCAGUCCACAAAUCAAACACAAGCAGACCAACUAGACUGCUGUAUUUUCCACGGCUGCCCAUGUUUGUUUCCUCACGGAGACUUGACCGUAGAAUCCUCUGGGGGUCAACCGCAUCACGUUUAGUAUUCCCCACCUCCUGAUAGCCAUGACGAAUUGCUAGUUUUUUUUUACUGGUGCUCCUUUUGGCAAGACACCACCACCCAAUUUAACAACUCGUUAGUGGAGAAAUCGGUCCCCUCCACGUCUCCCCGCCGGAGCAAAUCUCUCUCGUGCGUAGGCUGGGUGCGUCACGCCGGCUUGCAGUGCAACAGAUUGCUGGCCAAGUAAAGCUGGAGCAGACUGAACCUUGGUGCGAGAAAAGCAGACAACCAUUUGACAAUGAAAAGGAGGGAUCGAACUUAGAGAAGUGGUGCCAUGGUGAACGGGUUUAGGUUACCGAAAGCCCCACCUCAACCUACAACUUUUCUUCGACGGGCCACCUGGAAAACUCAAUCGAUGUAGAGUCUUUCGAUGUAGUAGUGUCUUUCUGACGCCUGAUGCGUUCGUCGGCUAGCGGUUUGGUAUCUCAGGUUCCCUUCUUCUUCUUUUUUUGAGCAUCCAGGUUCCUCGUGGAUACGACCCCAAAGAUUAGGAUAGGCGAGCCAAAAAUAAAAAAUAAAUUAUUCCUAACAGAUCGUGGUUGAUAUUUAUCUCUGCUUGCUACUACUUACUACAGUUAUCACAGCCAAGCUGAUUGAGAUUUCCAUUAUUCGGUUUGUGACUGACAUGGACCGGUGGUGCCGUGCUUGUGCUGUGUUGGCAGAGGACAUGGACAAGCUGCGGGAGAUGGAGAUGUUCGGCGAGGACGGCAGGGACGGGGUGUGGACGGUGAUGGCCAACGUCAUGGACCCGGAGAGCCUCCGCUGCGCCUUCGACGGGUGCGCCGGCGUGUUCCACACCUCCGCCUUCGUGGACCCAGGGGGCAUCUCCGGCUACACGGUCAGUAGCACGGCCAACCUCUACUAGCAGUCAAAAUACGAAUGGGGUAGCUCCUCACAUCACUUUAGAAAAAAAAAAAAGAAGCACCAUGUGUGACACUUCACGUAAGUUUUUGCAUCUGCGCGUGACACGUAAGUCUCACAAACCAAGAUGGUUACGUGUGUUCUUUUUUUUUUGCUUCAUGAAAAUGAAGAGCGCUAAGGGCCUUUUAGCAGUAGGAUAGAAUAGGAAGUUUCUGAACUCGGAAGUCGUUAGAUAAAGUAAAGUAAAAAAAUUGACAAAAAGCGGGACACUGGGCUAGGGCAAGAAAGUACGAUGAUGGAGGUAAGACCAAGUCGCGAUUCGAGAUUUGGAGGGUGGUGCCGUGAUCGAGCUGGAAGAGAGGUUACGAUUGGCCCCUCGGCAGAACAGAGCAAGCACAAGUCAAGUGCCACUGCCGGUAACAACUACCGUACUAUUAAAUAAACCGGUUAAACCAGACAGUGAUUUUGACAGCAAACAACCUUUCUAGAACGAGAGAGAUGAUUGCGGGGCAACAGAGACAGGUUGCUCUCAUCAUUGAGGGGCCUUUUAGGGACGCUAGGACCACCCAAGUGUUGACGGAGGAGGAGUGAAGGACGAAGCUGAAACACGAGGGCACUGCAUUGCGCCGCGCCCCCCAUGUUCAUUUGCUCAGUGAAAGUGAGGCAACUAGACGUGGGUGGAGGCACGCACGCCUCAGGAAUCAGGAUCGGCCUUGCUGCGUGGUCCGGCCCGGCCCGCUGGGUUCGUGACAACACGUGUGUCAGCGAGAAGGGAGCCUGCAUCGCAGGGUAGCCUGACCCGGACACAUGAUGCUGCAAAUCUGCUGCGCCACAAACAUUUAAACUAAGGGUGUGUUCGUUUCACCACUUUAAAACCCGAAACAUCUAAACUUUAAAGGUCCGGCACCGAACACCUCUCUAAUUCGGCCUCUAAUAAGACUGCGAUUGUUUAGAGUAAGGGAACACUCUAAAAUUUUUAGAGGGCUCUAAUCGGAAACGAACACACCCUAAGGCCCUGUUCGUUUCCUCCUAUCUAAACUUUAGACCCAUCACAUCAAAGAGAAUCUUGCUAUUUAGAAGUACUAAAUAAAAUCUGUUUAUAAAACUUUUUGCACAGCUAGAUGCUAAUUCGCGAGACAAAUUUAAUGAGCCUAAUUAAUCCAUAAUUUACCACAGUGAUGCUACAGUAAUUGUUCGCUAAUCAUGGACUAAUAUACCUCAUUAGAUUCGUCUCGCGAAUUAGCACUAGGGUUCUGCAAUUAGUUUUGUAAUUAGACUUUAUUUAAUACUUCUAAAUGAUAAGAUUCUCUUUGAUGUGACCCCUCUAAAAUUUAGGUACCCGGAAACGAACACCCCCUAAGACCUGAUGCCUCUUUUUACAUAUAGUUUAGCCUUUGAGUGUGAAGAGAUGGAUUCCCUGCACCCACCUAGCCUACCACUGUAAUAGCAUGUGCCGAGCUGGCUGACCAGAAAAAAAAAAAGAAAAUCAGUACCUUCAGUAACCAACCCGUGACUUUGGAAGUACAGCUUCUGUUGAGGGUGCAAAAGCAAGGAUUGGUAGAAUAGGAUUGUCGGAAUAGGCUACACGAAAGAGUUCCUGAUGAUUCGGAUCUUCUCUGGCUGUAGUGGUGCAGCGUCCUGAACCCUUUGACAUUUUGGCGUUCGAACUGACCUGAAGGCAACACAGCCGACUAAUGAGGGAUCUCAAGUCCUACAGUGUAGCAGCUGGGAUGUACUAAGCAUCUAGAAGUGGUGUCUUAUUCCUGUCUUAGAUUCUUGAAUCUUGAAUUGCGCCUACCUAAUCCAACAGACGAAGAACGUAUAGCUUGUCCAACACUAACGACACUGGUGGCAGGUCCAUGCCUUCCAACUCGUUCACCUAAUCUAGCUAGCGCCUGAGAUCUCCUGCCCUUUGACACCUCCCAGGGCACAAGGUUUAUCUUCAGAUCUUUGAUUUCACAUUGCAACAAAAAGAGUUUGACAAUGCAACCACCAUCAGACCACACCACUCAGCAGCUUCGUACGCUGGGACCGUCAUGACGUCAAUGUAUCCUGCAACCACUCGCGGAUGGGUUUAUAGCACCGGAAAGUGAUCAGAAAACUCAAAAGUCGUAGGAGCCUCCCUCGCUGAAUGGGCUACUGCUGCGUGAAGUCGUUAGCCAGUUAGGAGUUUGGAGCAGCAGGUGCAGGUCCCUUAUCAGUUAUCACCCCAACUCCCCAACUAUCCAGAUUCCAGUCUGAAAGUGAGGACCCUAUGUGGCUAUGUUGAUUGGAGGCAACAAAUUCGGGAUUUCGGGAGGCGAUUCAGUGCUCACCUGCUCACCAGUACAGCAGCCUACAGUGAACAGACAGCCAAAGCAUCGCCGUCAUAUGUUGGGGUAGCUAGCUAACGGACCUCUACCAAACGGACCUCUACCAUUAGCACUCAUCGGAUCGUGGAUUCGACUCCUUGUAGGAGCGAAUUUCAAACUGAGGUCAAAAAAUCCCCCUCGCUGGUGCGGUCAUGGUUCAGAGGAUUUUCUCAACCACGAAGCGGUUGCUUCCUUUUUAAUGAAAAAUGGUUGGGCCGUCAUACUCCACCCGGUCGAGUUUUUCUUUUUUUACUAAAAUUGACCUGGACAGCCUUUGACUUGCAUGCUCGUAGUAAGUUCGGUAAAGAUCUUGAUUAGGUUGCUAAGCCACAGUCUUAGUCCUUUCUGUCAAUUGCCUAACGCACCUAGACCUCAUUUACGAUUUAUCUAUUGCGGACAAAGGCACUUGUUUCUUGAAUUUUAGCGGUGAAACUUUCUUCUUCUGUUAGCAAGAUAUAUUGAAUCAAAUUUUAGUAGUUACUGGAACAUUUAAAUGACAUACAGGCUGAAGUGAUUUGUUGUUAACAUGUGGAAAUGCCUGAUUUUGACAGAAACACAUGGCAAGGUUAGAGGCCCAAGCAGCGGAGCGGGUGAUCGAAGCGUGCGUGAGGACAGAGUCCGUCAGGAAAUGCGUCUUCACCUCUUCACUGCUGGCAUGCGUGUGGAGGCAGAACUACCCCCAUGACCGGCGGUUCCCCACCAUCAUCGAUGAGAACUGCUGGAGCGACGAGAGCUUCUGCCGCGACAACAAGGUGAGGCGUGAGGGGUUGCAAGAAAUCUUUGUACUAGAAGUCUCAGCUGGUGCCAGUUCCUCCAGGGUUGGGUGCUACUGAACUGCUGAAAGGCCCUCGCAACCUUGGAAACCUUUACCACCGAGGCACCGACCAAUAAAUAGUACUCUUGUUUUUUCUGUUGAAAAAAUGAACAAACUGACGAUGUGAUCCAUCGUUUCAGCUGUGGUUCGCACUUGGCAAGACGGCAGCGGAGAAGGCGGCGUGGAGGGCAGCCCGGGGGCGAGACCUGAAGCUGGUCACCAUCUGCCCCGGGCUCGUCACCGGCCCGGGGUUCCGCCGCCGCAACUCCACUGCGUCCAUCGCCUACCUCAAAGGUCCGUAUUGUGAAACGCACUAACUCGUAAGUAUGAUGCGUUGUUCACCAGUCAUCAUUCUGACCGACUCGCUUGACAUCUGGGCCGCAGGCGCUCGUGCCAUGCUCUCCGACGGCCUGCUCGCCACGGCGAACGUGGAGACGGUGGCGGAGGCGCACGUCCGCGCGUACGAGGCGAUGGGCGACAACACCGCGGGCGGGCGGUACAUCUGCUACGACCACGUGGUCCAGCGGCCCGAGGAGUUCGACGAGCUGGAGCGCCAGCUGGGGCUGCCGGGCGGCGCCGCGGCCGCGGCCGCGCGGGGCGCCGGCGACGACCGGCCGGCCAGGUUCGAGCUCUGCAAGCGGAAGCUGGCCAGGCUCAUGUCCUCCAGGAGGAGGUGCACGUACGACACCUACUACUCCGUCGCGUUUGAUUAGCCAAGGCUCUGUCUGCAAGCAGGGCUAGGCUGGCUGCUGAUGCAAAGUAUCAAGGCAGAUUUCCUGGGUUUGCCCUGACUGACGGGCGAUACCGCUGGUGCUACUGAUGAGCAACGAUCGCAGCAAGGGUUGGCUGCACCGACCUGCAUUCGGUGGUCCGUUUUGCUUGACGAGGGGAGCAAUAGCUAGAUUGCUAGAGCUCGUUGCUCUCAACUUUUCCUUGUGGAUAGGAAGGAGCAGAGAGCUCGGAUGAGAGUGUGUGCAAUGAUGUACUACUAGUGAGGCCAGGUGCAAUCUUGUACUGCGGCUAUCUUUCACCCACACGACCGCACAGCAAACUUUGUACAGGUCACUCACUGCCAAAAAAAACAGAUUGCACAACCAUGUACAGAGUGCGAUCUUGUGCAGAGUUCUGCUGCAGCAACGAAGGUGGGUCACCAGCGAGCCACACCAGGCAGCGCGCAUCCCAGCACCGUGCCCAGCCCAUGACCCGCACCAUCACAAAAUCCACACGCCGCGUCACGUCCUGCAAUCAAAGCUUGUGCAGGCCAUUGCCAAAAGAAAAACAGUUUGUACAGGAAGACAUUAGACAUGGCCAGCGCACGUGUCACUCAGGAGCAGCAUCGCCGUCCUUCUCGGGAUCGCCUCCUCCCCCGCCCACCACCGGCGCCGAGAAGGACAGCCGGCCGAACCCCCAGAGCCCGACCUGGUACAUGUCCGCCCACACCUCGUCCGACGCGUCCAUCCUGGAGCUCACCUUCGCCCUGGCCUCGGCGCCGCCAACCGCGUCCGCGCGGGCCAGCUCGCCCCACUCCUUGCUCCGCCGCGGGCCCUGCUGCUGCUUCUGCUGCUCGUCGUCGCCCAGGUCACGGACGCGCCACGCCCUCGCCUUCCGCAGGCGCCUGCGGGCGAGCCUGGCCGCGCACCGCCGGCCCGCCGCGUAGGGCGCCCUGACGAGCGCCAGCGUGAGGCAGCUGAGCACGGCGCACGGGCAGAGGCACAGCGCCACGCAGCUCGCCACCGCCGACGCGCUGCACGUCCCGCACGACUGCCUGCUGCACCGCGUCGCCACCCGGUCGUCCUCCUCCUGCUCGGCCGCCUCCGGCAGCGCGGGGAAGCGGUACGGGCGCGGCGGCGUCGCCAUUGCCCGCCUCCCGAUGAGCUACCGCGAGUAGGCUCGAAAGCUCGACCGCCGCUGGCUCCAAAGCUCUGGUGCCUGAGAAUAAUAAUCAUCAUCAAUAAGCCGGGUUGUGGGUGAUCAUCAGCGACCAAAUGGUUUUGUGGAUGAUACCGGACAACUUCGGGUCUCUGUUGCGUAGUAGGCAGUAUAGCCAAAGUUAAGGUGCGCACGUCAGGUCUUGUGGCACAUUCCAAACGGUGAUCAGACGGCUGCGAACCUCAUCGUCACCCGAGGCCUACUUUGAACACUACUGCAAAACGGACGCUUGACCUUACCACUAGUUCCUUCUAUAGGAAAUUUAUGGAAAUGGAAUUAGCUAGUGUUCAAAAUAGCAGUCCACUGUCUAACUGUACAUUUAUGUACUACGGCAGCAGGAUGGAUUCCUUGCUAGGAUGUAGUACUGGUACUGCUACAGAGCGGAGCAAUGGAAACGGUCUUGGAACAUCAUUGCCCCAAACUUUGAUCCCGUAAAUAGAACGUCAGCCGCGGCAUUGCAUUUUGUUGUGCAGACCUGCUGGAUCCGCUUACGAGUCUACGACGGCUGGCUCCAGCCUAUAAACACCACAAUGUCGAUGUCGCCAAAAAUAAAAAGAGAGGCAGGGAGACGACGCUAAUCCCCUAAAUCCGAAGUCAAACAGGCAAAAAUGAGUACGCUGAAGACUUGGAUUCACGAUACAUUUCCGAAGAUCGAACAUGGCGAGCAUGCCGUGUUUUUUUGCUGUUUCUUCUCUUUUCUUUUAAUGGUGAAAUAAUAAUCUGUCUCCUGGGCCUGGGAAAGGACGGGGGGCAACGGAUCGAUUGAAACGACGGCACCGCGGCCAUUUGGAAACGGCACGGGCGCUCUGAGAGCCUCUCUAGCGUUGCGGUUACCGAAGAAGAAACGCCAUAGUUAGGGUAAGCACGCACGAUCAGAGAAGCGCAGAAGAAGAAACGGACAGCGCGUACCCGGGGUUAAGGAAGGGGAAGCCGCUGAUCGGAAACGCCCUCGCUUCGCCGGCCGCGGCUCUCGCGAUCACGUCGGGCGUCGUAGAGGACGGCGCUGAUCGAGAGAUCCUGGAGGAACCACCGUGCCCGCCUGACGGCCACCAGCGGCCGGACGGUCCACACCGGAAGAGAGGGAGAGUGCAGUGUUGGUUGGAUGAUUGGCGCAAGGGGAUGAGGAUCGGAUGGGGGCGCCGCGGACGAGUAGGCCGUGUGGAAACUGGGGAGAUAAACAGGGGUUCUAUGGAUGAUCCGGGGGCGCCACUACUUCUGUUCCUCUCGCUGCCACCGUCGCCAUGUUUAUAGGGAGGUUGGACUCUUUCGUGUCAACUGAACAACUGUUCCCUCUUUUUUCUUCCCCCUUCUGAGCGGAACUGAACAGCUGCUGCUACUCCGGGUGUCCGGUAUAGCCUGGCCGGGCCGCUGUGCAAGUAUUGAUCGGUACCUCUCGUUCUUGCCCAGUCCGUCAUCUUAAGUUGGGUCAGGCCCAAAAACGGGGAAGUGAUGGGCUAAGGAUUGGGCUUGAGUUCUUUUGCAAGGAGAGCACCAAUCCUAUCGGCCCAACGUCAAUAUGCAUAUUUCGCGCAGCAUUCCACUAAACAAUUAGUACUGGCAUAUUUCGACAGCAUUCUUUUCUAAGACAGGUUGAACCUUUAUGUGUUCUACCACAAAAAAAACUUCAUGUGUUAUAAGGUCAUAACGGAAAUUUUUAGAUCGAAGCCACUCCCAGUCAUGGACCGACAAACCACCAGGCAAUAUCACAUAAGGGGAUCCACACAACCUAAACACAACAUUGAUUUUUGUUCUUGCACUUUGUCAUUGUCAAUAUAUGUAGCAAACUCUAAGUAUUAUGAGCAUCUUAAAAAGAUUGGGAGAAUAUAUUUUAAGAUUGAUAAGUUAUAGACACCUUACUAUUACGGGGCAUAUCAUCUCUUCUAAACAAUGUGUUGGUAAUUUCUCAAAUAGAUUGGGAAAAAUUCGAGCACUCAUAAUGAAUCGAGAUCUCAGACUCAACGAACUAGUUCCAAAUAAAUCUAACCAGCUUAAGGCUUAUUUAGGAAGGCUUAUUGCGGCUGUUGGGAUGCGCUCUAGGCCAUCACCUAAGUCUAGUGACCCCUUCGUGUAAAAAAGUCUAAGUUAGGUGUCUAAAGGCAUUUUUGUAAGAUCUAGGGACUUAGUUGCAGCAUUCAAGGACCGGUUUGUAAGUGAUAGGGACUUUUUUGUAAAUCCUGAGGAUCUACUUAUAAUAUUUGACCCCACCAAUGGAAUAAAUAUAAACAACCGCCUCCUCCUCCCUGUACUGUAAAUAGAGCCCUAGGGCUUGGAGGAGAGAACUUUUACCCAUUUACUUACUUGCUCAGUUGGCUUGCUCUACCUCUCACUCUAUCUCAUCUCUCAUUUGUUUGGGGUGCAACCCCAACAGAGGCGUCCACUAUGGUCUCAGCUCGAGUAAAUCGAUGGCACCACAGAGAACAAGUUGGCACAUUCUAUUUUUUUAGAGAGGUGAUAUUGAGAUAAAAAAAGGAACACUACUAAAAAAGAAAGGGUUUUUAGGGGCGGGUAAAAACGUAUUUUUAAGAGCCGGUGCGAUACUCGUCCCUGUUUCUCACAGCUAAAAAUAGCUACUAAAAAUAGCUAUUUGUAGGGGCAGGUUAGGGCGUGACCCGCCCCUACAAAUCAAUGUCCAGAAUAUAAAAAAUCAGAAAAAAUUAAAAAUAGCAAAAGAAAAAAGAAAAAAUAUCACCACCAACCAGCCACCACCCCUUAUUAUGGAGGUACAAUUUUUUGACAAAAUAUGCACACUUGCAUAAACUGGGGUUCGAACCGCUUACCUCAAGCCUCGCGCGUACCCUACUCUCCACCACACUGCACAUUUACUUGUGAUUCUAUAGGGUAUGCUAUUCUUUUCUAUUAACUCUGAAAUCGAUUUCUAGGGACGGGUCAUACCAUCACCCGCCUCUAAAAAUAUUUUUAUAUUUUAUUCCUAAAAUUCAUUUAAAUCUUUACAUAUAGCAAAAUAAAUAAAAAAUUAAAACUUCUACACCAUGGUUAUUAUGAACUAUGGAUAUAAGAAAAUAUACCAUGUAUAUUUCAGUGUAUACAAAGAUUAAGACUAUAGAAAUCUUAAAGUAUGACUUGAGUUGUAUGAGAUACUAUAUAGUUAUAUACGAACUUAUAAUAAUUUUUUGACUAUUAAAUGAUCUAAAUAAAAAUGUUAUCAACUACAAAGUUUUAGAUCACGUUAACCUCUAUAAUUUUGAUAUAAAGUUCAAUUUCAUCCGAGAUCAUAUGAAAAAAUUAUAAUUUUUUUCUAAGUUCAUCUGUAGAGGCGGGUCAUACCAUCACCUAUCCCUAAAAAUAAUUUUAGGGACGGGUGACGCCAUAACCCGUCCCUAGAAUUGGCCACCAUUUUAGGGGUGGGUGACACCAUCACCCGUCCCUGAAAAUGGUGACAUUUUUAGGGGCGGGUAACGCCAUCAGAUUAGAUGCUACAAUAACCGCGCUCUAUUUAUAGGAGUGGGUUACGUUUUGACCCGUCUCUGGAAAAAAGAGCAUUCCUACGCAUCGUUUUUUAUAGUGGAAUGUAUCACUUGCUGGAACUUGGAUAGAUAAGCAGAAUGGAAAAAGGAAAAAGAAAGUUCGGUCGAUGGUUACUAGCCAGUUGCAAAAGUUUAAACUCCACAGCAGGGCACCUUCGAUAGGAAAAGUGCAAUCGAUGGUUAAAUGCCGUAACCACACAUGAGCAGCAUACAUGCAAAGCCUCCAUGCAGCUUGUUGGCUUCGUACGUGACCUCCGCUGGCGCCGACGCAGCGGGCGCAGCUACAGUAGUACAGCAGCAGACUAGUAGCUUCGGCAGCUCACUCACGGAAGACAUCAAGCAGGCGGGCUAAUUGAAAGAACAGUAAAAACUCAUGAUGAAAUAUGCAUAUUGAUGGUCCUCAAAUAGUCCCGAAAGCUCAAAAUAUAUAGCUGAGCACCUUCGAUCAAAAAGAAAGAAGAAAAAGCACAGGCAAAAGAACACAUGCAACUUCAACAGACAAGCGCAUGGGUAACAAGCAAGAAAGACACAUCUCUCCCCCUAGCCAGCAGUUCCGGUAACAUGCAUGCGAAGCAUCCUAGAAUUAAGACAUCACCGUCCGUCACUCAUCAAAAGAAGCUCUCGAAGCUGAAACAGCUGCCUCGUCACCUUGCCGGUGCCGCGAAGUCACCGUAUCGCCGUGACGCACGCCAAAUUUACACCUUUGUUCAUACAUUUUCAAGGGCGGGCGGCCAAUAACCAAUCAAAUCAUCCAUGCGGAGCUCAGCUGCGAAGCUCACCUCGUUAGCAAAAGGACAGGCAAUAACGCCAAGGCUGAAGGUGCCGGGCCUUUCAAAAAAAAAAUAGAAAGAAGAAGAUCGAAGGUGCUAGGAAAGUUGGUAACCAUCAUUGUAAUCCCAGCGUCACCUCCGCUCAAUAGCACAUAUUUCCUCUUAGUGAUGCCUAGUAGAACAUAGCACGGGAAGCUGCAGCUUAGUGCAGUCUAAACACCAAUCGAAGGUAAUGCUCCACAUCUCCAUACAAAAUAUUUAAAUCUUGUCACCUCCGUUGUUCUUGCAAAGAAUGCAAAGCACAAAAGUUUAUAGAAGCAGUGGUCCAAGACAUGAAGCUAUUGUAAUCACCUCCGAGUGCAUGCAUCCACCUCCGGACGACACCGAGGCUAGCUGUCAGGCGACGCAGCAACAAGAGGCAGCCUCGCUCGUCACCUUCGGCCGGGCGGCGAAGCCGCAUGCAGCGAGGAGCCGCUCCGACGGUCCGGCAUCAAUGAACGCUCGGCAUUGAAGCUGUUGGGCAAUAAUAGCUCACCGUGGUUUUCGCACAAAAGAAAAAUCUCAUGACACCACCAAAAAAAAUGAGAUCGAAGCUUACAGCACUAAGCAUCCCAAUACUUAUAAGCAACCAGCACCUUCGUGUUGCCAUGUUCCAACCAAUCGAUGCUGCGGAAUGAGAUUAUUUACCUGGCCAUCAGCCCAUCACCAUCAAACCAAAGCUUCCCGCAUGUGUCAUCCGACAGCAACAACCAGAGCCCAGCAGCUUCGGCCCAAGUGGUUCGCCGAGGAGGCAAGGUCGCGGGGAGGCACGACCAUCUUUUUCAUGAGUGACCGAUGCUCAUCUCAACAUGCGCAGAGCAAGAACCAUCGCUUGCCAUUUUGCUCCUCUCACAAGAACCUUCGGUAAAAGAAAGUAGGUACAAGCAAAGCUGCUGCAACUUCGCAUUGCCACCUUCGCAUGUGGCACGCCAGCUGCUCGUCACCUUCGCUCGAAGCAGACCACAAGCUUUUCAUUGCAAUCUUCGAUCAUUCAUUUCGAAGCGAUGCAAGAAGCCACGGCCACAAAAGCUAAAGUAAAAGCAAAAUCAAGGUAAGAGUACAAGCACCAUCGAGGCUUAUUUCACCACCCGGAGUCGAGCAAUACUAGCUACAGAGGUCAUUGCCUUUUUGGUAUUAUUGACCUCUGGAGAAGGUUAUAAUUUUCGGGGGCCAUGACGAAGGUUAUUGGCUUGCUGACUCUUUAUCACUAAUGAUGAUUUUAAAAAAGCCAUGAUUCAUUGAGAAGGUCAUGACAAGGUUUGGAUUUAGUUUUCUACCUUGCUUACAAGACAAUUAUUCAAAGUAAAUAUUCAUCUUAUUUAUUGAAAUUUUCUCUCACUAACCUCUAUUUUGCAGGGUGUAUCUUUAAAGAACUUCGCUUAUUAUUUAUCUGUAUUUGCAUAUUAAAAGCUCUCUAAGCUUAUAAUUCUCCAACUAAGUUUGUUCUACAUAGUGAAAUAUACUCACUAACCCCUCUCUUGAGGAUAAUUUGUCUUCCAAAAAUACAGAAUUAUCAUACUUGCUUUUGGGAGAAAGUUAUCACCUUAUGGGCUUUCUACCCUUAUUGACUUCUAGAGAAGGUCAGAGCAUUUGGAGAAGGUUAAAACGAGGGUUAUCACCUUUUUAGUUUUCUACCUUCAUUGAUCCAGAGAAGGUCAGAGCUUUUGGAGAAAAUUAUAACGAAGAGAAGGUCGCGGCUUUUGUAGAAGGUUAUAACGAAGACAAGGUUGGUACGAAGGUCCCUUACUUAAUUGGCUUUUCUUAGUUAUGGAUGCGGGCUCUCUUCGAAUAAAGAACCUUCAAAAGAAAAGAAUAUAUUUCAAAAAUUGAGGUUAGAAUAUAUUUCGGAAAUUGAGGUUAGAAGGUCCUUGAGGGACCAAGUCAUUUAAAAGCAUUGCUCACUAAUCUUAGAUCGUUGUUUCUUCAAAUUAAGAACCUCUGCAAGCAAAGAAUAUGCUAGAGAACUCUAAGCAAAACAUCCCGAAGGUACCACAUCUAGAGAUAGUUAUCUACCUUGCGAUGCUUAACUGCUUUUGUCUAAGUGUUUCAGCUUAUCUCGGGUCGAAACAACAAAGAGUUGCAAACAUCGACCAUAGCAUCUUGAAUGCUCCAAUUGUGUAAGUUAGCAAAGUUCGUAUGCCUCGCAAACUUUGCAUACUUAUCUAAAGGUGCAAAAGCACUUGAAUGGCGAGGGGCUUCCAGAUCUAAGGGUCUUGAAGCCAAAAUAACUUAUGACCUCUAAUCCAGACUUCACCCAAAACACCCAAAACACUCGGACAGAGAAGCUAUUUUUGAAAGUUAUACAUUUCUUAUAUAAUGAAAUUUUCCUUCACUAACAUGCAGGUUUUCUUCAAGGUAAGCACUCCUUCUCCACCUUAGGAUAACCUCUUUAUGCUAGACCUUCAUAUUUAUUUCACAGGAAUGUUGGUUUUCAUCCAAAACCUAAGUGCUCGAUACAUUGGUUUCCACAGUAUAUGGGUUUUCAUCGAGAGAUAUCUCUUAUUGACCUCCGGCUCUUACUGGCUAUUGGAUUGGUUUCUUUUCGUGGUUAUCUGUCAUUGACUUCCAUUAUAAUGAUAUUCAUAAACAGUUAGAUUCCACCUUAACAAUGGCAAUUCAUCCGCUCUAGUAUUCAAGAGCACUGUCUUAACCUUCGGUCCUUCGGUCCUUAUCAGCUUCAAGAAUCUGGAAUUGGCAAACCUUACCAUAUCCUUGCAAAUGCAUCCAUCUCCAUUCAUAUGCAUCAAAAGCAUACGUCAAAUCAUCUCAUCGCAUGAACACAUCAUCAUGCAUGGCAAAAAGGAAUAGCUCCGAGGAGCUAAGAAGCUUCCGACCUCAAAAGAAAGCCAAGGAGCUAUCAAUCCUAAGGGAUGCGAAGCCAAAAUACCUUCGGCUAAGAAAAAGAAAAGUGCAACAAGCACAAAAAAGUUAAGGCGCUAUCGAUCCUAAGGGAUACGAAGCCGAAACACCUUCGGCUAAGAAAAAGAAAAGUGCAAUAAGCACAAAGAAAAGGGCAAGGGGCUAUCGAUCCUAAGGGAUAUGAAGCCAAAACACUAUCGACCAACAAAAAGAAAAGUGCAAAAAGCACUUGUGUUUAUGGAUAACUUCAAGAAAUGGUCACCCGAACCAUUCUACACCCGUUGCAAACAUAUCACCUUUUUCAGGUACAAAUUGUCGAAUCAACUUCACCUAAGUUGUAGAUUUGACAAAGCCUGGCACUCAAAGUUUCAUCCCCGCCACUACUUCGGUUCGAGGGGCUCACUGUCACCCUCAGCAUCGUCAACGAUUACGCCUCGACCGAUACUCCGGCUCGAGGGGCUCGCCAUCACCUUCGGCAUCAUCAACGACUCCGCCUCGGCCGAUACUCCGGCUCGAGGGGCUCGCCGUCACCUUCGGCAUCAUCAACGACUCCGCCUCGGCCGAUACUCCGGCUCGAGGGGCUCGCCGUCACCUUCAGCAUCGUCAACGACUCCGCCUUGGCCGAUACUCCAGCUUGAGGGGCUCGCCGUCACCUUCGUCAUCAUCAACGACUCUGCAUCGGCCGAUACUCUGGCUCGAGGAGCUCGCCGUCACCUUCGGCUUCAACUCUGACGUCGCCUCGCCGCUACUACGGCUUGUGGGUCUUGCCGGGACCUUCGGCUUCGCCUCCGACAUCGCCCUCGCCACUACUUCGGCUUGAGAGGCUCACCGGGACCUUCGGCUUCAACUCCGACGUCUCUCUCACUCGCUGUUACUUUGGCUCAAAGGGCUCGCCAACUCAUCAUCACCUUCAACUGCUCGGGUGCAUGACAACUGCAACACCUUCGACCACUACUACAACUACUUCAACUUUUAUGUUAUCUGCGUCGACUACUUCCAUUACAUGCAAAGCUCAUCUCACAAACACUAGCCAAGAGGGGCUGGAGGUGCACCGGAGGACCAACCCUUCCUAGAUGACGGAGUCUUGUCCGGUGCUUGUGAGAAAAGACUUGAAGACGUUGCGGCUACCUUCGGCCAUGAGUUCUCCGACUACAUCACUGGUUGCGGCUACCUUCGACCACGACUACUCCGACUACAUCGGAAGACGAGCCACUCACUGAUAGAAGCUCAAGGGCGAAGCUGCCUGCAAAAUCGAAGUUCUUUAGGAUCUAAAGUUGGCAUUUGUGCGUGUAAAUCAAAAUAUGUGCGUGCUCUUUUCUCCAUGCCCUUUUUCGCACUGGGUUUUUAGGAUGGAAUUUUUAGUGUGGCGCACAUAUCUAGGUUGCACAGGACAUUCCUUGCAACCGGGGUCCGGAUUGUGGAUAUGCGUCUUUUAACAGGGUCAGCUACUCGGUCUCGUUGUACCAGCCAAGACCGAAUAGCUGAGGGGCUACUGUUGGGGAUGCGCCUUAUGCCACCUUAGGUACCUAAGGCUACGGACCCUCUUCGUGUAAAAGAGGCUAAGUUAGGGGUCUAAGGGCAGGUUCGUAAGGUCCAGAGACUUAGUUGCAGCAUCCAGGGGCCGGUUUGUAAGUUAUAGGGACUCCUUGGUAAAUUCUGGGGACUUAUUUAUAAUAUUUGACCCCACCAAUAGAAUAAAUAUAAACAACCGUCUGCUCCUCACUAUAAAUAAAGCCCUAGGGUUUGGAGAAGAGUACUUUUGCCCAUUUGCUUAUUUGCCCAUUUGGCUUGCUCUUCCUCUCACUCUAUCUCAUCUCUUGUCUGUUCAGUCUGUUCAGGGUGCAACCCUGACAGCGGCUUCGGUUUCACUUAUUUUGCGUAAAUUGACAUACCGUAGCGUGAAGCCGUUUCAUAACGGGCUAAAAUUGAACUAGGAGCUGAGUAAACCUAAUUUUCUUUCCUUUACUUCACCGGCUUUAACUUCACUAGUAAAAUCGUUAGAAAAAGUCCUUCCAAACGGCCUCUUAGUGAACCUCACUCUUCAAAAGAGAAUGGAUUGAUUAUAGUUUAAUAUUUUUGGACUACCCAGUGUUAGAAUAGUAUAAGGAAGAGAUCAAGAGAGUUAGCCAUCAUGAACGUUGGAUACAACCUAGGCAGCUGGCUCCAAACUCUCCAAACAACUCAACGAAAUACUUUUCCUUUUCACACGAUGGCACGAACUUUACGACUCUAGUCAGUGACUAGUAACCAUAUUCAGAUUCGUAUACGCCACUGAAUCCCAACCUUCCACUUUCGACGUGCUUCCACCAAUCAGACAUUGGUGAGGCCCCUGCGAGCCAUCAGCUCGUCCAUCAGCCGCCCGACGUCAUCGUACGAGGACCCGCCCUUCUCCACGGCGCGCCUGGCCUUCUCCCCGAGCACCCUGGCCCUCUCCCUUAUCGCCUCCGCCUCCUCGCCGUCGCCCAUCACCCUCCCGAUGGCCUCGGCGACCACAUCGCCGCCGAUCACGCGCCGGGCCUCCAACUUCGAUGCGUAGUCCGUGGACCCGACCCCGACCCCGACCUUGAGCAGCUCCACGACCAGCUUCUCGUUGUAGAACUGGUCGGCGUACCGCGGCCACGUCACCAUCGGCACGCCGGCGCUCACGGCCUCCAGCGUCGAGUUCCACCCGCAGUGCGUCACGAAGCCGCCCACGGCGGCGUGGUUCAGGAUCAGCAUCUGCGGCGCCCAGCCCCGGAUGACGAGCCCACGCUCGCCGCGCGCCAGCAGCUCCGCGAACCUGUCGGGCAUCCAUUCCGACUCCUCGGUGUCCGCGCCGCCGACGACCCAGACGAAGUUCUUGCCGGACAGGUCGAGGCCGCGCGCGAGCUCGCGCAGCUCGGGCGGCGAGAAACGGGACAGCGUGCCGAAAGACACGUACGCCACCGAGCCGGCCGGCUUCGUGUCGAGCCACCGCAGGCAGCCGUCCGCGUCGGGCGAGAGCGCGUCGUCGGUGCCCCUCGUCGCCACGUCCUUGCUGGCGAACGCGACCGGCCCGACGAGCCACGCGCGGCGGCCGAGCGUCGUGGUGUAGUGCUCCAGGUAGUCCGGCUCCAGCUCAUGGAAGCUGUUGAACACCUCGCCGUAGCUCCUCUGGUCCGCGGCGUUCACGCGCUGGAGGAAGGCCCAGCGGUCCGGCAUCUUCUUGGGCUCCAUCAUCUGGCUGCGCCUCAUCUCGACGCGGUGCGGCAGCCCCGGGAGCAGCACGGGCGCUUCGGGGUCCUCGGGGGCGGCCUCCACGGGGUUGUGGCGCACCGUGCAGUCGCUGCAGGCCCGCGCGAACAAGCUGGUGCCGAGGAACCCCAGCCGCGGGACGCCGUGCUCCGCCGCGGCGUCCACGGACCAGUCGAAGAAGCUGUCGGACACGACGGCGUCGGUGCGGUUCUCCGCCAGGAACCGGUCGAAGGGCUCCCGAAGCAGCUGGAUCGCCUGGAAGAACUUGUCGCGGUCGGCCUCGGAGUUGAGGGCCGGCCCGGACUCGACGCCGGGGGGCAGCCCGACGUCCGGGAAGGGCACGACGGCGAUGUCGAUGGCCAGGGCGCUCUCGGCGCCGCGGGAGGCGUCGUUGGCGCGGUCCACCGCCGAGCGGAUGACCGCGGCGUUCCCGGGGGUGGUGAGGAUGGUGCACCUGACGCCGCGGGCGGCGAAGAGCGCGGCCAUGUCGGCGGCCGGGAUGAGGUGCCCCGGCGCCAGGAACGGGAAGAAGAGGAUGCGCAGCGGCCGCUCCUCAUCUUCGAUCGCCAUGGCUGGCCGCGAGCCGGCGCCCCGGCGCUGUAGGGAACAGAUCAGGUGGACCCACGCUGCGCACUCUUUUUGCAUGGAUGAAUGGAUUUAUAGGCUCCAGAUGAUUUGGGUCUUAAGUGUUUCUCUACUUCGUGCCGGGAGCCGUCGAGGAAGAGCACUAGUAGCCAUCUCUGACUUGGUGAUGACCUCCAAUAGUUAAAUUUUUCCAGUCGCUUGGAUUGCCCUCCAAGUGUGUAGCUUCACCAGCAAGAAUUUGAACAGAAAAUUGUGGCUCGUGUCUGACAGGUAACUGCCGCCACUAGCAGGUUUCCAAGCAAACUGUCUCUGGAAGUGGUAAAAUUGUAUAGUGCGACCUGCGACGCCAUUCGUAGAGAGUUUGCCUCGUUUACUUUGCUUCAGCUGCGGCGACAAGAUUCGCAGUAGAACCGACGUCUCGACGCUGGAAAUCGGGGACGCGCGAUCUCUCAAAACGUGCCCGUGUGGUUCGUCAUCGCUUACGUAACGUAUCGCGGAUCUUGGAUGUUCCCGCUGGGUCACCUGUCUGUACGUACGUGUCCCCUCGUGACUUGUAAAAACUGCACAUCGGGCCAUCGGGGGCGUUUCAUAUCAACCUAGAAAGUAGCCAGGCGGUACGAAUUUGUAAACUUAGAAAUUAUAUCUAGGGAAUUUCAAAAUUCUUGAAAAAAAAACUCUCCAUAGAUAAAGUUGAACAUUAUGGUUCCAUAUAAAACUUUAACUCCAAACUCAGUCUGAUUCACUAGUAGAUAUAGAAAUAACAAAUUUGGACAUCUCUAAGAAAUUAUGCAUUUUGCACCUAUUUUUCAACAAAAGUAUCUGACAUUUGUUAUUUUUCGUAGCUGAGAUAUGAGCAAGUUUAGAGUCGAGUUCUUUUUAUGGAAGCAUAAUUGAACCUCAAAUAUGUAUUGUGAUUUUUCAUUUCGUGAAAAUCUGUCACGUAUGUCUUUUAGUUUUCAACACUUUUUUCACCUUAAAUGCAUGCUUUCAUGCCUGCCGCAUGAGCCAUUCUGAUUGGAGGAGCAAAACUGCCUAAAAUUUUUGUAAUCGUUGCAUCCAGCGUCAUAUUUUAUUAAUUUGAGUACUAGUAUUGACUACUUAGAGUGUUACAUCCAUAUAAAAUACUAGAAGCUAACGGUUGAAGUAUGUCAUUUUAAUUAAAAAUAUAUAUUCAGGCGCACAUAAUCGCCACACAUCGCACUCCCACGCACAUCAUUUCGAGCACAUAAUAUCCCGCUCGAUCAAAUCAAGAAAAGAAUGGUUUAAUCCGACGCAUACAUUCCAGAAAAAUGUCCGGAAAAGAAAUGGAGAAGCCAUUUUACACUUUGCGGUCUAUGGCGUCCAAUCUGCACCCAGCCCACCCAGGGACUUCCGUGGGCCUUGAAGAGAAAGAUGCCGAUCCGGCCAGUUCAGCUCCACAGGCCCACCCACCAGAUACUGGGCUGGCAAAUACUAUGUGUUUCGGUACUCCCGCUCCAAGAAGGUGCGGUCGUUUCCAAAGUUAGAAGUUUGGCACGGCUCCGUGAAGAGUUUUAUCACCGACUGCUUCAGAAGCUGUACCAAAUGGCUGCGGCUCCGAACAGCUUCAAGAACCGUUUUCUAAUAAAAAUAGUGGAGCCGGAGCUAUUUCGGAGGAACCAUAAUUUGUAGCUCCUCUAAAAUUGUGGCUCCUCCAAAUCGGCUCCAGCUCAUCCAGAGAAGUUCUUCAGGCGAGCCGUGCCAAACACCCCUUAGUAUCACAAAGAGUGAUGAUGAUGCGAACACUCACCUCACUCGUUGCGAACUGGCAACCUAGAGUAGGGUGCGACUAUAUGUCACCGAAGGUGACGGAAGUGAGUUGCAUCACCUGAAGAACCUUCCAAGAUCCAUGACGGAACGGCCCAUAAACAUUAUCUUCCUCGCGACGGCGUCCUCCUCACCCCCGUGCCGCCGCCCUCCUCGUCUCCGGCGGCUUCCACCGCUGAAUCCGCUGUCGUACCCCGCCCAAAGCAGUUCGAGUUCUCACCCCCAUGCCGCUACCCUCCUCAUCUUUUGUGGCUCCCGCCGCCGCCUCUGCCUUAGCCAUUGAGCUCCACCACCGGCGCACUUGAGAAGCUCGUCAUGUUCCCCCGCCGCUUCCACAGGCCUCCAGUUAUCCUCCACAACCUACGGCCGGCGGCGUCCGCCGCCACACCGCCCCACCCACAACCAGCCACCACUGCCUACUACCUUGCCGCCGCCGAUCUUCUCUAUAGCCGUCCACACCAAAGACACCCCACCUGGCAAUUUAGAAUCUCGAACCCCCCAAACCCAAUCCUAGGAAGAAGCAAGGAGCGGUGGCGAGCAGCGGCGGCAGCAUAAGUGUGACGAGGAAGAAGAAGCUUACAUAGAUCGAUUCCGUUUAAUGGGCUGAAAUAACCUUUAGGCGAUAGCUCACGCUCUCGUAGCGCGAGCUACGCAUAGUCGCGGCGCUGGAGUAGCCUGCUUUUCCUGCACGGGGUCGAUCGAUGACAGGCGCAGAAAAAAAGCAUUUGCGGCAUCCACCAGAUACGAAUGGAUCAGCUAACUGGGCUGAAGAAGGGCGCGAUCCUUUCCCAGGUUAAAUUUAGGUUAAAAUCACACGAAUGUCACAAGGAAAGCCGAUUACGCGAACACUCACAUCACUUGUCCAGUUGUUCUGCUUUUCCUGGCGGUCGAUCGAUGACAGGCGCAUGUGCGUGCACUUGUUCUCCAGAGCUAGCUCAGCUGCUUUUUGUUCAUCGAAAUGGACAGCUCGGUCGAGCACCUAUCCACACGCACCUCCUCAACCACUCAUCUGUACCCUCGUGCCGGGUUUUCCCGUUUCAAGCAUCGCUCCCGAAAUGUUGGACGCCCCCAUCCUGCAUCUAGCUAUACGCGCGUUCCAUCACCAAAUCUGAAACUCGGGACGGAAAAGGGUACGUGACAAGUGACUCUGAGAAGGAAAGAUCGAUCAGAUGAGCAUGCAGCUCGCCUAACAAUCGAAACAGCAGCAGCAGCUGUCGACUCUAUCUCCAGCUGGCACAAGGUCUAAUGGAUUACUGACCCUAGUGCUAUCUUUACGAUUCAACUUAACCCUUAUAUAUUUUAAUUAUAUAAGAUAAGAGUCUGGUUAUUUUUAAACUUAGCUUUUAGAUUAUCUAGAUUAAAAUUUAACACUUUUGCCUUAUUACAUCUAGGCACGAUACGAGACGCUCAGCACGAUGAUGCGGCGAUGAGGUCGAUCUCGUGGUCGCCGAUUUCAGCGAGUGCAAGAAAUUGACGAAUAAUCCGUCCACGUGCAUUUGUUCACUCAGCAAUUACGGCAACGAGAGCCAUCGUUCAACGAGAGCAAUCCUAAGGCACAGCAUCACUCGUUUACCGACCGAGCUUGCUAAUACUUCUUGCUAGCUACAGUACUAAACACUGAAGUAGUACCAGAAACAAUUGCCCAUUGCCAUAUGCACUCUUCAGAAUGCACCUGCGACCGGUUUUGUCUCCCAGAAAUUCUCCACAGCGUUCCAGAAGGUGUCACUGAACUGGGACGAGAAGAAGUGCGGCGGCGUCAGAGCGUCCACGCCGACGGCCGUUUCGCCGUGGCCGGCGACCAAUCUCAUCAGCUCCGAGUAGUCCGGGAAACUCGACUGCUGAAUGCGCCAGUCUCCGGCGGUGGGGCUGUCCUGGCUCGUCAGCGCGGACGACGCGCCUUCGCCGCUGACGGCCGCCGCCGCCGGCGUCGUCGCAGCUGCCAUGGCGGCUUUCUGGAAGUAGUACGGAGCUUGCUGGUAGGGGUCGGGCUUCGUGCUGCACCAGUAGUAGUCCCCGGCAUCGGAGCUGGCGCCCUCGCUGACGGCCGGCUGCUGCUGCUGACGCGGGGUCGUCUUGGCCGCUGCCGGUUUCUUCUGGAUCCUGGUCCUCCAGUAGUUCUUGAUCUCGUUGUCGGUCCGGCCGGGGAGGUGCUUGGAGAUCUUGGACCACUUGUUCCCCAGCGUCGCGUGGAGCUGCCGGAUGGCCGCGUCCUCCGCCGGUGUGAUGCCGCCGUGCCGCACGCCCGGCCGCAGGUAGUUGAGCCACCGCAGCCUGCAGCUCUUCCCGUUGCGGUUCAAACCUGAUUCGUAGAGGGACACUCGAAUCAACUGAUCGAUCGAGGAAGCACGCAUUCAAGCAGUUGAUCGAUCGAUGGAGGCUUACCAGCAGCGCGCGCGAGGUUGUCCCAGGAGCCCUCCCCGUGCUCGGAGAUGUAGCCUACGAGGAUGAGGUCCUCCUCCAGCGUCCACGGCCCCUUGCGCACCGCCGGCUGGUCGCCGGCGCGGCCGCGCGUCGACACGGCCACCCUGGUGGCCAUCUCCCUACCUCUUCUGUGCGUGGCUCGUGUGAUGUCAACUCGAACCGCCGCGCUUGGUCGUGCGCGCUGCUUGAGGAUGCCGGCAGAUCGAUGCGGUGAUCGGUUGGUGUGUGCUGCAGACCGUUCGGCGGCUGCCGUUAUAUAGGCGCGCUAGCCGGGCCGGUGGCGGGAUCGUACGUACGUGUACGUCAUCAAGAGCGCGCACGUUCUUGUUGGAAACCAACCACACAUGCUCACUACCAAAAAGAAAAACCACGCAUGCUCCUUUUCUGUGGCUGCCUUGAGGCCUGCGCCUUUGGCUCGAUUUGGUAAAGAAGGAAGGCUGCUUUCGUUUGAGGCGCUUCCAUUUUAUACGGAGUACAAUUCAAACCAAUGCAACCCCAAACCACGGAUAAGAUUGGAAGAAGUAUAAGCGCCCAACCCGUGGUACUUUCUAUAUCAACUGCAGUCUGCAGAAAAAACUUGAACUGAAAUUGGCCACCAAAGCCGCAGGUUGUGCCAGCAAUCCAUCUGAAUUCAGCCGCCAGUUCAAGUUCUUUUGGGAAGAAUUAUAUUUGAUCUUGUCAUGUGAUCAAAUUAACAUGUCGUAUUCCGAAAAUAAAAGGUUAAACUGUCGCAUACUGUAGCAAGUCCCCAUUAUUUUUUUCUGUUUUGAAUGCUUUCCUGACUUUUUUUUUUGGAGGAAUGCUUUCUCAAGCAAAAUCAACUGACUGAAACAUAUAUCCAUGUGCUGUGCAGGAGCACGAUGGGAACCACUGCCUUCUGAGUAGGCAGGGAGAAAAAAAAAUCUCUUCUUGCUGAACUGUAGGAUCGCAUCAUCGCGUCUUGUCGCGGAUUGCCAAUGCCCGUGGAAGCAACGCAAGUACACACAACUGUAAGCCAGCAACCUUAUCCGAGCACAGUACGUAGCACGCCCAGGCCCAGGCUCUCUCGCUUUCGGUGCGCGAUGGACUGGCGGCGACGAGCCGAUCAGUUGCCACCGUCGCCACGUGCUCAGCCCUCGCCCGUGGACACGCGUUAGCUCUCCCAGCCAGCCAGCCUCGCAUCGCCCUCGACCACCCACAUCUUUGGUUGCUGCCUGGAACGACGCCGGCCGCCGCGGCGCUCCGCAUGUUACUAGCGGCGCGCCUCGUGAGUCGUGCCAUUAUCGCAUGCCGGAAACGGAAGGGAUGCCGCGCGCGCUCGCCUACUCUCGGAAAUGGUUAGGCCGCCUGCCCGAUUCCGGGGAGGAUCGGAGUUCCGCACCGCAGUGCCGCCCAACGGGUCACACUGGAUACUGAUUUGAUCGAGACAUGCGGCGAGACAGGGACCGGACGUGUGUGCCGGUGCUGUGCUGUUGCGCUGGAGAGGGCACGUUCCGUUUGUUGGAGGAGAGAGCUUUGCAUUGGUCGAUCUUGGUGGCUUGCUGGAGGCUAGAGAGCCGAUACACGGAGCUGUUCGAUGUUCCUGGGCAAAUCCGUGCAACUGUACAGAGGGGAAAUGAUCUGGGCUGCACAACCUUUCAGUUUCAGGUAUACAACAGCUUUCGGUUGUGCUUGACUCACAGUCAAAUGUUCCUGCGGACGUACGAGUAAGGUAGGCUGGACUGCAAGUUGUGCGUCUUUGCAUCUCUAUCUCUAUUAUUUCUAAAUCAAGCAAUAAUUUUUAAUCCGUUAAUCGGAUUCCGAUUCCUAAUCAGAAUCCCGAUAAAUUAAUUGGAAUUCUAAUUGGACAAAUCAAUCGGAAUCCGGACAAUCAAUGUUUUGCGCGGUUAUGGCACAUCGUAUAGAUAAAAUGAAUUAAAAAAGUAUAAAGUUGGUGAUCUCAUAUAGAUCUAGAUAAAAUUAAUAUUACCUAUAGCAACGUACGGGCAAGGCACCGGCACCAUACCAUUACUGUAUAAAAAACACAGUGUACGUUAGCGUCAACAACGUACGAGCCAGACGCAGAUCACGCACUCACGGCAAAAAAAAAGCGGGUUCGUAGAUCCUGUUUCAAAGAAAACGAAAAAUGAAAAAGACUUUUGCUAAAUAUCUGUUAACAUAUUUUUUAAAAAGAAUCUGUCGAAUUCUGGUGCGUUUGAUCUGUGCUUUGAGAUAUGUGCUUUUUCUGUCGUUUCUAAGUAGCCCGCGGUUUCGUUUUGUUAACGGGUGCCGCCGCCAUUGUCCGAAUCUACAAACCUGGUGAAUAUUUGAAAAUCGUGCCCUUUCUAUUCCCGCAGUCUCCUUGUUUUUCCCCAACGAUAUUUUAUCUCUUUCUCCAAUCCUCCGGAGCCAUCCCCUUCCUCCUCCUACCUCAAUCAACUGAAAGGAGCAGCUGCUUGUGUCGCCGGCAACGCGCAGCCAUCUUUGGGAAGCGAAGGAACGGCGGCGCGCGUCUCUCCGGCUUCCCCUCCACCCCCGGUACCAGCCCCUCGCCCUCCCCUGCCCAAUGCCCACUUUCGCGGCAGCGCGCGCCCUUUCCACUCCGCUUUCUUCCAGGAGCAUCUGAGGAUUUGUCUUCACUGAUUCAUGUCCCCUUUUCCGCUGCUUUGAUUUGUGUGAUCUGUUCUUUUUUUUUAUAUGAAUACAGGCUGCUAAUGGUCGCCGUUCGUCCUCCCCUCUCCGUCUGCCCUCUCUAUCUUCAGGCUGCAGCUCGUGUUUGCUAUCUACAUGUGCAUUCUCCGUGAUUUUAUUAGAUUUGAAGUUCCAUUUGAUUUUUGGUGUGAGCCAUAGAACUAGUUGGUACUUGAUCCAUUCAAUUCUUGGUGCGAUUUGGUGUUUCAUUUUGUUUGUGUGUUGUUUGGCGCAGGUGUCAGAUUGGAGAUCGUGCUUGAGUAGAAGUAGCGGCUGGGACAGGGUCCUACAGUGCUCGUUGCAGGGCGUGCCCUCUGGUACUGCUUCUCCAAGUUUCUUCGACCCAAUUACCGAUGUAAGUACUGAAUGUGCCCCUUAAAUAUUCAGAUGUGAUUAUGCUCUCGGACUAUGAUGUGCAUGCUCUGAAUGUUUCUACAGGAUCUCGUAUCUUGAUCCUAUAUCUAUUUGUUUGAUGGUUGCCACUAAAUGUUCAUUCAUCUCAGCUUAUUACCUAUUCAUAAUUAAAAUUUGUAACGAACUGUUCACUUUAGACAUGGUAACAUUGUACUUAAAAACUGGUUUUCUUUUUUCCGGUCUAUAUUCUGAUGUUCUUCUUCCGUCUAAACUCUCAUGUUUGAGCUACGAAAAACAAACAUGUUUUUGCCACUGUACCUCUGAAUCUCUUUUGUAUGUGUGAUAGCAUGUCAAUUCUUGUGGUGGCCCCCACCCCCCACCAAAGUGAUUCUGCUUUGUAAUAUGAAUAUGUUUGCAUCAAGUGAUAGUUUAUAUUUUUAAAUCAUCAGGUUCUUUUUUGUGUUGUAUGCAGGCUUCUCGUGGUCACCAUUCACCCUAUCCGCUCCAACUGCCCCUAUCUGUAGCUCUUGUUUACUGUUCGUCUUCCCCCCGCGCCCCAGCUGCCCUUGCUAUCUGCUGCACGCACAUCGAUAAAUUUUUGAGUUCAUCAUUGUGAGCUGCCCUUCGAUUUUUUGCUGAUAUUUUCUUGUUGUCAUUCGGAGCUGCACUAGAUCAGGGGAAUAUAUGUGAUUUGACUUGGUAGUUUAUUUUAUCAUAUAUAUUGAACUGUUUCCCAGAUCAGAUGCUCUAAAAAAUCUUUGAAAGUAUAUAGCUUCUUACUUUAUCUUAAGUAAUAUUAUGUGCUUUCGUUGCUUUCUGCCGCAAGUUUUGAAAAUAUGUAGAUUCUGACUUAGAUCUCAAAUAAUUUUUACAAUCCUUUUUGUUACUAUGCCCAUGCUUCUACUUUGAGCCUCUCUCUCCUCUACUCUCCUCUAACUGAGCUCAAUCUGUCUCACAGCCCCGUCAAGGAUCCCCUUGACCGCAACCAGACUUCAAUUAACCAAGCGUGCCCCUGCAAUUCCGCUCCCAAGUCAGGUUUCAACAGCUUGUUGGUUUUUAUUCCAAUCAGCUUGCUGUUUUGUUCCUUCCAUUCAGCCUCGAGCAUGUCACAACUCUGAGAUCAUAUUUUUGUCCUGGCCAACUGCAGCAGCUGUGCGCAGCAGGCACAACAACUUCAUUGUGUCUCUUAAUUUGCCUUCUCUCACUAAUUCAGAGUACAUUGUGAUUUUUUCUUCUCUCGGCAGCUAGUGUUCCUGUACUUUUGAAUGACGAUAUGAAUAAUGCUGCAGCUCAUCUCUCUAGCAUGGAUUGUUUCUAUUGGCUAUUUGUCUCAUGCAGGAAAAUUGAGAUAAUCAUCUUACGUAUUUUUUGACCCUUGAUUAGUUAAUUUCCUUUUAUGUAUGUGUGGCCGGUAGCAGCACUUUUGAUAUUGCUUUUGUUCUGUUCACUUGCUUUUUUGGGUCUGAACCUUGCUUUUGUUUUGGCGAAUUUCAGUACAGUAACUACUAUCCAAUCCUUGCAAGAGUAUGUACAAUUUGUUUACUUGUUUAGCAUAGUUUUAGCCUUUAGCGCUAAUCAUGUGCCUUGGUUACUGUUAGUUCAAUUGGCUAAUCAUGUGCACCAUACCAAAUUUAUUUUUGUUGCUGUCAUUUUGCUAUCAGCCGGGUGCACCAAAAAUUUAUCAUUUGAUUCCUAUCUGUUGGUUGCUAUCUGAAUUUUUCUAACUUUAUAGGUUCUGUAUUUUCCUAUCAUAUUUUUGUGAGGUAUUUCAUCAUCACAUUUGUGUUUUCUAUUUUAAAAAUAGUUACUUUUUAUGUACUAAUGAACACUUGAAUAAUUGGUUCAACUAUAAUAUAUUAGCUUGUAAUAAUCUGUUGUUUUUUUACAAUAUCUUUAUAUUUAUAGACCUCUUUAUUAUCUAUGCAUUUGAUUUGUUUUUAUUGAUUGUUCGUAUAACUAAUACUUUUUAUUGCUUUAAAUUGUUUUUAGAUGGCUUCUCGAGGUUGUACAUCGAUAGGGAGUAAGAAUAGCCAUGAUUAUUGUGGUGAUGACAUGGCGGUAAGUUAUUCAUAAUUGUGAGCUUGGUGAAGCUGUCUUUGAGUUCUAUACGAAGAGGUAUUUCAUUUGUAAUUUUUUUUGAGUUUGUUGUUUAUGGUUUUUAUAAUAGUAACAUGUAUAUGCCUAUAGUUGAGUUAUCUACAUUGUGGGAGUCAAUUUGUUUUGCUUUGUUAUUCAAGAAAAUUAAGCAACUAAAGAGCAUGCUUACUCCAGCUGAGUUGAACGUUAUUGUGAAUGAUAUGGGUUGCCUUUGUUUUAGUAAUUGUGUAAUUUUUAAUAAUUUUUACGCAGAAGCUGUAUUCUAUAAUUGGUUGUAUGUAAUAUGUAUUUGGUUGUAUGUAAUUGGUUCCUUUGAAGAGAAUAAAAGAUGUACAUAAUUUGUUUUUUAGUAAUCCUUAUCGGAUCAGGUUGUAUAUGCCACCCGUUAAUCGUUGUUUGUCCUAUUAAGAAAUUGACAGAUGUGAUAUGCCUAAAUCUGUCAGAUUUCUUUUGGCUACGUGUCAGCAUAUGACUGGUGCAAAAAUUAACAGAUUUUGACCGGUAGAAUAUGUCGACAGACAACUAAACAGACCUAAAGAAAAAAAAACCGGGUUCGGCUGCGUGCUGCCGUCCCGAUCGCAAUCGCAAUUCACAAUUGAACGCUCAUAUGUGUAGCUACUCGACACUAGAUCCGAAACAUCGAAUCCACCGUCGGUCCUCGAACUUGGCUUCGGGUGUGAUCCCGAUUCUCAAACUCUCAAAAUGCACAUCCACAUCUUCAAACUUUCUAAUCGUAUCGUGUCAAGUUCAAAUUAUAGUUGUUUAAGCUAAAUCAGAAAUUAUAUAACUUGUUCAAAUAAAAAAUUAUAUGCAAAAUAUAUAUACAUAAAAAUAAUCCAUACCAAUUUACAUGUACAAAUAAAUUCAAAUACAAAAGAUCUGUCUAAAUUUUUUUGUAAAAUAAGGAACUCAUAUGACCAAAUUUGUAAAAAAAUAGAAAAUAAAAAAGAUAAUUUUGGAGGAAAUAUUUGAAAAAUAAAUAUUCGGUAUAAAGUUUUGAAGCAAAAUUUUGAGAAAAAUUUAGAAAAUAUAAGAAUUGAGCAAAAUAAAUUUAAAAAUAAAAUUUGGACCCACAUUUGAGCUCCACGUAAGUUAACUUCCACUUUAUAAUUUAAAAAUGAUGAUUUGAACUUUAUGUGAUAUGAUUUGUAAGUUUAAGGAUUUGAGUGUGCAUUUUGAAAGUUUAAGGACCGGAAUGACGUCCUGAGCCAAAUUCAUGGAGCGAUAGUGCAUUUUACUGAAAGAAAAAGCUAGAAGUGCGUAGCUUCACUAAAGAUAAAGCAUGCACGAUAUUGAAACCACACGUUCACACACCUACAUGCAUAUAUAGCAGGAUUCAUGCUACGAAAAUGUUACUCUUUUUCUGUCCUUUCUAACAGCUACCUAUAGCCUCUACGCUGUAUGAUCAGAUCACUUCAGAUCAGAAUGUAGCAUCUGGAACCGGUAGAGUUCCCCAGAAGUCGUCGACGACGUUCCAAAAGCUUUCCGCGUCGACCAUUUUGACGCCGUCGGCGGCGACCGAACUCAGCUCGGAGUAGUAGCGGUCACUGUAACUCGUCUUCAUGUACCCGUCGCCGGCGGUGGCGGAGCUGUCCCGCCUCGUCAACGCCGACGACGCGCUCCCGCUGUCGACGCCCGCCGCCGCCGCAGCCACGCUCUUCUGGGAGCGGUCCGCUCCCUGCUCGGGGUGGUUUGGCUCCACGUACCACCAGUCGCCGGCGGCGGAGCUGCCGUGGCUUGCCGACGCGGACGACGACGACGACGCGCCCUCGCUGGCGGCUAUGGCCGCCGCCGUCGCGGGCGCGCGGUACGCUUGCUGCUGCUGGGCGCUGGCUGCCGGUCUCCUCUGGAUCCUGGUUCUCCAGUAGUUCUUGAUCUCGUUGUCGGUGCGGCCGGGGAGGUGCUCGGCGAUCUUGGACCACUUGUUCCCCAGGCUCGCGUGGAGCUCCCGGAUGGCCGCGUCCUCCGCCGGCGUGAUGCUGCCGCGCCGCACCCCCGGCCGCAGGUAGUUGAGCCACCGCAGCCUGCAGCUCUUCCCGUUCCGGUUCAGGCCUGAUCGAUCGGACCAAGACAUCAGAAAUGGUUCAGUCCACGCGAAUCUUCAACGACAUCAUUGAUCCAACAUCAAGAAGUAGGCUUACCAGCGGCGCGCGCGAGGUUGUCCCAGGAUCCCUCCCCGUGCUGGGAGAUGUAGCCGACUAGGACGAGAUCCUCCUCCAGCGUCCACGGCCCCUUGCGCACCGCAGGCUCGCCACCGGCGCGGCCGCACGUCCUGCCCAUCCUCUCUGAGCCGUCUUCUUGCAAGCUCUUCGUGCGUGGACUGGUCGUUGCAGCUGAUCUCGUUCGGUGGCCGAGCGGUUAUUUAUAUAGGCGGCGCGCCGCCGACGGGAUCGGUCCUUGCGUUUACGUCAUCACGGCUUCACGCACAGUGACACAUGUUUGUGUUGGAGCCAGCCACUCAGCCACACGCUCUUUUGUGGCUGUGGCUUGCAGCCUCCAUCCUUUGCCUCGUUUGGGCAAAGAGUGCGGCUGCUUUCGACGGAGCCGCUUCCAUUUCCGGAAGCACGCAUAUACAAGUCUUCCAGCUCGAAACUAUUGGAUCCUGUCCCGUGAAUGCUUCCCUUCUCUCGCAGCUUGCCAGUAGAAGAACACUGAGCACAGCUGUGCAGCGCAGCGGUGAAUAGUGAUCGUCUCCGAGACCAGUGCAGGACGCGUAGGCUCUCUCGCUUUCGGCGCGCGACGGAUCGACGGCGAGGAGUCGGUUUCCACCACGUGCGUAGCCCCAUAAACGCAUAGCUAAUCCCAGCCGGGGUGUCACCCUCGCAUCGCAUCGCAUCGCUUGACCACGUCUCGGCCUGCAGCUCGAUCGGUCGCCACGUGUCAUUGUCCACCACCGCUAGCUAGCGCCUCGUGCCAUGGCCGCCUCGACCGACUCCUCGUGGAACUGGUUACUGGUUCGGUGCGUGGUUUGGCGACCCGCCCGGUCGAUCCGGAGAGGGGUUCUCGAAGGAUCCAUCGAUCGAUCGGUCGGUCGCCGUGGAUGCUGAUCGCGACGCGCGACGACGAGGAACGUGGCCGGGCCCGUGCUGUAGCCAGCGGCGGCGUAGGCCACGUUUUCUUGAUGGGGAAAGGGAGUCGAGCGCUAGUCACUUGCGAGGGCAACUGUGAGCUGUUCGGUCGAAUUGAACAUGGAGAUGUUCUUCCUGUUCUAGACCAUGUUUGGGUUUCCUUCCUUCAAUUUUUAAGAAAGCAUUGGCGAUUUAUUGGGCCCAGUCAAGGUAUCUUACUGGGAUGCAGAGGCCAGGAAAGAAUUGGAUUCGCCCCGAGGAAGACAAAUGGCCGACUCGGACCGGCCCAACUCGCACGAGGACUGCAGACGGCGUUCUCACGGCGUCAGUCCUCGUGCGUCGUGCGGCCACUCCACGCCGUCUCUACCCCGGACUCCCAAUCGCCAGGCGGCCAGGGUGAAGAGGGAAAAAAAAAAAUCGAAGCGGAGGUGAGAGAAGGGACUAGGGAGAAGGCGCCCCUCCAAUGGCCGCGGGCCUCCGCCUCCACCUCUUCCCGCGCCUCCGCGCCUUCGCGGCCUCCUCUCGCCCGCUCUUCGCCGCGCACUCCGGAGCCCUGACCCUGCCCCUGCCCCUGCCCAUGCGCCGCGCCGGCCCGGCCAUGCCCCUCGCCGCCCGCGCGCGCCGCGGCUUAGGCUCCUCCACCGCCGCUGCCCCUCCCGCCGAGGACGAGGACUUUGCCACAGGUUAACCGCCUCCUUGUCCUCCAAAAGCCCUCCGGCCGACUUCUCACUCGCUCGCUCUCGGCUUACUUGGUUGAUGCUGUGUUUCACGGUCUGUAGCUGCCGACCUCCGGUUCGAGCCGCCGCUCGAGGUCGUCAAGUACCCCGACCCCAUCCUGCGCGCGCGCAACAAGCGCAUCAACACCUUCGACGCCAACCUCCGCGCCCUAGCCGACGAGAUGUUCGACGUUAUGUACAAGUGAGUCCUCUGGGCAUUGCGUAAUUUUUGUUUUCAGGGUUUUAAGCUGUGUGCACCGCGAUUAUUUGCUGAAACGCGGAAGAGAGGGUAUCAUGCUAAUAGGCACUGAAUCGACGUGCUGUUGUUUCAAAGAAAUAUCCGUGCCUUUGUUAGCUUGAUUGGAUGGCCGUGAUAGUAGACUUUAGCUAUGGCUACUUUUGUGAAAUUCUUUCUAUGACUGUUCAAUUGAGGUGUCAUUUGUUUGUGUGAAGAAAUGGUGAAUUUAUUUGGGUAGUUCCUAGAUUAGUACAAGCUUGAUGCAAUAAGGGCUAGUUACAUUAGGCAUAUUUCAAAUGUCAGCAAAAUACCCAAUCAUAGGCCUGCCUGCUGUUUAGAGAUAGAACUAUGCCCAGGCUUAUUAGGAACUGUACUGGUCCGGUUAAAUAGUUGGUUUCUGUACAGGACUGAUGGCAUUGGCCUCUCAGCACCACAAGUUGGAGUGAAUGUGCAGCUUAUGGUGUUCAAUCCAGCUGGGGUGAAGGGUGAAGGAGAGGAGAUUGUCCUUGUCAACCCAGUGGUAUACAAGUCUGGGAAACGAUCGCUUGUGUUCGAAGAAGGGUGCUUAUCAUUUCCUGGAAUAUAUGCCAAUGUGGUGGUGAGAAUAGUUUACCAUACUGAUUUUGUUACCUUGAAGAAGACUUUGGCUGUCCUUUAUCUGACCUUAGUGUGAUGCUUACCAUUAGACAUUUUCAUAACAUGUCAUAUUUAUGAUUGAUAUUGCUACAUGUUACAUGGCUUUGGCAUACUAAAUUAGUAUGUAAUUUUGGAAAUUAUCAGCCUCUGCCAUUUCCUUUUUGAAACCAAUCAGCCUCUGCUCAGCAACUGAAAAGGUGCACAAUUAAUAAAUAAAGUUAACUUUGUGACCAUUGUUUCCUUUCAGAGACCAGAAAGUGUGAAAAUUGAAGCUCAAGAUGUUACAGGGGCAAAGAUCAAAGUAAAAUUAUCUGGUCUACCUGCAAGAGUUUUCCAGCAUGAGUUUGAUCAUUUGCUGGUAUGUAUUUAACCACUAUCUAAGUGAAUUAUCAUGUCCAUCUGCAAAAUAGUAAUUCUCAUGAUGUAGGGAUACAUUGGUUCUUCAAUGAAAACUGAAUGGACGUUUAUUCGAUGCCAAAUGGAAGUACACUUAAUACCAUAAUCAAGCUACUCUUUUAAGUUAUGCAAUAUACAUAUAUGCUAUUUCUGUUUCAUUUGCUAUCACAUAUACUCCCUCUGGUUGCAAAUUUGAGUCAUCCUAGAGUUUGUGCCUGUCAGGUACUUUCAAUUCCAGGUUUAACCAUCAUUACAUAAAAGAAGUCUAGUUUGGACAUGCAAAAUUGAUAUUACUGUAAUUAGGUAUUUUUCUGUGUUUUCUUAAUGUCUAAUAUCAUACAAAUUACUGGUUAAAGUUGUAAUUUGCGUACGAAGUAUGCUAUCAACCCAUGCAUAUGUGACCAGGGGCUCAUCACCGCGCUGCUCAUAUUGUUUGGGGAUUUGCAGGGGAUUCUUUUCUUUGAUAGAAUGACAAUGGAUGUUCUUGAGACCGUACGUGAGGAACUGAAGGUUAGUACAAUGUGAUUUUGAGUACAUCAUAGGGGAUUAUAUUGAAAAUUCUUAUUUGGUAAUUGGUACUCGUUGCAAUCACUGUGGCUGUAAUUGCAUGAUUUUGAAUCUUAAAUUAGUCAGAGUAUUCCUAAAUCUGCAUGUAUACGUUUUCCAUCCCAGAAUGAUGUCAGCUUAAGUUGCGUUUCAUAUAUAACCAAAAUUAAUAACAUGUGCAUAAACAUUUCUCCAAGGCUGUAUGCCAGUGUACAAUUUUUCAUGUAGUAGUUAAUAUUUUACAAUUUUGUGCAUGAACUCAUACUUCUUUCCUUGUUAUUUCCUUUAAAAAAAAGAACCUAGAGAAGAAAUACGAGGAAAGGACAGGACUAACGAGUCCUGAAACUGUUGAUAACUAUCAGGGUACAAAGGAUGUCUUUAGUUUUUCGAGAUGAAGGGUUGUAGCAGGUCUGUUUCAUCUCAACACCUUUCUAAUUUGGCUAACUUCUCAUUCACUGUCUGGUGAUUCUAAGAAAAUUUUGUUUUCCAUUUUAUGGACAGACUCUGGAAAUUUUGCAAAUAUAUCAUCAAGCUGAGCUUUAGCCUGAAGAGUUUUUGGGACAGCUCACACACUUGCACGCACACACACUACUUUAGUUGCAGUGUUGGCAAUCUUGCUAUGUCUAAUUUUCUGCAAUAUCAAUUGAACUAGAGACAGCAAGUUCACUAGUUACAAAUGAGGUUUAAUUUUUAAUGGUUAUGUCUGUAUUACUGUUUUAUCCGCGUAUUUAUGACUCUUGGAUAAUGAGAUAUUGUAGAGCUGGUUUUCCCUUACAUUAUUUAUGUAAUGAGUUUUUUAUUUCUUCAUUUUCUUUUUAAUAAACAUACCACAGAGACAUACAAUUUUUUUUAAGCAAUGAGAUAAGUUUGUAGCUGGCCCUUACUGCAUGCAAAUGCAUCAUUUUUGUCUCAACAUUAGGACCUCAUUAUGUGUCAAAGAUUUGGCGAAGCUAGUUACAUGACCUGUUAUUCCCAUAUUACAUAUUUAUUAUUUUUACAAUGUUUUGUUAUCUUGUUUAGCUAAGGUUCUAGAAUCGCAGCAAAACAAUAUUUGUGCAUAGGCAUGUUGUAUAUAUCAGACUUAUAAAUUGGCACUUUGUAUGCCAUGUUCUUUUGAUUAGUUAUUAAUUUUAGAUUAGAUGAUCUACCAUCCUCUUUCUAUGCAUUAUAAUUAUUAAUUUUAGUUCAUCUAUCAUCCUCUUUCUGUGCAUUAUUGUGCGACCACUUUGAUAUCUUGGAGCACUUUCUGCCCCCAUUUUUCAAAAUAAUUGCAGCUGAACUCAUUAGUAUACCCUAAGUGGCUAAGUGUUAUAUCUAUGGUCAUAUACUCAUAUUACGAUUAACAGGUGGCAUUUCUCAUCUAGAAACUGACUAUAUUACAUUUCCUCAUUUUCUAACCAUUUUCUAGUAUCCUUCAACAUUCAUUUUCUUUUUAUAUUUGGUCCAUGUAAUUUUCCUCUUCAAUUGAUUGGUAAGCUAUUAAUUUUUAUAUAUCCUUAGCAAUUGAUUUCUAGGUAUUAUUUUGAUUCUCCGAGUUAUGUAUUUCACCAAUUUCAUUUGAACCCUUUGUUGUAGCUCUAUUUACACUUAAUUAAGGAAAGAAUCUUGGUCAUCGUGUAUACUCAUUUUUGGAAAACUCAAGUACAUUCUCUUGCUGUAUAACCAUUCAAAUGAUUAUAUGUAUGUUUACUUUAAUGAAAAGAUUAAAAGUUCUAAUAACAUGACCUCAAAAUAACUGUAUAUAUGCACAUAACCAAGCAAUGGUGCAAAGGGGUCGGAUGUAUCACAACGACCACUCAUGGAUAAGCACCAAUCAAUAGACGAAGGCACUUAUAGUGUCUCAACAUAUAUCGUUAUAUGUCUGUAAGUUGUUCCCAGCAGGUUUUCCAAUCUGCAAGCAAGCUAUGGGAGGUACAGUAGGAGUGUAGAGCUCCCCAAAAGCUUGCCAGCAGAAUGGGUUGUUCAGGUGGUAGUGGGGUACUUGCACUGGUCUGAGUUGCACACCGGUAAGAGAGAUCCCUGAACAAGGUAAGCUGUCACUGCAUGCAAAGUGGACAGGUUUGAUUGUAAAUGUCCCUCUGAUGUUCUCAUACUGGACCCCUGAUACUGCCACUGCUGAUGUUUGAUUUCUGCAAGUGCUUUUGUCACAAUAAAACUGAUCUAUAAUAAUAGGCGUUUGAACUUCUGAGACUUGUAUAUUUGAGAACCUUAUGUCUUGAACCAAUCCUACACCACCCUGCAAGAAACGAAAGUUCAGUUUAUUUAGCUGAGUAUAAGUAUUAUUGUUUCGCUUGGCGUCAUCAUUUUUUUUCCUUCUUGGAACCUUCCAAGGUUGUUGCUUGUGUAGCUAUCAAAAGAUGACAUUUCUUCUACUUUUCAGUUUUUCUUUUGCGAGGUUGUCAUGUAAGUGUCUGCUGUUGAACUAAGAUUUUAUUUGUAUGUAUGCGCCCAAGCUUACCUGCCAGGUCUUGAUCCUGACACCAUUCAUGGUUCUGAACAUGUUGACAUCUCUUACUGUAACAUUUGAUACACAUGCUUUUGUGUUGUCCCGUCCCAGUCCACCUAUGCUGAUUCCAUGGCCUGGUCCACAAUUCACGUUGUGUAUAUUUAUGUUGCUGCAUCCUGUCUGGAUGGAGAUACAGUCGUCACCUGCAUAAGACAAAUUGGUCACGUUGAUGUUAUACUACUUUGGAUUAACUGUGCAAGGUAGCUGGAUGUUUCAAGUACCCUUUACAAUAGUUUUUCGGUGUACCCUUAACUCUGAAACCUGUCCUUUGACAUGCCGACUGUACAUGAGCUACAGAACUGAGGUGCAAGCUUUCAGUUGACCCUAGGUAAUUCUUUUUAAGUCACGAGUUUGUAGAUAAGGCCUCAUAUAUUUAGAACAUAUGAAUUGCCUUGUGUUGUUGAAAUUUUCUUUGUGCUAAAGCUUGGUAAAACAAAACUUUAAGCAUAAUGAAUAUAGCUUAGAUGCCUCUUGAAUUUGGAUGCAACAAGGAAUUACCGCAAGCCAUAUUCAUAUGAUGAAUGCUGACAUCUUUGGAGUUCUGCAGGUGUAUUCCGUCAGUGUUGAGACUGUUCUCAGGGGAGGAUAUAGUCACGUCGUGGACCAUGACUCCUUGACAGUUGUCAAACUUAAGAUGGCACUGUGAGCUGUUGACAAUAGUGAUGCCAGAUACUAAGACGUUGAAACUACCAUAAAACCUCAAUGCCUGCAUCAGGUUACGAAAUCAGAUUUUUCAUUACUUUGUUUCUGUACGUGAUCAUAAUGUGCAGAAAGAUAAGUGAUAUUCUUACUGUAGGUUUAAUCUGCGGCAUUCUCUCGAGCUCCACAUCGUACUGCAGGAAAGUAUCCAAGGUAAACUAACACGACCAACUUUUCAUUCGGGUAAUUAUUGACAAUCAUACACCUGGUGGCCAGUUCUUACCGUGUCAUCAUCAUCCUCAUCCUCUGGGUCUGAGUAGGUCCACCAUUGUUGCCCUCUGCCAUUUAUGAUGCCAUUGCCUUGAAUUACUAUUCCAUUUAGUUUGGUGAACUCAAGCCACUGGAGCAAGCCAGAACCCCAAGGUCUAGCACUGGUUGGAGCUAGGAUUGUUCCUUCCAGCUGAACAAAAUGAGUACAACAUGAAACAAAAUUACUCGUUGCACUUAUUCUUCCAUUGUUUUACCAAAUUAGACGAAAUACAGUCCUGCCCUACCUUUCUUUGAUCAGUUUGGGCAAUGAAAGUUAUCAAGAAAGCGUUUUUUUGAGUAUCUAAUUUGGGGCUAAGCAUAAUUUACCUGGAAGACAAUGUUUGGUUUGCAGUAAGGCCCAGAGAACGAGAUUGGCCCAACAAGGAACUCUAGUUCUCGUGGUACGAGAACUGUAGAUGCCCCCUGCUUGCAGGCAGCAGCCCAGGCUCCUUCAAAAGCCUGUAUGCAAAUGCAUGCACAAUUAUUAGCUCUAGCUUCUUCUGAAAAGACAGUCCUCUGGAAUCUAGCAUCACAAAAUCAAAUGAGCAGGGGGUAAGACACACUCCGUAAAGCCCACUCAGCAGUUGCGCUGUGCAUCUUACUUUUUUGGCCACCGUGCCGGAGCAAGAGGCAAUUUAUGACCACCAAAAAUGAAAUUGGAAAAACCAAGUUCUUUUUAAUGAAAAUACAAAAGAAGUCAAUAUAAUUGAUAGAGCUUUCAAACAAUUCGACAAUGCAUCUCAAAAUAUUUUUAAAUGAGGUUUAUUUUGUUGCAAAUUCGCUACAAAUUUCCUAUGAGUUUUAUUUUUGCUUUUUAAUAAGAACAGAAAAAAUGUUACUAUUGAUUCAUGUCGUUUGUUCUUGCAAAACAAAAAAAGGACCAGGUUAAUGCCAAAAAGAGAGUUUGCUUAUUAUCUAUCUGUAAAGCCUGAGGAAUCUCAAGAUUAGAAUAAUUUUUUGUUUGUUUCCUCGGCAAAUAGAAAAGUCUUGCAAGAGCAGUGGAAAAGGUUCUCGUGUUGUGGAUCCUGACUCUUUGGUGUAACCUUUGUUCUCUUCCAUGACUAUAAAAAAAAACUUGACCAGCUAGAUGUGUAAAUGCAUCUGUUCUGUAUUAGGUGCAACAAUCAUGUGAGAAGGAAAGAACAAGCCAAACUAGAAACAAAUCAAAUGCUGGCAACACAUGCAGACACGCGAAAAAGACUCCAGAAAAAAAUAUGUCACUUGUGACAACUCUCUCGGGCUCUGCAUUAGAAAUGUGAGGUGGUGACAGUAAACUGGUACUAUUUUCAUAGGCAACAUUGGAAUGCCCACCACCAUAGAUUGCAGCUGUUCUUGCAAAUAAAUUGGGGCUAGCACAAGCAUUCAUAGUAAAUUCACAUUUCUAAAAAUUCAGGAGACUGAUCAACAUGGAGUGCUCAUGCAGGUCAUGUGGAGGCGAGUCUGAAACAAAGCAUUUGUAGGGGAAAAUGGACAAAAGGAAUUGGCAUUGAGAAUUUCCAACUCAGAGAAUGCAUGAUGCUUGAUAAUUUUGUAAAUUUAGUUUGAAACAGAGCAUUUGAAGGCGAAACUGUCGACCUUAGUAUCAUCUGUGACUCCAUCACCCUUGGCUCCAAAAUCAACCACGUUGAAGACUGCACCCUGUGAGGCUGGUGGUGGCAGUGGUGGCCGCGAUGGCUGUUGAUGACCCUUUCCACAGCCUGGAGUCGGCGGCUUGGGACUCGGAUGCCUACUGCUGUUGGCAGGGCUUGGACUUGGGCUGAAAGGGGCAUCCGGAGUUGGACUUGGCUGCUGGUACGGAUUCUGAUUUCCUUUGCCAGCACCAGGGCUUGGUGUCGAGCUGACCGGUGGCUUCGGACUUGGCCGGUUGCUACCAUAUUGCCGGUGGGAGCUACUCUUCUUUCCUUUGCCUUUCUUCAGCUGCGUGGAGCCUGGUGAGCUCCUUGGCCUCCAAUGCUUGCCUCUUCUCGCCUCGCUGACCUCAAUGGUGGAGCAAAGAGCAAGCAAGACAAGGAGAAGCAGGAGGCCGAGGCCUUUUGCUCUCAGCUUCAUCCUUCUGUCUGUAUCUAUUGGCUGUGUGGAUUGUGAAGGUUGGAGUGUGUAUGUGCUGGGUAAGUAGAUAGAGAGCAGAGAGCACGGAGCGAGAGGCCUGUGCGGAGGGAAAGAGAGGUGGUUUAAAUAGCAAACCCCAGAGCCGGCCAUGUUCUCGUGUUGUCAGGAUUUUAGAUGAAAAUGAAAUGGAAAAUGAUUGGGAAAUGGGACCCCAAGUCACAUGCACGCAAGGGCGACAUAUGCUUCAGUCUUGUAUCUGCACAGUGAAGUUGUAGCGCCGCCUUUUUACUUUUUCGUUGCAACUAUUGUCAUUUGUAGGAUUUGAUUUCCUUUGUUGCGCUAUUAUAUGUGAAUCUGUCGUUUGUGUUUAUCUUUCGGCGACGGAUCAACCUGGCAUGGUUUUUAGUGAACUCCUGUUAUUAUGGCAUUGAUCUUGUCUUUGACUAGUAUUUCUCUAGUAAUAUAGGGCAUCAAAGAUUAGGCGAUAUGGAUUGAUUUGUGAAAAAAUGGAGAAUCUUUCUGGUUUGAUUAAUUGCUAAAGAAUAAUUGUACAUAGAUAAUGUACAUGGCGUAUAAUUAGUGUGCCAGAGGGAGAGCAUGCCUGCAGCUGAACUUGUCUAGAAUGAGGUAUCCAUAGAAAUUUUUUUGGAGAGCGAGGUGUUUAGGGGCAAAACUGACAGAACUUGUACCGAGAUGGUGCCUAGAUCAUGACAUGCCGAGUGUUGCCUCGACCUUGCAUCCUCGGCAUGUGCACGGCUCUCCGUACAUUUGAUCCUAAGAUAGGUCAUCGUGCCCUCCCUUUUCUCCAAUUUAAGGAGCAUUACUGCGCUUAUGCCACCGUGCCAUGGCUGCACUAGCUACUGUACAGCCAUGUGUAUGCCGCCAGGGCCAGGUCACAAUCUGGCUGCACUAGCUACGUGACCGAUCCGCAUUCACUGCCCGCGACUCACCACGGCUCAACUCAGUUUCCUCCGAGCUUGUAGGCGCUGCCACUGAAACUGCCCAUUUGUGGCUCGGAAUGACCUCGGUAACCCAUGCGGCGGCUUCUGACGAGUUGCGUGGCUAGAAAUGACGGUGGUGCGGUGGAACACCGGCGGCGAGCCGGCCGGCCAUACGUGGCCAGGAAUGGCCGCACGCUGCACGGGGGCCGCGCGCAGCGUGUCACAUGCCCGCGUUUCCGUCAGCCGUCUGGCGCUGGCAGGCGGAGGCGGGUGAUUUUGCCAAAGCCAGCAAGCGUCCACGCGCGGGUGCCGGCCGGCCGUCCGUGGCCCAUGGCAGGAGCGCAUCACGCAUGUACAUGUGUGUGCUCUGUGCUCUCCCCCGGGUCACAUGGCAACGGUCACGGGCGGAAGCCUCGCGCUUGUCCGCACCUCGGCCGGCGGACCCCAACUGCCGCAACCGGCCGGGCCGUGUUCGGGUCCCCCACGCAGCCACCCGAAAGGCUAGGCAACCGAGCGCAGCAGGCACAGCCACCACCCCUUCUCCGCCUCUCGAGCGUCCUCCACUCCUCAUCCAAUCAUCCAUCCAUGCGCCUGCAACCGGCCAUCGACCUCUCCGUGGCUCCGCGCCGUCGUCACCGCCCUUCCGGAUCGGGGCGGCUCUGGCUAGCUCCAUAGGUCACGGCUCGCACGACGCGGCUGCCGCGCCGGGGAUCGAGGGCGGAUUCAGAUCUUAGCGAGCUUUUCAGGCUCCCUCCUAGGAUCUACAUCUACUUGCUGCUGCGCUGUGAAAUGCACACGGCCAAUUCGUGUGUUCGAGUGAAGUUUCUUUUUUUUUUGACAUCGAUGUGGUUUGUUGGACGGUAGCUGGAGCAGAACCGAGGCAGUACGGAGGUGAUGUCUUGUGACGGUAGGAGACAGGGACCAAAUCAAGAGGCCCUGAACCCAACUCGCUGCUGCGGGCCUGUUCCACAUGUCGAGGUCAGGGCCCGAACGAACACCGGCGGCACAGACAGCACCCAGCGCUAGCUGCAGCGCAGACGUGCAGUACGUGCUACGUACGCUCUCCCGGUCGUGGAGGCCGACACGCACGUACAAGUUUGGGACAGCACAUCGCUAGCUCCUGUUUCCUUCGGUACAUCACAUGCAUGCAUUCUCCGCGCAGCUAGCUACGAACGCAUUGGUCGCCGGUACGGAGAGUCAGAGCCAGAGAUUGAUAGGGUUCUGAAUUUGCAUCGGAGUUUAUUCAUCACCGCAAGAACCUACAGUAGUUUAGGUCUGUCUGACAAAUACUCAGUUAAUCAUGUGCAUGCCACCGAGUCAACCGCGUGCGUGUUCACUGUUCAGUGCUAUUCACUCACGAGAUGGAACCGGCCGAGAUCGAUCCCUGCAAGAAAAGGUUUUGACGAUACAUGGGCAUGAUGCAUCGUGCCCCAUCUGAAAGACAACCACAAGUACACCGACAAGUCGUUGGAAGAUUAAUUACUUCAAGGUGGCAGAUGGAUACAGACAUUUUUGCUUCGAGGUAGCUGUAAACUUACAAGACGAGGCCGGAAUUGAACGUACGCAUAAUGAUGAUGCCACGACCCGGCCAGCAGCGCGCGGCCUGCAAGCUAGGGUCGCUCGUACUCGUACGUACCCACGCAGCUACUACAUACACCUCGUUGUUCCUGUAUCUGUCAGCAGGGCUCACGAGCUAGCUCAUGCCGGCCUCCAACCGGAUCAACCUGACAGCGGUCGUGAGAUACAAUACAAGCAUACAACCAGGCAAAGCAUGCAUGCCCGCAGAUGCGGCUCGUCUGAUCCGUCGCUGUGUCCAUCGUCCGUCAUCAGUUCUACUCCGUCAUCAGUUCUACUCCGUUCUAAAAUAAGUAUAAUUCUAAAAUAAGUGUAAUUUAAAAAUUUAAAAUUUAUUCUAAAAUAAAUGUAGUUCUCAAUUUUUAUUGCAACUCUAUCUCUAUCUCUGUCCUCCUCUACCCCCUUCUCAUUUCAUGUGCACUCUCUACUUUUUUAUCUAUUCUUAAUUUUCAUGCUCAAUUUCUAAAAUUAUACUUAUUUGUACUUAUUUGGGAUGGAGGGCCGGGAAUAGAUCCUGGACCGCUUGGGGUGUGUAUAAUAAACCAGCUUUAGCUUAUUAGCAUGUGACUCCUAGUUAUACGUGCGAUCGCGUUAAUGCCGGGCCGGGAUCACAAGGCGACGGCCUCGCCGCUUUGUCAGCUUGCACGCGCGCGCGCCGUCGCGUUCCGCUGCUGGCUCUUUGACAGCGCUGCAGCAUGCAAUUCUAGCUGGGCGCUAGACAGGUGUGAGGUGUGUAUCUUUUUUUCCCCCUCUUCAUCAAACAACCUUGUUGUCAGUCAGGGCGAAAUAGAAUGUCUACGUGUUCUUGAUGAUGGUGUUAGCUAAAGAGAUCGAGAUGAUAUAUGUAGCUAUGCUAUAAAGCCACAUUUGUUUUUUACGAAUUUUUUUUUUGGGUUUGAAGAAGCCCUCUGUCUACGGUUGUAGAGACUACGUAGAGACAGAAGUAUUGUCCCAUCUUCUGUUCUAAAUUGAAUACAAGCCAUUUAAGACGUUGACACUGCCUGCUACGCACAUCUCAUAUUUUGGAACCAUACCAGGCAUACCGUAUCUGUCCAUGGUGUACUGUAGCUACCGUGCCACAAGGAGAGCAGGUGUGCAGCAUGCUUAUCUCUUACGUUUGGAUCACAUCCUCCUCGCACUACAGGACAGUGAGUACACCAUCCUCAUACACCACGGGGGCGAUGCAAAUAAUCCUCCUCCCAACCCCCCCAGAUAAACCCUGCACGCAGGCAGCUUGCAUCCCGUGGCUGGGUAGCUGCAUGCUGCCGUUGGCGCACGCUUUGCAGCUAGCUGCGGGAAAUUAAAACGCAUGCAUGCGUAUGGCUGAUCGAUCGAUCGAUAGGGACAUACGGUUCGCUACUGCUCAGCGGGUGUUUGGUUUUUAGGCUUAUUUUAAGCUCUGUUAUAUUAAAUAUUUUAAUACUAAUUAUAAAAUUGACUGCAUAAGUCUAGAGUUUAUUCACGAGAUGAUUCUAUUAAAUCUAAUUAAUCUAUAAUUAAUAUAUAUUUGCUGUAGCAUCAUAUGGGCUAAUCAAUUUAAUAGAUUCGUCUCGUCAAUAAGUAUAGAGAUUAUAAAAUUUAUUUUAUUAUUAAUCUAUAUUUAAUACUUCUAAUUAGUAUAUGAACCCGUCAUACAUAAAACUUAAAAUAAUCGACGGGAACCAAACAUCUCCUUAAUUUGCUUUGGGAGAUGCAUCGAUCUAGCGGCCGGCAAGGCAAAUAAAGCCUCCCACCUAGCUAAGUAGCGCUAGCUGUCCGCUUGCGCGCGCUCGUGAACCUCGAGAGGGACGCUCGUGACCUGAGCUCUCGAUCCCUGUCCAUCCCCCACGCCACCACGUCCCGUCCGCCGCCGCGCGGCCCGCAGCUCCCUGCCGUGCUCGAUCCGUGCGGCUCGCAUCCGCUUCGCAUGCACGACCUGUCCUGGCUCUCGGCACAUUGGUUUCGGCCGGCGGUAUUGCAUAAUUGCCGCACCCGCACGCCUGUGUGUUGUCGAGUGCAAACCCGUUUUGUGCGAAUGAUGCUCGUAUUUUCAACUCUAUAGAAGUGCAAACCCGUUUGUGGUGACUGCAAAGAUUAAGAAUGAGGCUUCGGUAUGGAUUCUGGCUGGGGCGAAACAAUUGGUGUGCCAAGCUAAUUGGUAGAGCUUGAGGUUUUCUUUUUCUUGGCGUGCUGGCUCUCUCAUAAAAUUUUUUCAGUUCUGUAGCCGCUAGGCUCUAUUCUCUUCUUAUUAAUACAACCGGCAGCCCUCCUGCCAGUUCCGUUUUUUAAAAGAAAUGAUAGGGAUGCGUGACCUCGAUUAGCUUAAUUAACUCGAGACAUUUCUUGUUUUUAAAUGGAUGUGGAGCACUGGUCGAUGGGGAUUCUCAGUUUCUCAUCAGGAGGUACGUACUCGCUGCGAUCUUGGAGAUGUGGCCGUGUGGUGCUUUAUUAGGGAAUGAGAUUGCUGGCUUUCGAUCUAUGAUCUGUGAACCCGGAACGACACAGCACUUUCAUGGGUCCUAGGUAUAAUUAAUAGACAUCCGAGUUCUCCAACUCCUGCUGAUUUGCUUUGUCUUUUGCAUCGGUUACUUUGGUAGAGACGUCGUAGAGCUAAGCUGCCCGAUCACGGCCCCACGAAACGGGAGAGAUGUCUGCUGGCCUGGCCUUAAAAGCCGGGAUGGGCUAGUUGGCCCAACCCAGCAAUAGAGAACCUACUCGCUUGUCUCCGCCUGCCGCAGAGCUUCACUUGCUUGCGCGCCAUCGGAGCUAGAGCUACUCCAAUGGCAGUAGCUGUUUGACUUUGUGUGUGUUAGGCUAUAUUUGGAUCCACCCCCAAAUGGUAAAAGGCCAAAUGGUAAAAUUUUUGCUCCUGUCACAUCAGAUAUUUGGACGCUAAUUAGAAGUAUUAAAUAUAGUUUAAUUAAAAAACUAAUUACAUAGAUGAGGACUAAAUGACGAGACGAAUCUAUUAAGCCUAAUUAAUCUAUAAUUAGCAAAAUUACGGUAGCAUUUGCCCUUUUGCACUUUGGGGUGUUUGGAUCCAAAAAUGCAAAAAAAAUACAAAAGACUAUGCACUUUCUCUUUCUCUUUCCCAUUCAUCCAAACACGGGCUUAGCCUCCGAUGUUCCAUCUGCAAUGUGCUUCCCAUCGCUGCGGCGACAUGCUGGUAAACGUGAAGCUAGCGGCGCCGUCCCAUCCCAACUCCCAACCACUCGCAGGCAGAGCCCCCAGUGACCCCAAGCUGCCAUGGCGGACAGCUUCGCACGCCGGGUCGUAGGGGUAGGGACGUGACGCGCGGGGGCGCCGCUGUCUGCUGGGCUGUGCGCUUGGGGUUGGGGAUCGAAAAAACUUGCCUCGCGCUGCGGUGGAAGUCGCCGUCAUCCUGAGAUUCGAGAAGGCAGCGACCGGUUCAUCGUCUCCGCGGUUGGAAAAAAACGCGCGUCCAGCAGUGCACGCAAAGGCUACCGAUCGAUCGUCCGAGCAUCCCAUUCCACGGUUGUUUCGAGUAGGCGGGAGCUGCUCAUCUAACCCCACACACACCGAUUAAAUUAGCACUGCUACCGCCACGACUCGAUCACUCAAAGGCUCAUGCACACUGACCUGAUGGCGAUGGCUACGCGCACCUGUCCCGAUUGACCUGCCAGAUAGUAGCAGCUCUAACACUAAACAAUUCCUCGGCAGUCUGGUUCACACUCCAUGUCCAAUGGCGCUCCGAUCUCGUUACGCUCCGCGGAUUACAAAAAUCGAGUGGGAAUUUGAGGCCGGGCAACUUGCCUGUCCCUUUUUGCAGGCAGCAGACCCCACGGACGGAAUUGGCAUGUACAGUAGUGCGCUCGGGUGGAACGGGAUCAUGCGUGAGCAUGUGGUUGGUUUACCGAUCCAUCUGUUAAAAUCUUUACGACGCUGAGAUCAUGAACCUUGCCGUGAUCCCAAAGGUGAUCCCUUCUUUUUUUCGUUUUCCAUAAGGAUGCACAGUGACAUAUGCAUACAAGUUGCGCCUUUUCUUUUACUCCGUAAAGGAUUACUACAUGUUGGAACAGCGAUCGGCCUGGAUUCAUGACAAAGAUUGAAGCCC
RNAcentral lists this long non-coding RNA (90826 nucleotides) under Panicum hallii. Its description in RNAcentral is "long non-coding RNA (PHAL_LNC000515)". The record is from RNAcentral. Lineage: Eukaryota; Viridiplantae; Streptophyta; Magnoliopsida; Poales; Poaceae.